RNAcentral lists this long non-coding RNA (114576 nucleotides) under Citrus x clementina. Its description in RNAcentral is "Citrus clementina (C. clementina) long non-coding RNA (CCLE_LNC001362)". The record is from RNAcentral. Lineage: Eukaryota; Viridiplantae; Streptophyta; Magnoliopsida; Sapindales; Rutaceae.
CCUUUACAGUCCAGUACAAAGCUAAAGAUUGGGUACCUUCUCUCUCCACCACCAUUUGAGAUUCUGAAAAGUAUCAAAAGAUUAAAAAAAGGAAAUCAAAGUGUUAUAGGUCUUAAGUGAAAUUAUUAGUUCACAUAAAAAGUUGAAAUUACUCUAGAUGCUCCUUUAUACGCUGAAUAAGUGUGGGUUUAUUGCCCGUCAAUCUCAAUCCAUUGUUCCUCAAAUAAACUUUACAUUGCUCCACUUUCAAUUUCUCUUGCUGCCCGGCUGCCACCAAAAUUUGAAAGCAGCCAAAAACACUAAAAACCCAGUUAAGUGAUCAUUAAAGUUUGCAGAUUUAUAAUGCAUGAACAAUGGAAUCCUGUUUAAACUAAUCAUGUAUUUGUCCAAAAUUCAAAUUUUUGUUAAAGCAAUAUCCUUACCCAUUACAAAAGUUCUGAUUUUUACUUGCAACAAAUAAAAAAAUAUACCUGUUGAUGCCGAAAUCUGAACCAAUUGGUUAGUGACUCAGUUUCAGAUCCCUGCAUCAGCAUUAAAUUUGUUGGUGGGAAGCUGCUGGUCAAUCUCCGAGAAUAUUCUCUGACUAUGAGCAGAACAUUCAUAAGCAUAUAAUCUUCAAGCUGACGAUCAAUAAGCACCUGAAAUUACAGAGAAUGGUAAGAGGUGCCGGAAGUUUUUCCGGCGUAAACCCUCCGACGCUCAAGUCAGUUAUGGGGUUUAUAGGAAAAACCAAAUAUGCCAUUUCUCAUAUGGCUUAAUAAAUAUUGCCUUAAAACCAAAAGCUUUUUGAAUAAUUUUCAGAAAAGUAAAGUAGAGUCUCCAGAAAGAAUUUCUCAGUCAGAUCAAGAGACAAAAAAGAGCCCCCCUCCGCGUGGUUUUCUCGGGGUCUUUAUAAAACACCUCAUACCCACGACCUUAGAUCGUGACAAUAACCAUUAAUUGAUCCAAUUCGUGCCCUGAUUUUUCGGAGGAGCUUUGUGGUGGUUUAUUUUAACUGAGUCUUUAUUCCUGGUCAUCACUUGGCCGAGGUGAUCUGCUCAAGUUUAGACCACCUGGUUGAGGUGAUCUGGUCAAGCUCAUAGCACAUGGUUGAGGUGAUCUGCUCCACCUCAUAGCACCUGGUCGAGGUGAUCUGCUCCACCUCAUAGCACCUGGUUGAGGUGAUCUGCUCCACCUCAUACCACCUGGUCGAGGUGAUCUGCUCCACCUCAUAGCACCUGGUCGAGGUGACCUGCUCAACCAUUUGCUCACUUUCACUUGGAGGAGAUCAUGGUCGCUCUAUUUAAUUCCUCAAACACCAGUCCCCCAGUUUCUAGUGUUGAGAGUAAAACAAAUCAAUACUGGAAACUAUAAAGUUUAUAAUUUUGGCAAACCUAUGCCUUAGGAAUAUUUUUUGCGAAUUUUGCCCAAUUGUCCUCACACGACUGAGCAGGUUUGGGCAAAUCUUUACUUUGGCAAAUUUUGCAAGAUAUGGCUGCUGGUCUUUCAAACGACCGAGCAGGAGUUGGCCCAUGUUUGCCUUAGUAAAAGUCUCAUAAAUUUAGCUGCUGGUCCUUCGUUGACCGAGCAGAAGUAGGCACUUUCAUGCCUUAGUAGGAUUUUCGUAGGAUUAGCUGCUGGUCUUUUGUUGACCGAGCAGAAGCAGGCACUCACUUGCCUUCGUAGAUUAGCUGCUGGUCUUUCGUUGACCGAGCAGAGGCAGGCACUUUCUUGCCUUAGUAGAUUAGCUGCUGGUCUUUCGUUUGACCGAGCAGAGGCAGGCACUUUCUUGCCUUAGUAGAUUAGCUGCUGGUCUUUCGUUUGACCGAGCAGAGGUAGGCACUUUCAUGCCUUAGUAAAUUAGCUGCUGGUCUUUCGUUUAACCGAGCAGAGGCAAGCCUUUACUUUAGUGAUACUUUCGAGAAAUUAGCUGCUGGUCUUCGUUGACCGAGCCGAAGCAGGCACUUACUUGCCUUAGUAGAUUAGCUGCUGGUCUUCGUUUGACCGAGCAGAGGCAGGCACUUACUUGCCUUGGUAAAAUCUUCGUAAAUUUAAAUGCUGGUCUUUCGUGGACCGAGCAGAAGGAGGCACUUGCCUUAGUAGAUUAGCUGCUGGUCUUUCGUUUGACCGAGCAUAGGCAGGCCUUUACUUGCCUUAGUAGAUUAGCUGCUGGUCUUUCGUUUGACCGAGCAGAGGCAAGCCUUUACUUUAGUGAUACUUUCGAGAAAUUAGCUGCUGGUCUUCGUUGACCGAGCAGAAACAGGCACUGGCUUGCCUUUUCAUAAAUCAUUCUCAUAUUGAAAAACUUUCUAGAUAUCAAGUUGAUUGAGUUAUAUCACUAGCUUUAAUAUGAGCUCUAUCAAUUUGACAUGUACAAACUAUCCUCAUUUGAUAGAUUACUAGUAGGUAAAUACUAUAGCCGCAUAUAAAGGCUGCAAAUGCAUGUUUUUACGUAGACAUCAAGACAUAAAUUUGUUAAAAUUUCUGACCUGAUUAAGAUGCAACUUUUUGCAUUAAUAUCUCCUUCCAAGUGCAUAGCUUGCCUCAUUCGCAAACGUAUCAAAAUUGACAUUUUGUAGGGAAAUUGCAUAACAGAAUUCCCUGCAUAUUCUUCAGACGAAAAUGAGCUAUCUGAUUCCUGCAAACGUGUGCAGCCAAUGUGCUCUCAUUUGAGGUUUUUUAUUCAAAUCCUUAAAUAUGGAUUUGCUCUGAGAUUGUGCUCUGCAUUAUUUCAUUUGUACUUCAUCAAACAAAUCCCGAGCUUGACUCUGCUUUGUUCCCUGGGUUUAGAUCUUGGCUCCUGGGCAGCAUUCUCUCAAGCACAUCUGUAGUAUAUGUAGUGUAAUCAGCAACAAACUCACUUUUGAACUUUCAUAUCCCUUGAGACGAUUUAACGAACAGCUCCUGAUUUGAAUUUUAACAAUUCUGCCUCAACUUGUAAUGAACAGAGUUUCAUACCAGAAUUGUCUAAAAACUUUCCCUGCAUAUUCUUCACAUGAAAACUAGCUACAUGAUUGAUUGAUGGGGUGUAAAACCAGCAGGAAAUAUCUUGAAGAAACCAAAGAUCCGUGGAUUUUCUAUGCUUACCACCAAAUGAAUUUAACUAUAUGUGUAAUCUUUAUUUUAAGAAAUUGAACAUUGAUAAUACCGCAAAUCGAUUGCUCUUUUGGACAGAUUUUAUAUCUUGAGCUCGAUGAAAAGAGAACAAUCAAUCACGAAAUAUAAAUACAUCAGCAAAAUAAUGGUAGCAGCAUUACACAUCUAAUUAGCCAUAACGAAGCUGAAUAAUUAGCCAUAAUAAAUCUGAACUGUUAACAUUAUGUCAAGCAUGUUGCUGGAAAAUAUUAAAUUAAUUCAUUUGCAAUAUAAUAGCAUGUAAUCUUGAAUUAUGAAUGAAGCCCAUUCUAACAAGCUAAUUUUGUAAAGGAACAUUAUCAACGAACUCCAAGGGAUAAUAUUCAAUUUCAGCAAAUAUAUCAUGCUCGGUAUUGAAACAUGCAUGUUAUUAAAGAAUUUCUAAGCAUCUCUCAUGCAAAGGUAUAAUAGGGCUAUGAUUAAGAACAAUUCAUGCUCUCAAUUAGUUUCAUGCAUAUAUUGAAUCAAUUGAAUUAGAACCUGGAUUUUAGUCCUUGGCUCUUGCGCAAUGUUCUAUUGAGCGUCACUCCCUGCAAUUUCAGUUGCAGCCUUUGUUUUCCAGUCCAAUUAAUCUCACCAUCUUGAUUGUUCCUCUGUAGAGUCCUAAGCUUGCUCUUUACAAUUUGAGGCUGCGAUUUUUUAUAUUUUUUAUUCUGUCAAUCAUUUUGUCGAACACUUACUGUGCGUGAUCUCGUAUCACCACUUUUAACAAAUAUCAUCUUAAACCUGUUUCUAAGAUUACAAACGGACACAUCUCUGCAUCCAAUUAGUAAUUAAAUCUUGUUUGAAAUGAUUAAACCCAUCAAAAUGCAUGCUGAAACCGUGGCAUAAUCCGAUUGGGAAAGUGGUUAAAAUCUUAAUAUCUAAACUUGUAUGCGUACAAGACUUUAAUGGUAAGCACAUGAUCAGCAGUUGACUAUAAACCAACAAGCAUGUGGCCACUAGUUUGUGAUAUGAUUUCAUAUAUUCAGUAUAUGUAUUUUUUAAAUCUAUCCUCUGUAAUCAAUUUCUCAUGCUCAUGAAAGCCAAAUCACAAUUGAUCAUUUGAUGCAAUAUAUCAUGCACACAAACAAAUAAAUUGAAAGUAAUUGCAGUAAUUUAAUUGGAAAUACAAGUGGAGAUGAAUAUGUGACAGAUUUUACCGAUCUGAAGCUUCUAAAUGCCAACAUUGGGUUAGUUUUUUUUUACCGAUUCGCUUCGCUUCUUUCACGUGAGUUCAGAAAUAAAAGACAGGUUGCUUCAAUUCGCACAUGAUAAUAUUUUGCCUUCGCUUUGGCUGGAUGAAAGUUGAUAGAGAUAACAAAUUGGCUUCUUGUAUCGAUCCCCACAGACGGCGCCAAAUGUUGAUGCCGAAAUCUGAACCAAUUGGUUAGUGACUCAGUUUCAGAUCCCUGCAUCAGCAUUAAAUUUGUUGGUGGGAAGCUGCUGGUCAAUCUCCGAGAAUAUUCUCUGACUAUGAGCAGAACAUUCAUGAGCAUAUAAUCUUCAAGCUGACGAUCAAUAAGCACCUGAAAUUACAGAGAAUGGUAAGAGGUGCCGGAAGUUUUUCCGGCGUAAACCCUCCGACGCUCAAGUCAGUUAUGGGGUUUAUAGGAAAAACCAAAUAUGCCAUUUCUCAUAUGGCUUAAUAAAUAUUGCCUUAAAACUAAAAGCUUUUUGAAUAAUUUUCAGAAAAGUAAAGUAGAGUCUCCAGAAAGAAUUUCUCAGUCAGAUCAAGAGACAAAAAAGAGCCCCCCUCCGCGUGGUUUUCUCGGGGUCUUUAUAAAACACCUCAUACCCACGACCUUAGAUCGUGACAAUAACCAUUAAUUGAUCCAAUUUGUGCCCUGAUUUUUCGGAGGAGCUUUGUGGUGGUUUAUUUUAACUGAGUCUUUAUUCCUAGUCAUCACUUGGCCGAGGUGAUCUGCUCAAGUUUAGACCACCUGGUUGAGGUGAUCUGGUCAAGCUCAUAGCACAUGGUUGAGGUGAUCUGCUCCACCUCAUAGCACCUGGUCGAGGUGAUCUGCUCCACCUCAUAGCACCUGGUUGAGGUGAUCUGCUCCACCUCAUAACACCUGGUCGAGGUGAUCUGCUCCACCUCAUAGCACCUGGUCGAGGUGACCUGCUCAACCAUUUGCUCACUUUCACUUGGAGGAGAUCAUGGUCGCUCUAUUUAAUUCCUCAAACAAUACCUUCAAUGAUCUUCUGGAUUACUUUUUCUUCAAUUUCAUCAACACCCACAUCCAAAUCUUUGCCAAUGCUAGACAUGAAAAAAUAAAUAAAAAAAAGAAAAGAAAAUCUAUUAUUAGAACAAGGCCAAGAUAAAAAGGGAAAAAAAUUUAUCUUUAUUUAAAUAUCGUUGAAAUAAAAAUCUAACCGAGACUUGGACUUUUUCCCAAAUGAGAGCUUUGAGAAGGUGGCAUGGGUGUCCUCAAGAGGGCUGUAACUCGGGUCUAAAUCCGAAUCAUAACCCGGGUCGGACCCUCCACUGUCGGUGCUGUAUUCAUCAUCUCCUUCUUCGAUGAAUAUUACUUGCUCAGACUCAGGAGCUGCCAUUGACGCGCUACUCUUUUGCUUUCUUCUGGUUUUAUUGAUUGAUUCAUAUUUUUCUUCCGCAGAAACCUUUUAAGGUAAAAACCGUAACAACUUGCUUUCGCUUUUUGAAAUCGAAUUGCCAGAAUGAAAGGAAAUUUUCGACCAAAAACAAAAGUAAAUAUGGCCGUUGAGGAUUUGAAAAUUUGAAGCUUGUGCAGAAUGGAUCAAUUAUAUGAUUAAAUCGUUUCGGCGGAUUGUUUUGAUUGAUUAGAUUUUUUUAUUAUUAUCUAAUUAACAAUGCUGCUUCGAUUAAAAAAAAAAAUUGCGUUACAAAGUUUUCACAAGAAAAUAGAAAUAUUAAAAUAUCCUUUAUUGUAUUGCAAGUUACACACAAUUACUUCGACAUUACUAACUUCACUCGGGCAUUGGAGAAAUCGUUAGAAAUUUAGAUUUAAUAUUGAUUUCUCCGUCUUUAUCUUCUAAUAAUUUUUGGUCACACUGUAUUUAUAAUUUGAGUGUCUAAAUUAUAUAAUUGUAUUAGAGUUAUUCUUUAGUGUAAACUUGCUUAUCAAAAUAUGAAUAUUAACGUCGGUGUUGUAAAAGGAUUUUAUAAUAUUAUACUAUCAAAAUCUAUUACAAUAUUUUAAAGCAUUAAGUGUAUAAUAUGUGGAUGUUCGCACCUAAAACUUAUUAAAUUAUAACAUGCGUAAAUUUCUAUAUGAGUAAUUUAGAAAUUAUUCCACAAAAGUUGGAAGUUCAAUUUUCAACAGGAAACUCACAUCAAGAUGCAACAUUGGGAGUACUUUCUGUAUUCGGAAUGGUUUUUCGAGUAAGGAAAUUUUAUCCCAUGCGGUCAUGUUAUUCUUCUCAUCAGCCCAAUUUCUUACUGGGAUUAUUUUGUUAUGCUUGUAGGAAAAACAAUGGCGGUGUCUGCUGCACAAUCUGAAAAGGAGUUCGUCAUAACAAAGAACAAAGAAACUGGAGAAAGGAGAAUUGUUGUGACUGGGUUAGGUGUUGUAACGCCACUUGGUGACGAUGCACAUUUGUUUCACACCAGCCUUCUUGAAGGGGUUACUGGGAUAAGUGAUAUACAGGGCUUUGAUUGUUCAGAAUUUCCCACUGUAUGUAUAAAUAUUGUGUAAAUUUCAUUAUCAUAACUGAGUUUGUGUACAAAGCUAUUGGAUGAUACUAUUCUCAAAUCUUUAACAGAGAAUUGCUGCAGAAAUCAAAUCUCUCUCAACAGAUGGAUGGAUCUCACCAAAAAUUGCGAAGAAAGCAGACAAAUACUUGAUUUAUGCUCUCGUCGCCGGCAAAAAAGCCUUGGUAGAUGCUGGAAUUACUGAACAAGUUAGCGGAGAGUUGGAUAAAAGUAGAUGUGGGGUUAUAAUUGGCUCUGCCAUGGGAGGCUUGCGUGUAAGUGAGCUUUGAGCUUUGAAAACAAAAGUCAAUUAGGAGUGGCAAGUAUUAUGGUUUGCUUAUAAACAAGAGCAUGUAGCCUUACUAGCAUGUUUUAAUGAUUUUCUGGCUUUUGAACAGGUUCUUAAUGAUGGAUUUGAAGCAAUAAAAGUUUCGUAUAAGAAGAUGAGUCCCUUUUACAUACCUUAUUCAUUAACCAAUAUGGCUUCAGCAGUCUUAGCAAUGGAUUUGGUAAGCUCAUAAGAUAGUUUUGUGGCAUGUUGAAAAAAAAAAAAACAUUUAAGCAAUCUUAUACUGAUUUGAAAUUGACAUGCUUCCAAUUAUGUGCAGGGAUGGACAGGUCCAAGUUACUCAAUCAGUACAGCUUGUGCAUCGAGCAACUACAGCAUACUGAAUGCAGCUAGUCACAUGAUCAAAGGUGACACUGUAAGCAACUUGCCUUCAUCUCAAGCUGACAUCACUUAAAGCUAAGAACAUCCCUUGAGAUGUUACAUUAGAGAAGUCUUAGUUUGAUUUAUAUACAACAUGCUUCAUAUUUGUUGAAAAUUUUGCAGGACAUUAUGCUCUGUGGUGGUUCAGAUGGGAUGAUUAUUCCAUCAGGUACAGUUAACAAAGCCGUUGCAUUUUAGAGUAGUUCAAACAUACAUCUGUUAAGAUAACAAAUUUUUUUGAUGAAAACCAUUACCAUAUCCUAGGAAUAUUUAUAUUGAAUCACCAAAAAUCUAUAAUAAAUUAUACAGAAGCGUACCUGAAUUCAUAACGUUGAAUUGUUUGUGUGGUUAGUCUUCUAGAUCUAUACGUUCUUCUAGAAAAUCCUUUUAAGUUUUUCACUGCUCUCUCUGAUGAUGGGAUGUCAAUAGAGAAUAAAAAGAUAUGUGUAAAUUGUUGAUUAUAAUCUCUUAUAUAGAUAACUUUUUUCUAUUGUCAUUAGGUAUUCCUAAUUCUGCCCAUCAUAUAAUUAGAAUAUUGAAUCUCUACACAUUAAAAGUUCACACUCUAUUAGAUACAUUAAAGCCCAUAAUACCAAAAACUUUAAGAGAUCACCUUUAAUUGAGUUUAAUCUUAUAUGACAGUUCACAAUACAUAAUUAUUCAUAUAUAAGUCUAAUGUUGAAUAAAGGAUCCAACAAUAUUGGAUUAAAAAAUCUAAUAAUAUCAUGAGUUUUGUUUUAUUGAUCUCAGGCAUAACCAAUCUUAUCGCAUGCAAUGCUCGUUCGCAAAGAAAUAGCGAACGUUGGAUUAAGAAUUUAACAAUAUUAAAUUAAAAAAUCCAACAAUAUUGGAUUAAAAAAUCCAACAAUAUCAUCAAUUUUUUUUUUACUGACUAUUUAUCGGAAUAUCAGGCAUAGCCGGUCUUAUCGCAUGCAAUGCCCUUUCGCAAAGAAAUAGUGAUCCAACCAAAGCUGCACGCCCAUGGGACGCUGUAAUCAUUUCAACUCUUCCCUCUCUUCUUGUUGAACAACUUUCUAUUAUAAUAAACGAUUUGGCAAUAAAUAUUUUGAUUGCACAACGAGCAGGAUCGCGAUGGAUUUGUUAUGGGAGAAGGAGCUGGGGUUUUGCUUUUAGAAGAGCUGGAACAUGCUAAGGUUAAUUACUAGCAGAAUCAUCACUUUUUAUGAUUAACUAUAGGGCAUUAUUUCCCACUCAUGCACUCAUGUAUCUACACUCAAAUAAUUUGACAGAAAAGAUGGACGAAUAUUUAUGCAGAGUUUCUGGGUGGAACCUUAACUUGUGAUGCUUAUCACAUAACUGCACCUCAUCCUGAGGGUUAGUACAUAGGCUUUCUAAAAUUCCCACUAUCCACAUCUAUUUGAGUUUAUUUCUGCUCGAGUAAUAUAUAUGUUUUUGAAAUCAGGGGUGGGCAUGGUAUCUUGCAUGAAGAAGGCUUUAGCUCAAGCUGGGGUUGCCAGGGAAGAUGUGAACUACAUUAAUGCACAUGCUCCAUCAACGAGACUAGGUGAUCUGAGAGAAUAUCAAGCUGUAAUCCGUUGUUUUGGAAAGAAUCCUGAGGUAAAAACUGAAGCACAUUGCCGCUUAUAAUUUAGAAUUAUUAUAUACUUGUUUAGUUGCUAUUAUACUUCAUCUGAUUCCAACAUGUCGCAGCUAAGAAUGAACUCUACAAAAUCCUUGAUUGGCCACCUACUUGGAGCUUCAGGUGCUGCUGAAGCUGUUGCCACAAUCAAGGUGAAUAGCUUCUGCUUUCUUCCCUGCAUACAUGGUGUAACUGUGUAGAUCACUCGAAUAGUUAAUAUAAGCCUGCUCAUCCUAGAGUGAUGGCCACAAUCAUUGAAGCCUUACGCAUUGACAGAGGGUAUAUCUACAAUACGGAGGCCCUAUUGGUACAAUAUCCUCCACUAUCUAUUGAAAACUUAAUAAAGCUUUUCAUUACAGUUUUAACUUUUUUUUGGUUGCUUGCUUCAAGUUUUACAUAAUACAAUAUCACUGUUGGGUCAGAAAUGAAAACUUAGGGGGCAGAUAAAGAAAAAAUUUGAAAACAUGAGGCUUUUCAAUAAAAGUCGGGUUGGGAGUGUUAUGCGGUAGUCAUUCUCGCGAGAGAAUCCCGUAUAUGUUUCCUGUAAAAUUUCAUGGUUUUCAAUAGGAUAUAGAAAGAAGGCGGCCAACCCAAAAAAAGAAAAAAAUUACUUAAAAAUCACUUAACUCUUAACAAAGUGUUAAGUUUGGGGACAUAUCAUGAUUGUUUUUUGAAUGGGGUUUUUUUCUUUUUCCUGCAGGCAAUACAAAUUGGAUGGAUACAUCCAAACCUAAAUCUGGAAAAUCCUGACAAACAUGUGGUAUGCUUCUUGAAUUUAAAAUGGAAAUAUUUUUAAAAAAUAAUCUCUAUCUUACGUGUAUAUAAAAUACAUUUUUCUCAUAUAAAUAAUGUAUUUAUGAAAUUUAUAUACUAUUUAUAUAAACAGAAUAUAUCAUGCAUGUAAGAUAGGAGAUCUUGUUUAAAAAGGUUCCUGCUUUUUCACAAGACGUCUCUGCCGAUUCAGGACGCAAAAGUACUGGUUGGCCCCAUGAAGGAACGUUUGGACAUAAAAGUGGCGAUGUCCAACUCGUUUGGCUUUGGUGGACACAAUUCAUCCAUCUUAUUCGCUCCUUUUAAAGGAAAUUGAUUAUGGCUAAAGAAAAAACCUUGACCACAUGCGUGUGCUUGGAUGUUAGUCAAUUUACAGCAAUUAAUUAGCAUCCAAAUCCAAGUGCGUGCAUCGUGGAACUCUGCCAAGACGUUAAUUUUGUAUUGGAAUGACAUUUGGGUACUGUUCUAAGACCACUUCGUUUGAUAUGUAUUAAUUAUUAUGAUGCCGCAAUUUAAAAAGAUGCGUAUGUUGAUCGAUCCUUGUGAAAUGAGAAAUAAAAGUUGAGAUUUUGAUCAAAUUUAAGACACUUUUCAAACCAAAUGAUACUUGUCUAUUAUCGUUUUAGUUUCAUCAUCCAACUGAAGUGAACCAUAUAUUUGAUUAUACGAACGAGGUAAUCCAUAGGUAAUAAUAGUCAGAGGUGGCAUAGCCGUGAUGGUGAAAUUUUUGUUAUAAAAAAUUUGGGAUGAAGUUUAGUAGACCAAAAAUUAAUUUUCGAGUUGGACAAUUAGCAUUUUUUUUAAUUUCAUUAAAUUCUUAUUUUAUUAUAAUUACAUAUAAGGAUAAAUAUAAAUAAAAUUGAUACUACUUAUAUUUUUAGUCUCUCACUUAAAUUUAUUUUAUUUGUACAAUAUAUUAUAUUUUUUUCUCUCUUCUCAAUCUAUAUAAUUGAUUCUUGCACAAACUUAAAAUAUUGAUCUUUUUUUAUAUUAAUCAUUUUUUUUAUUGAGAAAGAAAGUUUGAAUAGAAUAAUAGAGAUAUCAAGAUUUAAAUAAAAUAAUACGGUAAAAAAAAUUAACUGUGAGAAAGUUACAGAAAAUAAAAGUUUUACAAAUGAAAAGAGUCUUUUUUAGGGGAAAAAAAGGAAAAAAGUAUUUUUGACAUUACGUGGAAGAUUUUGUAGAGGUGGCCGCAUAUCAACUCUUAAUUCUCUCUCGAAAUGAAUUUCUCUUGAACAACAUUUAAGUGAGAAAUUGGCAACUAUUAAUUAAGAAUAUGCAAAUUAUAAAUGAGUUAAUCUCAAUAUUAUCACUAUUUAAACACGUGCCUUCUUUCCCAAAAACUAUGAGAUAGAGACAGAUUGAUUGGUCAAGUUAUGGAUGGCUCAGGGUUAUCUUAAGCUGGAGGGAAGGGAAGAUAUGGAGUUAAGAGGAGAAAAGUACUUUAGAAACUUAGCCUCUUGCUCUUUAUUCCCAGAUUUUCAAAGAAAUGAGUUUGAUGGUAAAAUAAUAAGGUGCCAGAUGCACUCCAUAGUGCAUGAUUUUGCUCAGUGUCUUACAGAAAGUGAUAGUUUGAAUGCAGAGGUGAAGGAUUCUGAUUACAAGUGUCAAUUAGAGUCUUCUCAUGAAAAAAUUCAGAAUUUUAUGAUAAUGUUUGAAAGUGAUGACCUCUUUCCUAUUUCAGUUUACACUCAAAAGAAACCGCGGAGCCUUGUGGUUGAGCGUGAAGGGUAUUUCAUGAAGGGCAUAGUUCUGUCUGAGGUGUUUGAUCAGUUGACGUGUCUGAGGACACUGGAUUUGAGUAACCAUGAUAGUGUUUGGUGUAAAGUGAUUGAAGUGGUUCCCAGAGGAAUAAAAGGAUUAAUACAUUUAAGGUACCUUAACUAGUCUAACAACAAAAAGAUAAAAGAUUGCCUGAGAUGUUGUGCAAGUUGUAUAAUUUACAAACCUUGGAGCUCAGUUGGCGUAGCAGCCUCAGAAAUUUGCCUCAAGGGAUGGGCAAGUUGAUCAAGCUGAGGCAUGGAGAAAAUGUUGGGACUCCACUUAGCUACAUGCCAAAGGGAAUUGAAAGAUGCAGUUAGAUUUUGGACACUAAGUGAAUUCAUUGUCGGUGGUGGAACUGAUGAUAAAAGCUAGUAAACUUGAAUGUCUGAAAAGCCUGAUCCAUCUUCUAGGGAUCUCUUACGAUAAAAAAUGCUGGGAAAUGUGAAUUAGGAUGAGAUUUGCAAAGCAGAACUUUCGGAGAUGGAAAAUCUCCUUACUGUGUGUAUAAGUUUCGAUAAUAAUGAUAAAAAGGGAGGAAGAAUAAGGAUAAUGAAGACCGUCUUGAGGGCUUACAGUUGCCUCAAAAUCUUGAGACCUUAAACAUUUUUUACCAUAGAGGUAACAGGAUUUCUCGCCUGAGAAUAAUGUUGUUAUCUAAGUUGCAGUCUAUGGCAUUAGAUUGGUGCAUGAACUUAGUGCAAUUGCCUCCUUUGGGAGAAUUGGCAGCCCUUGAGUCACUGAUUACACAAAGGAUGAAGAACUUGUAAAAGGUGGGGAAUGAAUUUUUGGGAACAGAUCAAAGUCGUGGGAAACCAUUUGUUGCUUUUUCUAAAUUGAAUUGACUUGUUUUUCAGAAAAUGAAAGUAUGGAAAGAGUGGAAAUAUAAAACGAUGAAGAGGGCAUCAUUAUGUAAUCAUGCCAAGUCUUCAUUCAUUAACAAUUGGAUUCUGCCCCAAAUUAGAGACACUUUCGGAUGACCAUUGUCCUUGAACACUAUAUUUGAAGAUCAUUUCAUGUCCUGUGCUGGAAAAUUGUUAUAAAAAGGGAACAGCAGAGAGGCAAAAGAGCUCUCGUAUCAAGAUUUCUUAUGCAGUUGAACUGCAACAGACACACAGGUAACACUUCUCCUUGUUUUUACAUAGUUCGAUUUUUAGAAUUCGUUUUUGGUUUGUCAUGAUCCUGUAAUCUUUUGUCGUAUAUAAAAUAGAUAUGCAACCACCUGCAUUUGUAAAAGAGAUGUUAAUUUAAGGUAUUGUUCUCUUCACUUAGAAAUUAUCGAUGACAUCACUGGAUAAUUUGAUCUUAUUGGUUUUGUUUUCCAGGAGAAUGGUGUGAGAAGCAUACUGGAGAGGAAUCAAAAGUUAUAUCUCGUGCCCCAUUUCAGAUAUCAAAUAUUUGGUAAGUUAAUUUCUUCAACUCACACAUAUCACAUUCCUGGUCUUGGUUUUCAGAAUGUAGAACUGGCUACUAGGCACAGCAACUAAUCAAUAGAAUUGUAAAAUUAUAUCUCAGUGCAGAGCAAUUACUUCAAAGUCUCCAAAGAUGAUGGGGGCUGAGACAGAACCUUCCCCUUUGAAACAGAAAGAAAACGUUAUCUUAAAACUUUUGCUUAUAGUUAUGUUACAGUUUGAACUCCUUUACUACUUCAUAAUCAUUAUUCUUCAAUCUUGAGGUGUUUCUCAGAGUGUAAUACAACUUUCAAAAAAUGGAGAUUGCAUUGAAGUCAGAAAGGGUGCGAAAGGUCGUCGAGGGAAGAAAGUUGAUAGGACGCUUUGGAUGGGCUAUUGUUAAACCUCGAAUAGUAUGAUAUUGUCUGCUUUAAACAAAGGUUAGGUUAUUUUUUUUCUUCUUCAGUUCUCGUCAAGAGGCAUCAUACUAUUUAAGAAAUGAAUUUGUAUAUGUAGUCUAGCAUUGCUUUUAAAGCAGGCAAUGCAGGACAUUGACUUCCAAUCCUUAUCAUCCUUGAUAUUUCCAAAUCUUGAAUCACGUAUUGAAGCUCUGCAAGGAAAAGGAAAUGGAUCAUUCCAAGUUACCAGUUGCAGGAUGAUGGCAAAUCCGAUUACAAGACAUCAGGGAAUAGUGGCUGGAUUGCCUGAUUCUAAAUGAUAUUCAUGAAUCAUGACCCUUUGUUCUGUCACUUGGUUUCAGGAACUAGCCACUAGAAAUAUUUUCGUUGCUCUUUUUAUGUCUGUCUUUCACAGCGAAGGUAGAAGGUUGAAGCACAAGAGGGUGAUUGAUAUGCUGUUAACUUUUAUCUUUGUACAAUAUACCAAAACAAUUUAUUUUAAUGUAGCAACUGGUAAGUCCUUUUAUUUUCAUGUUAUUCAGCAACCGAUGCUUUUUGUUCCUCUGUGGCCUCUUUUGUAUUCGAUACAAUAUACAUAAGUUCGACGAAGGGUUCCACUAAACUUCAUUUUUCUGUGAUGCUCACAUAAUUUUGGAUAUGGGAGCAGGAGUUGAAGCCACCAAUUCAGACUGAAACGUUGAGCCAAAUUUUACCAAAAUUUCACUUUGUUUGAUGCAUUUGCAUAUUAGGCACUUUAGGUCCGUGGCCUUUUGCUAGCUUGUCCUAGAUGGUGCAAGGAAACAGAGUCACAAAAUCAAUCGACAAAAGAAUGUUAUAAACCAUAAAAAUACUUCAAAUUUAAUUAGUUUAAAUGAUUGCUCAUGGUUUAAUUCAUCCAUACAUAUAAGGGUGUGUUUGGCACCCAGCAUUACUCCUCAUUACAGCCUUGUAUUGUAUUAAAUUAAUACAAUAUUAUGUUUGGCAAAAAAUGAACUUUGUAUUAGACCACAUUGUAAUACACCAAACGCCGCAAAAAUUAAACCCGUGAGGGGGGUCGUAAUUAGGCCGCAUUGCAUUAGAAUAGAAAGCAAAUACUUUCUUCUUCACGAUCUCAGCCACAACCACAAACCAAAUCUUCUCUUCGCAAAACCCAAAGUAAAAUUUUUCUCUCAAACUCACUCGCCUUUCACUCAUAGAUUUUCCUCCCUUCUCCUUCAAUUUCUCAAGAGCCAAACAUAGCAAAUGGAAUCACUAAGUGAGCGGUGUAGUCGAAGCGUCUGAAUCUUUGAUUGGAGCCAAUGCGUCAUUUGAAGUUCAAACAACAGCGUAGAGUGGCAGUGGUGCUACGGCGCGGUUCAAACAGACUCUCGUGUAGAUUUCAUUUUUCCAUUUAGGUUUCGAGUUUAAAUGUUUCAGUUGAUGACUCUAUAAAGCCCAAAAAAAUUAUAAUAGUAAUAAUAAUAAUAAUAAUCAUCAUCAUCAUCUAGACUUUUAGUACUCAUAUUGUCCAUGAUAUUAAAAGAAAAACAGAAAAAUACACUGUUACAUAAUAAAUAUGACACUUUCACAUAUAAAGUGAUUGUCUGAUAACUCUGCUAAUUAGAACUAAUUAAUUAAAUAUUAAAAUGUAUUUUUUACCCUUAAACGACGUGUUUUCUCUAUCAUUCUUUGAAUACCAGAGACAAAAUGAGGUAUUAAAAAACUAUAAAGGAUUAAAAUGGUAAAAACAAAUUGUGGGAGGGACUCAAGUGUCAGUCUCCCUUAUUUUUCAAUACAAAUUUGUACUCGAAACUUUAACCCUUAAAUUAUCAUAAUUCUCACAAUAGAUAAGUUAGUUUCCUUAUAGAUUCCGUUAUUAAAACCAAAAGUUAAUUACCAGGAAGUCUCAUCACACGUAACUAAGUAUUUAUUAUCUCUAUCAUAUUUUCUAAUUCCCCACAUUAUUUAAUAUUUUCUAUCUGACAAAAUGGUUGUACAAAUACAUAAUUACAUAAAACUCUCAUUGUAAAAGAAAAUUAUUCGGGAGAGUGCCAAACUAGGGAGGCUGCCACUUUUUUUUCUCAAUCGAGUUUUCGUGUUUAUCACUCACUUAAUAUUUUUAUGGUUUUUAUAUAUAAUACGCAAUUACUUUCUUUAACAGAAAAAUUUAUCUGAGUGAAAAAAAAAAGUUCUUUUCUUUAGAAAUUGGAGUAACAUGAUAUAUUAAAAAAAUUAUAAGAGUAAAUAAUUGGUGAAAUUCGAAAACAAUAGGAGAGGAACGAGCAAAUAACCCGUCAAAGUAGGAAGGUCAUCACAUUAGCGUUGUCUGUCCACUACCGUCUUCAAAUCAUUAAGGCUUUAUUGACGUCAUAAGGUAUAAUGAUAAUUUCACCUACGCUUCAAAAGCGUAAUUUGGACAAUAUUCCGUUAGUUUUCUUAACGGUUUAAAGACGAUAGUGGAUAAGUGUAAAAAAAUAUAAAUUUAAGUGGAGCACAGUAAAAAAAAUUAAAAAUUAUAUAUUUUUAAAAAAGUACGAAAAAAAAGGUAGACGGUAAAUAAUUACCGUUAAUCCAUUCAUCGAACUCCUUGUUUAUCUAACAAUAAGGUUAGGUGGCAAAGUAUCAUUUUUCACCUCAUGGGUCAUGAAAUUGGAAAUCGGCAUGUCUUUACCACGAUUAAGAUUUCUUUUUUUUUUUUAAUCUAGUUAUCACAUCAUGCGUUUAAAUUUUAUUUGGAGUUGUUAUAAUAUAAUCGAUAGAAAUCUUUAACGUGAGAAAGCAGCAGCAUUACCUUGACGUGCGGUUACUGCUGGCAGUGUGAUUGUUAAUAAUGAAGUAUUUAAUGAGAGCAGGUGGCGUGGAUUUUUUAUGGUGUGGAAUUUUCUAGACUUUAUUUGCACUCUUAGAUCAUGCUUAGAUGAAUUGUGGGGUUGCAUUAAAUUUUGAGAUUAAUAAAAUAAUUUAAUUUAAGGUAUGUUUGGUUGUCAUGAAUUAAUAGGAUAAAUAAAAAUUAAUUCAUAACAAUUGGGAUUAUUAGUAUUUAUAUUUAUAUAGGUUUAGGUGAGAUAAAAUUAAAUGAAGAAUUUGUGUCCUCUUUAUCACUAUUUUAUUUUUCAUUUAACCCAAUAUUUUAAUAAAAAUUAAAUAUAGAAGUUAAUUUCAUAAUUUUUUAACCUAUAAUUUUGUUUUAUAUAGAAUAUCAAAAUUUUAUUCAUUAAUUUAAUUAAACUAAUAUUGAAUUUUAAACAUAAAAUAAUAAACUAUUUCUUUGUAGUAGCAUUGAAUAUUAAAUAUUAAAGUCAACAAUUAUCAAUAUAAUUUAAAAAUAUUAUAUUAUUUAAAUAAUUAUUUAAAUUUAUUAAAUUAAAUUAAUAUAGUCCUUUUCAAUAUUGUCCAAUUUAAUUUUAAAAGUUAAUUCAAUCAAAUCAUAUCUUCCAAAUGUAACCUUAAGUUAUUAAGGUCUGGGUUUAGUGGGGCAAUAGGGGGACACCUGUUCAAGACUCAAUCGAUGCUCUCCUACACAAAUUAAUAGAAGGUGUAUGUAUCUCUCUAAAUAUUUUUGGAAGUAUAUAUAACUCCUCGGUAGAUCUCAAAUUACACUAUAUAAGCGUAUAAACUUAAGCUAAUAAUAGAUAAUAGGUUGUAAGAUGUAACAAUUUUUUUUUUUAAUAAAAAAAGCCUUCCUGUUACUUGGACUGUCCGUGCACUGUUGCACGGUCGACAUAAUUGGUCUAUCAUUUUUAUUUGUGUUUAUAAAAAGUUGCAUGAAUAUGAGGCUUUUCAAUAUCAACUCUUAAAAUUAAAAACUCUGAUCGGUCUGGUACUUAUAUUGGCGGCUUUGGGAAUAAUUGGGACGUCUUCGGGCAGCUUUUUUUUUGAGGUGAUAUGCCAUGUUGCUAGUUAUUGAAAAUGCCAUUGCUAGAGGUUGGAAUUAUUCAUGGCAUGAGGUUAUGCUUCAAUUCUCGUUGUUACUUAUUUUGUAAUCUCGAGAAUUGGAUUUAAUUAACUACUGCAUCGUGUGGUGAAUUUCAUGCACUUCAAGAUCAUUCCUACUUUUCGAGGAGAGACCAAUGUUGUUGCUAAUCGAUUAGCUAAUCUCAAGUGUCAAUUGCAGCUCGCUAACUUGGUCGGUUAGAUAUUUCAUCAUCAGAUAUUAUUAGUCUUCUUUAAGAAAGAUGCUAAUGGAUUUUACUAUUAAUUAAUUUUUUUUAAUUUAUUAACUUGCCUAUUAGAAUGGGUUUUUGUUGCUCUCAUUUGGGUGGUGGAGUGGAUUUUAAAUAGUUUUUUUUAAUAUAUACUGAAAUUUUAGGGGAGGUAAGACGCAAAAAAAAAUGAAUUUGCACUUUACCCAUCCGCUUAUGUUAAAAAGAAAAAGAAAGAAAGAAUAGACUUUUUGUUUCGUGGAUGCAAUUUAACUGAAAUGGUAAAAUCUCUCCUAUUACAAAUAAGUGAUUUGGGGUUGGAACCUCCCACACGAAUGGGGAAGAAAUCUUUUUGACAUUAGACUAAACAAUAACUAUUAAAAAAAAAGUUUUUCGAUUUAUUUGAGUUGUCUUUUGAAAUAAUUAUUGUUAGUUGGUUGUAUAAAUAAUUAGAUAUGAAGAGAAAAUGUUUAAUAUUUAAUAAAAUUUAUUAUUAAAAGUGCCUGAAUUUUAAAAGCAGUUAGACAUAUUUGGUAAAUCUUACUGUAAAAUUGUUGUAAGAAUAUAAAUAACUGAAUUAAACAUAAUAUUGAAGCAAUCUUAUUUAGAUAUUUAUAAAUAUGUAUAUAAAAUAUUUUUUUAUUGUGUAAAUAUAAGAAUUAAUAACUAAAAUAAAUAUUUUAUUUUUUAUUUUUGUUAUCUUAAUAUAAUGAGUAGUAAUAAUAAUAAUUUCUUUAAAGUUAAUAAUUUUAUUUCUUAAAUAAUAAGGAUAAGUUUAAAUGUUUAUAAUAUAUAUGAUGAUAUAAAUGAAAUUAUAUCGAGUAUAAAAUUUAUUCACAAAAUCAAAUUUUAAAAAAUUACUGAUUUCUUACGUUUUUAAAAUCUAUUGUAAAAUAAAAUAAUUUUAAAAAAUUCAUCGAACAUUAAAAAUAAUUUUUAAUUUUUUAAAAUUACUUUAAGUAUUUAGAAUAGUCCAACGGGGGCCUGCCCCACUAUUAAAGCUUCCGUCAACUACUGUGAUCCAUCUGAAUUAGAAAAAUAUAUCAGAUAAGAUAUUUUAGUAUUUUUUUAAUAGAAUGAUUACUCCGUUAUUAUCCACGUCUUUGUACUUGUCAUUUGCUGCUCCCACAGCCGCCUCAAGGCAGCUGCCAUAAAUUGACCGCCAUCUUUCUUUUUUCUGGUCAACAAGUCAAAAUCUUAUAUUAAUGCAUUAAAGACUUACAAACAUUGUCCAUUAUAAUUGAUUAAGCAGCUCUAUUAUAGUUUAGUUUUUUACGUGAUUAUACCUGUUUUCCUAUUUAUUACUAACAAUUAUUAUAAUAAUAAUUUUUUUAACAAAUUUUUAUUUGACAUCUAACAAUACAAAAAAGCCUAAAUUAAAAUUUUCUCUGAAGGCCAUAAAAGCUCUUGAGCUGGCCCUGACUUCGAUUCAUCCCAUUCCAUCUUUAGCUUAUUUUAUUAUGAUCUAAAAUGAAUGCAAAUAUAUCGGAAACAGAUCAACAAUUAUUGGAUAGGCAUGUCCGUGAAUUAACAGUAUAUUUAUUUCCUAAAAUGAGAAUGAGAAUGUGCUGGAAUGUUAUUGAUGUAUUUAUGUGAGAGAGAGUGGUUAAGAUGUUAGUGGAGAUUGUGGUGGUGAAUUGUUGAAUUUAGGAGAUGGAAUAAGAAUUAUAAAUCUAUAUAGAUUGUGGUGACUUUUUUACAAAGAUAAAUAAAUAAAUAAAGGAUGCAAAGAACCCAGAGAAUAAAGAAAAAAAAAACAAAGGAAGAAGAACAGAAGAGAGAAGGACGAAAAAGAAUUGCAGAAGGAGAUUCAGUUUGGAGAUGGUAAAAGAGGGAGAUAAGAGAUAAGGAUGAUGUGUGACCUGUCAGAUUUGUGUUUAUUGUUUUAUAAUUUAUUUUACCAUUUAUUUUAUAAAACAAGCAAAAUAUGUACAAGUUGUUUUGUAAUUCAUCACUCAAUCUAUUUGAAAAGUUUAGAAUUUAUUAGUUUAAUAUAUAUUUAAUGAAAAAUUAUGAUAUUUUUUAUAUUUAUAUUAAAAAUGAUGUAAAAAAUUUUAAAAUUUAAUACUUCUAUAAUUAAUUUUUUUUAAGUACUAAGAAAUAUUGUUUUGAAAUAUAUAAUGUAAAUUAAUCACCAAAAAAAUUAAUAUAUAAUGAAAUAUAUAGCUCCAAACAUGAUAUAAUUAAAAAUUAAUACAGUAUAAUGUAAUACCAAACGUUGUACAGUAUUAUUAUAAUUCAAUACUAAUACAAUACAGAAUAAUAUAAUACAACUGUAUUAAAAUAAUAUAAUACAGUAUAAUACAAUACAGUGUACUAAACACACCCUUAAGACAUUUCUGCAACAGAAUAAUAUUACAGCAUCGAAUGGAUUCUCUCAUGCUCAGUUCUCACAUGCUUCCUGGUAAUAUGUUUCACACUAGGACAGCCAGUAAGGGCCAUGGUCAACUCAAACUCAUCCUUCAGCAUUUCGAUGACGCGUCUCACCCCAUAUUCCCCUUUUGCAGCAAGGCCGUAGACUACAGGCCUUCCAAUCUGGAGUAACAUAUGACAUACAUUUGUUUAGUAAUCAAAUAAGGACCCGAACAAAAGUAGUACUGCAGCUGAAAUAAAUUUCUAUGUUACCUUUGUGUCCCUGGAAUCAACUGUUAACAAAAGAGAAAAGAAAGGUGGCUCCAGAGUCUCACCACUGAAAUUCAAAAACUUAAGGGUGAAGUUGUGAAAAGCUUACAAGUACAGCUUGUGCACCGAGGGCCAAUGCCUUGAAAACAUCUGUUCCUCGCCGCACUCCUCCAUCCAUAAGAAUUGGAACUCUUCCUUUAACGGCAUGAACCACCUGCAAGCUCAGGGUUCACAAGUAUAAAAUGUAUUGGUUACGAUUUCCUUGGUAAAAUCUAUUGUGUAACCCAAAGUUGUCAGUGGACACAUAUCUUAUUCCAAAAUGCUGGUCAUUUCUACAUCGAGCUAGUUAGAUCGAAAAAUGUAUUGUUACAAGAUCUCCAUCAUUAAUACAUGAAACGGCAAGUUCCAUUGUCUACACGUCAGAAAACUAGCAAAAACUACAUGCAUUAGCAUUGUUAUGAGCACCCGAUAGAUUUGCGUCUCCUGUUUCCUAAUUCAUUUGCCUUAAAUUAAAACUCAGAAUAUUAAUUAGGAGAAUUAUGUAAUCCUUAAUAAUAUGAUAUUUCUCAACCUUUCAAGUUAAAUUCAAUGGCAGCAGCAAUGUUGUCAGUUUGGAUUCCCUUUUACAGUCUUAAAAAAAUUUUAGAAUGCAUUCUACUAAUCAAACAUUAAUCAAAAUAAACUGACACAUAUUUGUAAUCAAUUCAAUUCUCACAAUUAUUUACGUACUUGUAAAAGUGAAGUAAGUUUAGAUCUAUAUACAAAUCUAGAUCAUAUUGUCUGCAGUUUAGAAUGCUAAAAGUGGUGUGAAAUUUAUAGUCACCUCUUCCAGAGCAGAAAUAGUGGCAGGACUAUAAUCUAACUGUCGAGCUCCGUGAUUGGAGACAAUAAUCCCAGCAACACCUACUUCCACAGCUUUUAUUGCUGAAAAUUUUAGAAACCAAGCAAUUAACAAAUCUUCAAUUAGGAACUCACAAAAAAAAUGAAAAUAUUUCUGAUGAAAUUCAUAAAAGAGAUAGAUAGUGACGUGAGGAGAGGAUAUUUAACAAUAAUAUUUUCAUUUGGAUGAUUGGCAUCUCCAAUUGUACAAACUUUAAUUCUAAGUCUCUAAUCCCACUACCGAAUCACUGCAUAAAUGAACCUCUGGCUUAGAGACUCACAGUGUAUAAAUGGAAAAGAAUCCUCUUUUAGUCUAAGGCUACAUGGAAAACAAAACAAAGCGAUACUCAUAUCAUCAGAUGGAGCUUUGAUCUUACCAUCUUCACGAGUAAGUAUCCCCUUGAUCAAAAUUGGUAAGUUUGUAAUAGAUCUUAGCCAUUCUAAAUCCUGCAGAAGCAUAUGAUAUUCUUCAGACUCAAAACUUUACAGAGAGUAUUGACAUCAAUAGCCAACUCAAAACUUUGCAGAAGCAUUUGUUCUAAGUAGCUGAAUAAUAUACACUUAUUUUUUCUUGAUAUAUUUUCCGAGCAAGGGAAAGAAACAGCCAGGACAGAUUUUUUCUUGAUUUACAAAAGGUGAAAGACUUCACUUAUCUCUACCUUCCAACUUAAAGAAGCAUCCAUGGUCUCAUUGGCAUCAGCUUCAAAAUUCGAACCUGUAUCCUGUAAAAAGUGUAAUCCAUUAAGUUAAAGUAAAGGAUUAUAGAUAUAGUCUAUGAGUUUAAACAAGCAGUAAAAGUAAAUGCCGGCUGAGAACCAGAAAUAUCAAAAAAUAAAUAAGUGAAACUGUAACACUCACAGAGCUGACUUUGGUUGAUAAGAGGCCUUCCAAAUUCUUCAACGGCGGUGUAAUCAUUCUGCAGAUGUUGUUGAGUGAGAUUCAAAAGACAAUGUUUACUGUACCCAAAUAAAAGGUAAAGGGCACUACAUAUUUCUUUUGAUGUCACAAUACAAACAUUUGUGUCAUAUCACUAUCCUAAAAGGUUUUUUUAACCAAAGUUUCAAUUCAAUUAUAUGUGGUAGUACUUGGAAUAUAUAGAACCAAAGAUAAAAAAGAUGAUAAUUCACUUGUUCUUUAUAUCUGCCUCCCUUCUACCAAGUCUUGGAGUAUCAACAGUUAGGACAAGAGCCUUAAAACCAUUCCUUUCAGCUCUCUGCACUAGAGUAGCUGUUAUAUCUCGUUUCUUGAAUACCUAUUCACAAAAAGGACGCCAUAGUGUGGUUCAAACCCUUUAAGUAACAUUAUAAGAAAGAAGAAAAUAGUUGUUGCUCAAAAAAAUGAGCAGUUUCCUAAUAAGAAUAGGAGGGGAAAAUAAAAAAUAAAAAAGGAAAAAGAAAAAAGAAAGAGCCCAAGACAAGCCAACUACAUAUAAUUGAUAGAAGCGAACAGCAUUGGAGCUGGCCGCAACCUCCUCUAUGGUGCUGCUAGAUGUGAAGGAUAAAACCAUUAUGGUGUUACAUGAAGCUGCUGCUCUGGCUGUGGCUACCUCUCCUGGAAUAUAUACAAACACUUAAUGUUAGAAUUUGAACAAAAUCUUAAUGAUGUACAUCUUGAAAAAGGAAUAAGACCUUCAGGGUUUGCAAGCUUAUGCAAAGCCGUUGGAGCAAUGAUAAUGGGAGCCGAGAUUUUGUAAUCAAGUAUAGUAGUCGAUAAAUCUAUUCUGCUGACAUCGACAAGAAUUCUUGGCCGAAACCUGAGAGAUAUAAUAAAAGUCCAUUUGAAAGUUCUGAAUCUAGUUCUAAGAUUACUCAUUGAAACUCAUUUGUCUUACGUAAUUCUAUGAAAGGCUUCCACAUUCUCUUUUAGGGUAUGUUCAUCUUCUGCUCCACCAGCGUAGAAAUCAUAAUACAUUUUUGGAAGGGCCAGCCUUGCCAAUUCUUGGAACUCAUUCAAAUUAACAGGUUCAGCUGCCAUUUGAAACCUGCAAACGUUGACAUUAAUAAACUUUUCAAGUAAAUCAAUCCCAGAUGCUACAUACUGCAUGCAUAAAUCAGAAUAAUUCAUUUCAAGAAACUUAAAGCAGCAUUUGGAUAUAGCAAGAAAAUCCUGUAAUAGGUGACACUUCUCUACGGAAGUGAAUAAAUCAUAGCCAACAUUGCAUAGCCCCCCCCCCCCCCCCCCUCCCCAAAACAAAAAAAGAAAAAGAAAAACGGUUCUCAGGAUCAUUCUAUAACACACAACACUUGUUUAAAAUUAUAACGGAAAUAUUGUUUUCUUUCUGUAAAUUUUCAGUGUACGGUGUUCUCGUCAUACCGUCAAGAAAUAUACCGUAUACAAUAAAGUAACAUUUAAGCGCUUUCUUAUCUGUCAAUGAUCCAUUAUACAUGUAAUUUCUAAGAUACAUACAGACAUACAUACACACUAGCACAUGAUAACAGCUAAAUAAUGCUUCACAUCUAUCAAAAUUGUUAGGAAAUUGAGUUUCCUCCCAAGAUCUCUCCAAGUAAUUUAUUAAGUAACAAAUUAAUAAGAAAAAUUAAAUGUAGAAUAUACCAAUCAUACAACACAAGAUUUACGUGGAAAACUCUAAAUCCAGAGAAAAAUCACGGCUGUUGUCGAAAAGACAAUCAGAGAAAAAAUAUUCACUAUGUAAAAAAUUAUUAUAACCACUCUCUCAGAAAUAAUUUUCUCUCACCUAAUUCCUAAAUACACCCCAAAAAAACAAUCUCUGAAUGAAGAAGAGAAACCGAGGAUUGGAUUUAAAAAUUAAAGAUGGGAGCUUCCUUUAUAUAGCCAAAAUUGACUAUUAUUAUAAUAUUUUCUUUAUUCUUCUCGUGGCUUCUUCAAAACCUUUUUCUUUCUUCCAUUUUGGCGUUCCAACUUUUGCAACAUCUUCUUCAUUCUUCUUUCUUUUUCUUCCUUGGCGCCUAACCCUUCAACAUUUGCUGCAUCAACGCUUCUAGAUGUAGCUUCUAGAAGCUGCAGCCAAAUGCUUUUACAAAAAUCAGUAAGAUCACGAUGAUCCAAUAUAGCAUUUCACGUACUUAAGCUCACAGGCAAGUUCAUCAUGAUCAAAACAUGCUUACGAAUCACGACAUCAGAAAAAUUUAAAAAAAAAAAUUCCUGAAAGAGAGAGAAUAAAGAUACCAAUUCGAAUAACUAUUAAUCAAACUUAAACAAUAGAAUUUUGUAAAGAAAUGAACCCGAAUGACCAAAAAUUUCAACUGAUGAAGGUCGAUCGUGAAGCAGAUUACAACAGUGAGUCGGGGGCAGAGUCAAAGUCAAGAAGCAUAUAAAGGAUUAGUAUUACUUAUUUGUCAUUUGACGUGUUUCCUACAAUUAUAGUCUUAUCAACUUCUAUCAUUUUUCAGAAUUUUGUUGUUUUCUUGGGCUUGCACGGUGGAUACAGCUCUGUAUAUUCCUUACGUUUUUAUUAUUUUUACUUCCUCUUCUUGGAUUGUACCAUCACUUGCCUUCUCUCAAUAUAUAUACGGACAAAAAUAAAAUGAAGUGAGAAUCAAGAUUAAUUUUAGUUACCAUAAAUAAAGCGUUUGAUUUUAAAUAUUUUUAUUUUACAAAAUUUAGAAAUUUAACAAAAAAUCUUUAUAUUCUUUUGUUGAAACAGGCAGUCAUGUUCACAAGAAAACUGACUGCCAUUGGGCUUACUGUCUAGAGUCCAGACAGUAAGAACUGGGCCUGCUGUAGGAUGGCCCAAAUAGAACAAAACGCAUACAAUGAGCAAAAAUCAAAGCAUUCAACAUUGUAACCGAUCUAUAUGUUUUUGCAUAUUCAGUUUCCACGCCUUUCAAACUGUCUAGGCAGCCCGUCAUACCACCUGUACUCGCGUCUUUGAUCACCAUUGUCUCUCUGUUCAUGCAAGAAUUUGCAGUUGUCUCCAAAAUAGCAUCUUCCCUUAGGAUAAUAUGGGCAGAGCUGUUGUUUCAUGCAGCUUUGCUCCUGAGGUGGACAUGUUGGAGGAUGAUGGUUAAUGCUUUUCAAUCGCUGUCUAUUGAUUGGAGCCUCCCUAAUGCUGCUGAGCUUAACAAUAGGAUCCUGAGGAACCUGUGUCUGGCAAUUAUUCUGCAUUACUGCCAAUUCCUGCUCUAGCAAUUGUGAAAGCAGCUUUGCUGCUUUUUUGGAAUCAGCAGAAAGCUGAGGUUGAGCUGCCACCUUCCUAUGAUCGACUGAUAAGCUUGGUUUUUGAGGUUGAACUGAUAGCUGCUGAGGUCCAUUCUUCAUUUGAUUAGAGUCCAUAUUUAAGGCUAGCUGUUGUUGAGACAGAAUCUCCACUUUUUCUGUUGCAAUUAAAUUCAUUUGAGACUGGCAACUUUUUGGAACCUGAUUUAUGGACAUCCUGAAGAACAAACAACAUAAGCAUGUAAAUCUUAAAAUAACAUGAUUUAUGGACAUCUGAAAAUAACAUGGUUGAGUUUCUUCAUUUUUAUAUGAAAUUAUACCUAUUUGCUUUCAGCAAUUUCCUCUUUUCCUUUCCAUGGAUCCGUAUUUCUCUAUUAGACCUUGCAAUAAAACCCCUUGAGUGCUUCUCCAUCAAAACCUUGUGUCUCUCCCCUUCGUCUUCCCAUCUCUGACAGCAACAAUAUGGGCAAAGCUGGGUUAAUAUUUAAGAAUCCACAGAUAAUAGGAAGAAGAAACUUCAGCUCUGUGCAAACCUGUCUCAAGGUCUGGAGACGAUAAAGGUUUCGACCUUUAAUUAGGAGAGGACGAAGUGGAGGGAGUGGCUUCUCCCCUUUGCUCCAAAGUACCUCUAUCUGAAAGAUUAGCCAAAAACAGCACUUUAAUCACAAUAAUUAUUUUGACGGAAUUUAAAAUACAGCAUCUGCCUGUUCAAAAUUUACUCCUAGAAAAUUUAUCUCAAUUGUAGGUGAACCAACUAGAGAAAUUCCAUCCAUCAAAUUUGCUUGAAAUGAUCAUACCGCAAAAUCAAGAAAUAUCAUUACCCUAAUGCAUAAACCCAGAUAACUGAACAGAUUUAAGACAUGACAGGGCAAGAAUAGUCAUAGAUUUUCUAUGAUUAAUGGCUUUCCAAUAAACUCCCAAAGUCCAAAUUAUAUAGGGCUUAUGACUCACUGUAAAUGUAUGUUGUUGCUUGGCUGCUCCAUAGCUUUCUUUCACAAUGCGGCCAGCAACAAUCCUUUUGCCAAAUGGGGGACCACUUGCACUACAAGCUGCUAUGUUAAACCUAAUUAAUGAUGUAGAAAUAAGGUAAGAACAAAACACUCAACGGUUGCAAACAACUUUGAGAAAAGAGCACAGCGAUACUAGCAAAUCCAAAGUAUUUGUUGUCAUUGUUACAUUUGUAAAUCAAAUAAUGUAUUGACAGAAUUAGUAUUCUUUGGCAGAUAUUGGAGGUUAAAUGCCAGUUUCAUUGAACUUGUAUUUUCGGCACAUAAACAUAGAGUCAUAGACCAAUAGCUUACAUUUUGUAAACAUUCUGUUCAAACAUAACAACGUCACCUGUGCAAGCGUCACCUGCAUUCAGUACGUAUCAGGGUAAUGAGUACAAACACAAAAUAAAAGUAGGGUUACUAGAACUACACUAUACUAGUAUCAGGGAGGAAGGCUGGAAGAGGUGUGUGCAUUCUAAUGCAUUAUAAGCAAAUCAACCAAAGAGUGUUACAAUGAACUGACAUUUUUUUCAGACCCGUAAAUCUAGUAAAUUAAUGAAUCAAAUUUGUACCUUUACAGUCCAAAACAAAGCUAGAGAUUGGGUACCUUCUCUCUCCACCACCAUUUGAGAUUCUGAAAAGUAUCAAAAGAUUACAAAAAGGAAAAUCAAAGUGUUAUAGGUCUUAAGUGAAAUUAUUAGUUCACGAAAAAAGUUGAAAUUACUCUAGAUGCUCCUUUAUACGCUGAAUAAGUGUGGGUUUAUUGCCCGUCAAUCUCAAUCCAUUGUUCCUCAAAUAAACUUUACAUUGCUCCACUUUCAAUUUCUCUUGCUGCCCGGCUGCCACCACAAUUUGAAAGCAGCCAAAAACACUAAAAACCCAGUUAAGUGAUCAUUAAAGUUUGAAGAUUUAUAAUGCACGAACAAUGGAAUCCUGUCUAAACUAAUCAUGUAUUUGUCCAAAAUUCAAAUUUUUGUUAAAGCAAUAUCCUUACCCAUUACAAAAGUUCUGAUUUUAACUUGCAACAAAUAAAUAAAUAUACCUUCAAUGAUCUUCUGGAUUACUUUUUCUUCAAUUUCAUCAACACCCACAUCCAAAUCUUUGCCAAUACUAGACAUGAAAAAAUAAAUAAAAAAGAAAAGAAAAUCUAUUAUUAGAACAAGGCCAAGAUAAAAAGGGAAAAAAAAUUAUCUUUAUUUAAAUAUCGUUGAAAUAAAAAUCUAACCGAGACUUGGACUUUUUCCCAAUUGAGAGCUUUGAGAAGGUGGCAUGGGUGUCCUCAAGAGGGCUGUAACUCGGGUCUAAAUCCGAAUCAUAGCCCAGGUCGGACCCUCCACUGUCGGUGCUGUAUUCAUCAUCUCCUUCUUCGAUGAAUAUUACUUGCUCAGACUCAGGAGCUGCCAUUGAUUCGCUACUCUUUUGCUUUCUUCUGGUUUUUAAGGUAACAACUUGCUUUCGCUUUUUGAAAUCGAAUUGCCGGAAUGAAAGGAAAUUUUCGACCAAAAACAGAAGUAAAUAUGGCCGUUGAGGAUUUGAAAAUUUGAAGUUUGUGCAGAAUGGAUCAAUUAUAUAAUUAAAUCGUUUCGGCGGAUUGUUUUGAUUGAUUAGAUUUUUUUAUUAUUAUCUAAUUAACAAUGCUGCUUCGAUUAAAAAAAAAAUUGCGUUACAAGGUUUUCACAAGAAAAUAGAAAUAUUAAAAUAUUAAAAUAUCCUUUAUUGUAUUGUAAGUUUCUCACAAUUACUUCGACAUUACUAACUUCACUCGGGCACAGUUCGAAUGAGUCUGAGUGCACCUGGUGCCUAUGUUCAGUGGAGAAAUCGUUAGAAAUUUGGAUCUAAUAUUGAUUUCUCCGUCUUUAUCUUCUAAUAAUUUUUUAUCACACUGUAUUUAUAAUUUGAGUGUCUAAAUUAUAUAAUUGUAUUAGAGUUAUUCUUUAGUGUAAACUUGCUUAUCAAAAUAUGAAUAUUAACGUCGGUGUUGUAAAAAGAUUUUAUAAUAUUAUAUUAUCAAAAUCUAUUACAAUAUUUUAAAGCAUUAAGUGUAGAAUAUGUGGAUGUUCGCACCUAAAAAUUAUUUAAUUAUAACAUGCGUAAAAUUCUAUAUGAGUAAUUUAGAAAUUAUUCCACAAAAGUUGGAAGUUCAAUUUUCAACAGGAAAUGACUAGUUGUCUACUCAAGCACCAGUAUUUCAACAACGUAAUUACUUCUAUAAUUAUGCAUGAGCCAUCUUAAUUUCUGCUAUAUCAAUAUAAGAAAAUUUGUUUACAGUAAUGUCAAUGGGGAUUGCUAAAAACGUGUCAUCAAGAAUAUGACUGAAGAUAAGCUCAAUUAAUUAAUAUACAGUCUGUGGCUCUCAAUAAUACAAUAAUGAACUUACUUCAGCUUUAAUGAUUAUUACCAUUAUCUAUGUGAGCUCUACUCUGAUCAUAUCAUUUCAUCUGGUGAUCAUUUGGAGGCACCUCUCUCUCUCUCUCUCUCCCCCCCCGACAUAUUUGCUUUUGUUUUGUUGUCGUUUUCUUAAAAUGGAAACUGCUUCUUUAGCAUCUCCUCUUUGUACAAACCCUGCAGCUAAUUAUCGAAAUGACCAUGCUUUAAAGUCCUCUGUUGAAAUCUCCGAAGAGACACAAGAAACUCACAUGAAGAUGCAACAUUGGGAGUACUUUCUGUAUUCGGAAUGGUUUUUCGAGUAAGGAAAUUUUAUCCCAUGCGGUCAUGUUAUUCUUCUCAUCAGCCCAAUUUCUUACUGGGAUUAUUUUGUUAUGCUUGUAGGAAAAACAAUGGCGGUGUCUGCUGCACAAUGUAAAAAGGAGCUCGUCAUAACAAAGAAAAAAGAAACUGGAGAAAGGAGAAUUGUUGUGACUGGGUUAGGUGCUGUAACACCACUUGGUGACGAUGCACAUUUGUUUCACACCAGCCUUCUUGAAGGGGUUACUGGGAUAAGUGAUAUACAGGGCUUUGAUUGUUCAGAAUUUCCCACUGUAUGUCUAAAUCUUGUGUAAAUUUCAUUAUCAUAACUGAGUUUGUGUACAAAGCUAUUGGAUGAUGCUAUUCUCAAAUCUUUAACAGAGAAUUGCUGCAGAAAUCAAAUCUCUCUCAAUAGAUGGCUGGAUCUCACCAAAAAUUGCGAAGAAAGCAGACAAAUACUUGAUUUAUGCUCUCGUCGCUGGCAAAAAAGCCUUGGUAGAUGCUGGAAUUACUGAACAAGUUAGCGGAGAGUUGGAUAAAAGUAGAUGUGGGGUUAUAAUUGGGUCUGCCAUGGGAGGCUUGCGUGUAAGUGAGCUUUGAGCUUUGAAAACAAAAGUUAGUUAGGAGUGGCAAGUAUUAUGGCUUGCUUAUAAACAAGAGCAUGUAGCCUUACUCGCAUGUUGUAAUGAUUUUCUGGCUUUUGAAUAGGUUCUUAAUGAUGGAUUUGAAGCAAUAAAAGUUUCGUAUAAGAAGAUGAGUCCCUUUUACAUACCUUAUUCAUUAACCAAUAUGGCUUCAGCUGUCUUAGCAAUGGAUUUGGUAAGCUCAUAAGAUAGCUUUGUGGCCUGUUGAAAAAAAAAAACAUUUAUGCAAUCUUAAACUGAUUUGAAAUUGACAUGCUUCCAAUUAUGUGCAGGGAUGGGCAGGUCCAAGUUAUUCAAUCAAUACAGCUUGUGCAUCGAGCAACUACAGCAUACUUAAUGCAGCUAGUCACAUAAUCAAAGGUGACACUGUAAGCAACUCGCCUUCAUCUCAAGCUGUCAUUACUUAAAGCUAAGAACAUCAAUUAGGAUGUUACAUUGGAGAAGUCUUAGUUAUAAGAUACAACAUGAUACAUAUUUGUUGCAAAAUAUGCAGGACAUUAUGCUCUAUGGUGGUUCAGAUGGGAUGAUUAUUCCAUCAGGUACAGUUAACAUAGCCAUUGCAUUUUGGAGUAGUUUUGUUUUACUGAUUAUUUAUUGGAAUCUCAGGCAUAGCCGGUCUUAUCGCAUGCAAUGCUCUUUCGCAAAGAAAUAGUGAUCCAACCAAAGCUGCACGCCCAUGGGACGCUGUAAUCGUUUCAACUCUUCCCUCUCUUCUUGUUGAAUAACUUUCUAUUAUAAUAAGGAAUAAAUGAUUUGGCAAUACAUAUUUUGAUUACACAACGAGCAGGAUCGCGAUGGAUUUGUUAUGGGAGAAGGAGCUGGGGUUUUGCUUUUAGAAGAGCUGGAACAUGCUAAGGUUAAUUACUAGCAGAAUCAUCACUUUUUACGAUUAACUAUAGGGCAUUAUUUCCCACUCACGCACUCAUGUAUUUACACUCAAAUAAUUCGACAGAAAAGAGGGACAAAUAUUUAUGCAGAGAUUCUGGAUGGAAGCUUAACUUGUGAUGCUUAUCACAUAACUGCGCCUCAUCCUGAGGGUUAGUACAUAGGCUUUCUAAAAUUCCCACUAUCCACAUCUAUUUGAGUUUAUUUCUGCUGGAGCAAUAUACAUAUGUUUUUGAAAUCAGGGGUGGGUAUGGUAUCUUGCAUGGAGAAGGCUUUAGCUAAAUCUGGGGUUGCCAAAGAAGAUGUGAACUACAUUAAUGCACAUGCUCCAUCAACUAGACUAGGUGAUCUGAGAGAAUAUCAAGCUGUAAUCCGUUGUUUUUGAAAGAAUCCUGAGGUAAAAAUUGAAGCACAUUGCCACUUAAAUUUAGUUAAUUAUUAUAUACUUAGAUGCUAUUAAAGCUAGCAAAACGGAUCAUUGGAUUGUGUUCAUGUUAUAUAAGUUUUGUGUCGUGUUCAAUUUAGGUUAACUCAACCACAAUCUAUUUAAUAAUCGUGUCAAAAUAUUGAGACCGUAACCUGAUAUAGAAAUUAAAUAUAUUAUUAAGAGCUCAGUCAAUAUCUAUAUAUCUAUUUAACAAAAUUUACAUCAAACAUUUACAUACUGUCGUGUGUGUGUAUACAUAUCUACCAAAAUAUUACAUAUUUAUAGUAUUGAAGUUCAAAAUCUUUAUAAAAUUUUAUAAAUGAAGCAAUGUGUAUCUGUUCAUCAUUCUAAAAAAUAAAAAUAAAAAUAAAAAGAGAAUCAUGUUUAAAAUUUGAAUUUUGAUAAUAAGAAUCUACAAAUUAAUUAAGAAUAGAAAAUAUAAUUGUGUCAUUGAUUGAGUAAAUGAGUCAAGAAUUUUAACCCUAAUUUGACAAGGAAAAAAAUUGUAUCGACCCGAAUGCAACCCAUUUGAUAACCGUGUCAAAUUUGAUGACUGAUACCUAUUUAUUUGUGUCGUGUUCGUGUCGGAUAAUCGGAUCGUGUCAAAUUUUCCCAUAUUAUGCUUCAUUUGAUUCCAACAUUUUGCAGCUAAGAAUGAACUCUACAAAAUCCUUGAUUGGCCAUCUACUUGGAGCUUCAGGUGCUGCGGAAGCUGUUGCCACAAUCAAGGUGAAUAGCUUCUGUUUUCUCUGCAUCCAUGGUGUGAUUGCAUAGAUCACUCGAAUAUUAGAAAAUGAGCAUACUCAUUCUAGAGUGCUGGCCACAAUAAUUGAAACCUUACGGAUUGACAGAAGGUAUAUUUACAAUAUGAAGGCGCUAUUGGUACAAUAUCCUCCACUAUAUGUUGAAAACUUAAUAUAGCUUUUAAUUAUAGUUUAACUUUAUUUGGUUGCUCACUCCAAGUUUUACAUAAUACAAUAUCACUGUUGGGUCAGAAAUGAAAACUUAGGGGCAGAUCAGAAAAAAUUUGAAAACAUGAGGCUUUUCAAUAAAAGUCGGGUUGGGAGUGUUAUGCGGUAGUCAUUCUCGCGAGAGAAUCGCGUAUAUGUUUCUUGUAAAAUGUCAUGGUUUUUAAUAGGAUAUAGAAAGAAGGUGGCCAACCCAAAAAAGAAAAAAAAUUUCUUGAAAAUCACUUAAGAAAGUGUUAGGUUUGGGGACAUAUCAUGUUUGUUUUUUGAAUAGGAUUUUUUCCUUUUUCUGCAGGCAAUACAAACUGGAUGGAUACAUCCAAACCUAAAUCUGGAAAAUCCUGACAAACAUGUGGUAUGCUUCUUGAAUUUAAAAUGGAAAUAUUUUCAAAAAAGGUUACUGCUUUUUCACAAGAUGUCUCUCCUGAUUCAGGACGCAAAAGUACUAGUUGGCCCCAAGAAGGAACGUUUGGACAUAAAAGUGGCGAUGUCCAAUUCAUUUGGCUUUGGUGGACACAAUUCAUCCAUCUUAUUCGCUCCUUUUAAAGGAAAUUGAUUAUGGCUAAAGAAAAAACCCUGACCACACGCGUGGGAUGUUAGUCAAUUUACAGCAAUUAAUUAACAUCCAAAUCCAAGUGCGUGCAUUGUGGAACUCUGCCAAGACGUAUAUUUUGUAUUGGCAUGACAUUUGGGUAUUGUUCUAAGACCACUCCGUUUGAUAUGUAUCAAUUAUUAUGAUGCCGCAGUUUAAAAAGACACGCAUGUUGAUCGAUCCUUGUGAGAUGAGAAAUAAAAGUUGAGAUUUUGAUGUCUCUAAAAUUUAACACACUUUUCAAACCAAAUGAUAUUUGUCUAUUAUCUUUCUAGUUUCAUCAUCCAACUGAACUGAACCAUAUAUUUGAUUUUAGAACGAGGUAAUCCAUACCAAAGGUAAUAAUAGUCAGAGGUGGCAUAGCCGUGAUGGUGAAAUUUUUGUCAUAAAAAAAUUUAGGAUAAAAUUUGGUAGACCAAAAACUAAUUUUUGGGUUAAAUUAUUAGCAUUCUUUCUUUAAUCUCAUUAAAUUCUUAUUUUGUUACAAUUACAUAUAAGGAUAAAUAUAAAUAAAAUUAAAACUACUUAUAUUUUUACUCUCUCACUUAAAUUUAUUUUAUUUGUGAAAUAUAUUAUGAUUUUUUCUCUCUUCUCAAUCUAUAUAAUUGAUUCUUGCACAAACUUAAAAUAUUUAUUUUUUAUAUUAAUUAUUUUAAUUUUUGGGAAGCUUUUUUUUUUUUGGUUUUAUUGAGAAAGAAAGUAUGAAUAGUAUAAUAGAGAUAUCAAGAUUUGAAUAGAACAAUACUGUAAAAGAAAUUUAAUUGUGAGAAAGUUACAGAAAAGUAAAAGUUUUACAAAUGAAAAGAGUCUUUUCUUGGAAAAAGAAAAGGAAAAAGUAUUUUUGACAUUAUGUGGAGGAUUUGUAGAGGUGGCCUCAGUUCAACUCUUAAUUUUCUCUCGGAAUAAAUUUCUCUUUACCAAAAUUUAAGCGAGAAAUUGGAAACUAUUAAUUAAGAAUAUAAAAAUUAUAAAUGAGUUAAUCUCAAUAUUAUCACUAUUUAAACAUGUGGCAUAACAUUUUAUUUGGGAUGUUUAAGCAUUAUUAUUAUUAUUAUUUGGGUGCUUUAUUAGCAUGGAUUUGUUGAUUUACGUGUGAACUAAUUAACUCAAAGUCGAAAGGACCAGACGUCUCAGCCUCUAAGACUUCAAUGCACAUGCCAACGUUAUUUCUCUGAUAUUUUCUGAUUGCUCGUUAGAGUCAUCAAUUCAUUAUCUACUAAGCUAUCAAGAACCUCCGGAGCUUCUGCUGCUUUUAUUUCAAUUCCAGUUAUCAAGCAGUUCAAGACACGUUUUGUUUUAAUUUCGUUCAAUGGCAGCUUCUUGUCUUCCUUGUACAUGGCUUCCUGCUUUCGAGCUCGACCAUGCUUUAGAGCCCCUUCUGUUGCGGUCUUCGAAGAGACGCAUGAAGCUCAUAUCGCCAUUAAGUUGCAACAACAGUAACAGUACUAGUUUUGGUAUUUGCAAUGGCUUUUUGAGUAAGCAAUAUUAUUAUAAUGAAUGGCCGCCCUCUUUGGCCUUCUAUGAAUGUAAGUGAGAUUGUAAUAUUUUAUGGUUUGAAAUUUAGAAAGAAAACGGUUAAUCAUUUUUAGAUAAAACGGCUAGCCGUUUUCGUCCAGAGAUUAGGUUUUGGAUUUUACAGAAAACGGCUUGCCGUUUUCUGAUAAAGCGGCUAACCGUUUUCGUCCAAAGAGCAUGUUUUCUGUUCUACAGAAAAUGACUAACCUUUUGGAGAAAACAGCUAACCAUUUAUUUCCAGAGAGCAACUUAUUUUGAUAUUUUGGAAUAAAACGACGAGCCAUUUUCUUCCAGAGAGUGUGUUUUCGCGUCAACUGAAAAAACGAUUAGCAGGCUUAAAAAUUUCAAUUGUGAAUGGAUGCAAAUUUCAAACUAAAAGAGUGUUUGAAAAAAUACCAUUUCUAAUGGUUGUAUUCUUUCAAAUAAACAUCUUCUUCAUUAAAAUAGAUACACACAUUAGAUUAAUAUCAGAUUUUUACAGAUUUCUUUUGUGUUCUUGGAAUACAAUCUUAUUUGCUAGAGAUUGUAUUCAGGAUUUAUUAUAUCUUGGGGGUAAUUUGCCAUUAAAACUCUAUAGCAAACCAAGAUUGGUGAGGGCAAAUAAAAUCUUAAAGGAAAGUGUGUAAACACGUCUCAAAUCCUAUCAAAUUCUCUUACUAUUAUUUGCCUCCAUAUUUGAAAAUCCACCAACAGUCUUUAAGGUUUUAAUGUUACAUGGAGGCUGAGAAGAAUUUGACUUCAUUUCUUAAUCCAAGUGUCCAUCUCGAUCGUUUUGAUGGCACUAAUUUUACUCACUGGAAGGGAAAAUUGUUCUUCCUUCUCACUGUUAUGAAAAUUGCACAUGUUCUUGAUCCAAAAUUGGAAUCAUUUCCAGAGCCAAAAGAAAAUGAUACCGAAGUUGUUAAAGUUGCAAGGAAAAAGCGUGAAGAUGAUGAAUUGAUGUGUCGGGAUCACAUACUCAAUACGCGUUCUGACAGGCUCUAUAAUCUUUACAAUUCCAUGACUUCUCCGGUGGAAAUUUGGAAGGCUCUUGAGUACAAAUAUAAAACGGAGAAGGAAUGUACUGAUAAAUUCCUUAUCUCUAAAUAUUUUGAAUUUAUUAUGGUAAACACAAAAUUCAUUCUUGAUCAAAUACAUGAGUUACAAAUUAUAGUUGUAAAGCUUCGAGAGUUAAAAGUUGAAAUUUCUGAAUCAUUUCAAGUUGGGGCUAUUAUUGCUAAAUUGCCUCAAAGUUGGAAUGAUUGUAAAAAGAAACUCCUUCAUAGUAAAGAGAACAUAACUUUAGAAGAAUUACAAAAACACUUGGUAAUCAAAGAAGAGACUAGGUCUCGCGAAUCCAAGGAUAAGAAUGAUUCUACUAAGGUUAAUGUUGUUGAAGCUAGUAAAUUUUCAAAGGAUUUCAAAGUCAAGAAUGACAAGAAAUUUAAGAAGUCCAACACAAAAAAAAAAUUUCUGGAAAUUGUUUCUUUUGUGGCAAGAAAGGCCAUCGCCAAAGUGAUUGCAGAUUCAAUAAGAAAAAUGAAGAAGUGAAUUCCCAUAAAGCUAAUGUUGUUGAAGACAAAUAUGAAGAGAUUUGUGCUAUGGUUUCUGAAAUGCAAAUUGGCAUGAUUACUGAAACCAAUAUGGCUGAAACUAAGUCCUACGAUUGGUGGCUUGAUUCGGGUGCAACCAUUCAUGUUUGUAAUGAUUAGAAAUUUUUCUUAUUGUACAAAGAAGAAACGGAAGGACAAAAGGUUUUCAUGAGGAACAAUGAUGCAGCCAUAAUAGCAAGGAAAUGAGUAGUUGAGAUUAAUUUUACUUCUGGAAAGAAAGUUACAUUGUAUAAUAUCUUUCAUGUACCUUCCGUUAGGAAGAAUCUUGUUUCUGCUAGUUGUAUGUGUAAGCAUGGGCUUAAGAUUGUGCUUGAGGGUAAUACUUGUAUUAUCUCAAAGAAUGGAAUAUUUGUUGGGAAAGGGUAUUCUUGUGAUGGAAUGUACAAACUCAACAUUAAUAAUAAUGAUAUCAAUUUAGCUUAUAUGUUGAGUCUUGUGAUUUUUGGCAUGCUAGAUUAGCACAUUUGAAUUUUAGAUCUUUGAAAUACAUGUCUAAGCAUGGUUUGAUUAAUUUCAAUGAUGUUAAAAGUCAUAAGUGUGAAAUCUGCAUCCAAGCUAAAUUAACUAAGAAACCUUUUUCCUAAAGCCGAACGAAAUACUCAAAUAUUGAAUUUAAUACAUACUGAUAUUUAUGAGUAUAAUGACAUUUUAAUAAGAGGAGGUAAGAGGUACUUUAUCACUUUUAUUGAUGAUUGUUCUAGAUACACUUAUGUGUAUUUACUUAGAACAAAAGAUGAAGCUUUUAAUAAAUUUAAAAUUUUCAAAGGUGAGUUGAGAACUAAAAAGAUAAGAAAAUCAAGAUGGUUCAAAGUGAUAGAGGUGGUGAAUAUUUCUCAAUUGAGUUUGAUAAUUAUUGUGAAGAAUUUGGAAUUAUUCACCAAAGAUUAGCUCCAUUUACUCCUCAACAAAAUGGUUUAGCUGAAAGGAAGAAUAUGAUCUUUACGAAUAUAAUUAAUUCCAUGAUCCUUAAUGCAAAACUACCAAACAAUUUGUAGGGCGAAGCAUUACUCACUGCAUGUCUUAUUCAUAAUAGAAUCACAUCUUUGAAAACACAUGUAUCUCCUUAUGAAAUUUGGAAAGGAAGAAAACUAAAUUUGAUGUAUUUAAGGGUCUGGGAUUGUUUAGCUUUUUAUAAAAUACAUGAUCCUAAAUCAUCAAAGUUAGGUGCUAAAGGUAUGAAAAGUGUUUUUGUAGGAUAUGCUGAAAAUUCCAAGGCUUGAUUGUUAAAUAUAGAUUCUAAUGUGAUUGUGAAAUCUAGAGAUGUUGAAUUUAUUGAAAAUAAAAUUUCAACAUGAUUCAAAUAUUGAAUUAGAAUCAAUCAUUAAUCAACCAUGUGAUAAUACACCUGGUACCUCCAUUAAUAAUAAUAAAAGGAAAGAGUAUAUGACAUCUUUCGAACUAAUGAGGAGUCAAUGUGAAAAGAAAUAAAAGAGUUUAGCUCUGGAUUUUAUUUCAUCACAAGCAUUACUCUUCUUAGUUGAAGAGGAUAGAAAUAAUGUACUUAACAAAGUACCAUUAUUGUUAAAUGUUGAAAAUGAUCCAAAGACAUUUAGCGAAGCUGUGUCUUCUAGAGACGCUUCCUUUUGGAGAGAGGCAGUAAAUGAUUAAAUGGAUUCGAUCAUAUCAAAUCAAACAUGGGUCUUGGUUGAUCUUCCUCCAGGAUCUAAACCAAUUAGCAGCAAAUGGGUGUUUAGAAGAAAGUACAAUAGUUAUGGUUCUUUGCAAACUUUUAAGGCUAGAUUAGUAGCCAAAGGGUUUAAGCAAAGAAAUAGUAUUGAUUAUUUCGAUAUAUAUGCUCCAGUGGCAAGGUUAACAUCUAUAAGAGUGCUAUUUGCAAUUGCUUCAUUGAACAAUUUGUAUAUGCAUCAAAUGGAUGUUAAAAUCGAUCUUCUUAAUGGUGAUCUUGAUGAAGAAAUUUAUGUGGAACAAACUUAGGGAUUUGUUUUGCCUGGAAAUGAGAAAAAGGUAUGCAAGUUAGUCAAGUCGCUUUAUGGUUUAAAGCAAGCACAAAAACAAUGGCAUGAGAAGUUUGAUUCGGUAAUUUUAUUUCAUAGUUUUAAGCAUAAUAAGGAUGAUAAAUGUAUAUAUUUUAAAUUUACGAAUGAUUUUGGUGUGAUUAUAUGCUUGUAUAUUGAUGACUUGCUUAUAUUGGGAACAAAUAUGCGAGUAAAUGAUACAAAGAAGUAUUUUACUUCACAAUUUAAGAUGAAAGAUCUUCGUGAAGUAGAUACUAUCUUAGGUGUCAAAGUGAAGAAAUAUAGUGGGGGUUACUCGUUGUGUCAAUUUCAUUAUAUAGAGAAAGUGUUUCUUAAAUUCAAUUAUUUGAAAUUUAAAGAAGCUAAUACCCAUUAUGAUUAUAGUAUUAAAUUACUAGAGAAUUCAGGCCGAGCAGUAGCACAACUAGAAUAUGCCAGUAAUGUUGGUAGCGUGAUGUAUGCUAUGUAUUGUACAAGGCCAGAUAUAGCCUUUGCAGUUUGUAAAAUGUCAAGAUUCACGAGCAACGCUAGUGUUGAACACUGGAAAGCAAUUAGUAGGAUACUUGGUUAUCUUACAAAGGACCAUUAAUUUGGGCUUAUUUUAUAGUGAUUAUCCUAAAGUACUGGAAGGAUAUUUAGAUGCUAAUCAGGUAACCAAUACAAGAGAUAAUAAAUCCACUUCUGGUUGGAUUUUUACAAUUGCUGGAAGAGCAAUUUCUUGGGCUUCAAAGAAACAAACAUGCAUAACUCACUCAACAAUGGAAAGUGAGUUUAUAACACUUGCAACUGCAGGCAAGGAAGCAGAAUGACUGAGAAAUUUGUUAUUUGAUAUAAUGUUGUGGCCACAACCGAUGCCAUUUAUUUUUUUGUACUAAGCUAGUGAAGCUACAUUGUCUAGAGCUUAUAAUAAAGUGUAUAAUGGAAAGUCUACAUAUAUUAGAUUGAAAACAACAAUUAAGAGAUAGAUUAAAGGCUGUAACAGAAGAUUAAAGAGAAGAUAUCAACAAGACUAAGCAAACUUUAGUUUUUCUUCUUCUUUUCUUGUUUUCUAGUUAAUUAUGGAAUAUAUUGAAUGGUUAUAACAAUUUUAUUUAUUGUUCUAUUACAAAUCAUGAAUUGAAUUGGAUUGUGGUUGAGUGAUAAACGAUUUUAAUAGAUAUUUGACUGACAUAUGUAUGUUACUCUGUAUUUGCUACAACAGUUUGUCUUAAUUGUCUUUAUUUUAAUUUCCUAUUUCAGCAGACCACCCAUUUAUUGGAUACUAGCUAGAAAUAGCCUAAAAAAAGUCUGACUUAGUCGAUUAAAUUAAGAUAAUACUUGGUUUUAGAUUGAGUUUCCUAAGUUGAGAAAAUCUCAAUUUGAAUAAGGUCAUACUUAAUAUAAAAUUAGUGAAGAACUAGACAUAAAGAUUAGGAAUACCAAAAGGUUAGGUCGGGCUCGGGCUUGGCCAAGCCCUACCCGACCCGAUAAAAAAAAAUAAAACCCGACCCUAAAAAAACCCAAAAAAUAUUUAGUUAAGGUCGGGCCUGGCCAGACCCGAAUUGGGUCAACAUCGGGUCGGGCCCAACCCAACCCUACCGAAAUAGUUAAUCCUCCCAUUUCCCACCACCAUUUCAACUAAUUCGGCAAUUCCUCAACCAUUUCAAACACAAUUCAAUUCCACUUUCCACAACCAUUUCAACCCCACACACAAUGUAAUUCUACAACCAUUUUAUUCAUAUACAAUUCAAUUUAACAACCCAACAUAAAAAAUAAAAAAUAAAAAAACUCAUGUCUUAUACAAAUAAAAACACACAAUUUAGUUCAACAACCCAACAGUAAAAAAAAAUGUUUUAUACAAAUAAAAAACUCAUGUCUUAUAAUUCAUAAAAACUUAUAAUUCAUAAAAACUCAUAAUUCAUAAAAACUCAUAAAAAUACACAAUUUGUUCGGGCCUUAAAAGUUUGACCCUAACCUUAAAAUUUCGAGUCAAAACCCUAAAAAUUAAGUUUGAGUCAAUCGGGGCAAAAAUAUGAUCGGGCUAAAUUGCCAAGCCUAAUAAGGAUUCACUAUGUAGGAUAAACGAAUUCAAGAACAUUUAAUGUUAUAUCUAAUAUUAGCAUAACAAUUAGUCAUUGUUAAGUUAUGUUAGGUAUAAGAUAUCUAACAGGCGAUAGCUGAAAAUGCAUAAGAGAUUCUACUCAGUGCUGUAAUAGAUGAUGUAGCAACGGUAUUGUAAUUGAAAAAAUAGUCAAAAUCAUCAAGUGGGUUUAUUAACUCAAUUACUCAUUUUCCAUUAAUUACAUCCUUGUGUUUAACGUGAAAAUUUUCUUCAUUGUAUUUUAUUUGUUUCCUUUUUAUUUUAAUUAGUUUGUUGAUUUUAUUAAUUGUCUUAUUUUAAAAUAGAACAAAACUACACUGUUAAGAUUAUUGUAGCAAAUCUGAUAACAUCAAUCCAUGUAGAGACGAUCUAAAUACUAAUUAGUAUAUUACUUAUUGUGUAUACUUGCACAUUGACACCUAUAGCAAGUCGCACGCCAAGGUUGUUUGACAAUGUUAAAGAUAUUCAACUCCAUAGUCAUAUUGCCAAAAAACAAUUACAUAUUUCCAGUCUUGCAUUAAAUAUGAGCAUCAUCAGUUGCCAAGAAAGGUCGGUCUAGGAUAAUAGGGUUGUGCUUUUUUGAAUCCUAUAUUAAUUAAGUGUCAAUCAUAAUCAAUGAGCACAUCCUCUAUAAUACCGCGAGAUAUUUUCAUGGAUCAAUUUGCAAGUUAUAACCCAACUGGAGUUAGAUGUAAUAUUCCCGGUCCAAGUUUCACAAGUCCAACAAAACAUUCUCAAAUGUGUGAUUUACUAUAUCACAUGAGAUAGUAGGACAACCUAGGUCUUUGUAUUUUAAAGAAAUUUUAUGUUAAAGUAUGAAGCUAAUGUUUUCUGUUAAAAAUGCCUUCUUUUGAACAUAAAUGUUUCUAAAACGAUCAAUAAGUACACAAAUGGACACAGGAAAUUAUCACAAUUUUGGACCGGAGUGAGGAAAGAUAACAACUCGAUUUCAAUUUUAGGUCCAAACACCCUCCAACUUUCCAAUAUAUUACAAUACAGUAAGGAAAUUACAAUAAAAGCAGUUGCUUUGACGAGGCAAUGCCAAAGGUGCUGAUUAUUCUUCACAGACAACAAUCACAAGACAUAAAACUUCAGUACUAUACUAAAAUAACAUCCUCACAAACUUUAGCACCAAUGAUCCCUUCAUGCCAUUUCAUCCAUGUGCAAUUUAUGACAGGUUGCAGCUACAAUACAAUGAUAAACAAAAUUACAUCAAAGAAAUAAUAAUAUCAGAAUUGAUGACAAAUUAUCUCAUUUUUCUGCAAAAUGACUGGAUUCUGUACCUACUGCCGACGCCAAAGAAAUGAACAGGAAUUUGUCAGUUACUCUCAAGAAGCAACUUGUGAUGCCUUGCACUGGAUUCCGUUUCACCCCAAUGCCUGUUUUUACCCUAUAAUAGAAAUACAACCAUUGAAUCAUGCUUACCGAAAGUUCAUACUUUCUCAGAAAAAGGGAAAGUAAACAUGAGAUUAUGUAACAAGUAGGUAGACAAGGAAAACUAUAAAAGUCACCUGUGGAGGAUUGAUUACAAUUUUGACAGUCUUGGCCAUGCUUCCUCUAACUUCAUAUUCGAAACUUUUUUUCAUAUCGGUUAGGGUUAGUUCCUUCAAGGUACUCAACUUUUCAAGUUCAAUAGGCUUCUUCAUUUUUUUGCAACAUCUAAUCUCUAAUUCUCUUAGUUCAGGCAUGGCUUCUUUACCAAUAGUCCACUCUCGCAACUCCUUCAGCACCCAUAACUUCAAUACACGGAGUUUUGGAAAUCCACCAUCGCCACAAGUCAUUUCUUCCCCCAUGAAAGAAUGAGCAAAAAGCCUGAGAAUGUUCAGUUCUUUUAGCUGUCCUAGCACUGGCAUUGGGUCUUCCGAUAGGUAUGACAAUGACAAAGUAAGGAUUCUGAGAUUUGGUGGAAGCUUGUCUAGUUUAAGUGGUUCUGGUAACUUUCCAAGCAAAUACAACUCAUUCAGUGCCCUGUGAUUAUUCAGGGGUCCAAUAACAAGGUCCGAGGGUUCACCAAAAUCAUUUAGUGAUCUCAACCUUAAAGACUCAAGACUUAUCAGGUCUUGAAUCCACUUAGCUAUCUGCCCAAGCGAUGCAAUAUGGCAGGUCAGACCCAAUUUCUUAAGACCCCUCAAGCUUUCCAACCAAUUCAAUGGAGGGCUCUUGUUGCCGAUUAAUAAGGACCACAAUGUCUGAAGGUUGGUUAAAGAAUAUUUGACAAAUGGCUUCUGAACUGACAUUUGCAAAUAAAUAUCAUUCAUAUAGAGAUGCCUAAGUGUCUUUACCUUCCAGAUUGACUUAGGCAAUGAGGUUAUAUUAGUGUGCUUCAAAUCUAAAGUCUCUAGGCAGGGAAGAUCACCUACUGACUCUGGAAUUGAAUCAAGAAAAGUCCACCUCAGACCAAAAUACCUCAGAAGCUGCAGCUUUCCUACUGUUUCUGGUAGCACUGGUUUGUAAACACCUUCAAGAUCAAGCACUCUGAGCAAUCUGUAGCCUCUUCUAUUGAUCAUCUUGUUAAGCAAAUUACCUACUUCAUCUGCAGGUUUAUCUCCCAUUCUCUUGUCGAAAGAUAAAUAAGAAUGCAGACAUUCGAUGUAUUCAUCUGGAGGAACACUGUCAUUCUGGUUGUAUAAAUGCUCUGAAAGCCUGCGGAUGCAUAACUCUGGUAAACUGGAGGUAGAAUCUGAUUUUGCUUUGUGAUGGUGGUAAAAUCCCAUUUUCUCGGCAUUCUGAAAAGUGUCAUAGAGAGUACUUGGCACACGGCAUGUUUUAGGCCUUCCAUCUGACCUUCGUUUUACUACUUCGAUCAUGUUCCUUUGCUCCAGUUGUUCAAAAUCUUUCCUUGCCCGAUCUUCAGGAGUCAUUUCUUCCCCUUCGCUUGGGGUCACAAAUCGCUCAGCAAGCCAUAACUGAAGCAACCUCCUUACAGGGAUCUCAUGUGAUUUGGGAAAGAGACAGAGAUAAUGAAGACAUGCCUUUAGAUGCGCUGAUAGAUACUUAUAUCCCAGACCCCAGAUAGAUGAAGCAUCCAAGUUAUCUGAGGGAGGCAAUUCAUCCCGAGAACCAGAUUGAUCUUUAUCUGAUGCCACCUGUUCAACAUGUUGAAUCUGCUUUUCCUUUUUCUUUCCCCCAGGCGUGAACCCCUCAAUCACCUUUUCCCAAUCAGAAUUUUGAAUCUGCCUGUUAGUAGAUAACAAACCUCCCAGCACACAUAUUGCAAGAGGUAGACCGCCGCAUUUUUUCCAGAUCUUUUCCUUGAGGUUCAAUAAUUCUGAAGCACGUUUCUCUCUCCCCACCUUCUUUAGGAACAAUUCCCAACUCUCAUCUACAUUCAGUGGACGAAGCUGGAGAAGAAUGAUUGACGGACUGAAAGCGCGAGCAACAAAAGCUUCUCUGGUAAGUAGGAUCACUCUGCUGCCACUUGAUGAUGUGUUGGGCGAGAAGAUCCUUUGGAGUUCAUACCAAGCACCAGGUAAAUGGACAUCAUCCAACACUAUCAGGUACCUCUUAGAUUGAAAAAGCCGUAUAAGCCUACUUUCCAAUUCAUUGAGCGCCAAUUCUUCUGCAAUCUUCACCCGUGUGACCUGUUCCAGUAUGUCAAUGAAGACUUUUCUCAAAUCAAAAUCAUGAGAAACGUAAACAUUAGCCCAAGCAUGGUACUCAAAAUUCUGCCUUAUAUAUGAACUGUUGUAAAUUGUUUCCACCAGAGUGGUCUUGCCACAGCCGGCCACACCCACCACCGAGAUAAGGAAAUACUUACUGCUGCUACUCAUAGUCAGUUGAGCUAACCUCAACAACUGAUCCUCAAGACCGACCAUCUCUGCUUCCGGUCCCAAAAUCUCUGCAACUGAAAUAUGUGGCCGAAUGGUAUUAACAUCAUCGUCAUUCCCGACAACAACAGCUUCGUUUAAAGGAGAUCGUGCUUUCAUUUCUUUGAAGCUGAGAUUCAAAUCUCCUCCAAAGAAGUUCAGAUUUCGAUGCAUUGCUGCAUCAGCUUCACGAAAACUUAAAAUCACCCGGCUACCACUCAGCGAGUUGGGGAAAAGGAACUUGAUAAUCUCCCAAAUAUCAGGUGUCCGGACAUCAGUUAAUAUCACUAAGUAUCUCUUAUGAAUCAAGUAAUUAUGAACCACUGUUUGCGGUGACUCGAGCGACUUCUCUUCCAGUUCCACAUCAGUCGGAGCAAAUUGGUUUAAUAUGUUGAUGGCAAGUUCUCUUUUAUCAAGCCUUGGAGGAACAAGAAACCAAGCACGGCAUUGAAAAUGAUUCUUGAUAUCGUCACAGCUGUAGAUCUUCCACAACUCAGGUGUCUCAGCAGAUCCAGCCACAUCCACCACCGGAAUGUGGAGAGGUGAAGGGUAAUCAGAGAGGAUUAGUUCUGCCAAACCCUUUACUUCAUCAUUCAAAAUAAAAUCCAGCAUACCAGUUUUCUUAUUAGAAUUAGCUGCCUCAGAAGCGUUAUUGAAUGCUGCAUUUUCGACGGGGAGCUUCGUACUUGACCUGGUGCCCUGCAAUUCAGGUUUCUUUCUUGACUUGCCGCUCGUCAGCGCUGCCGCAUCUACAAGCAUCGCACUUGACUCUUCUUUGAUAACACCUACUAAUUUCUUCAUCUUAUCGCUGAAACGACUUUUGAUGUAGGCAGACCUCAAAUCGAUACCAGCUUUAACCAAAUGAUUCUGUUGUCGGUAAAAUUCUUUUCUGAUUUCCUUGAGGAAUGUGUCUAUGGUGUCCUCUGCAAGGUAAACAGCUCGCAGAAACUCAGGACUAAGGCCAUUACCUUCUUGACCUUCCAAGGAUUUCAGCUCUUUGAUGGAAUCUCUGACUUGGGAAGCCAGAGCCGGAUCUAUUAUUUCCUUUUCCACCUCUCUUAGUUUCACUAUCACCGGCAAAACGGUGGUUUCGACGGCCAUCGAUUCUCAAACUCCUUUGUGAUUGCGAAUAAGAAUAUAAUCUGGUAAAACUUUUAGCUUUUUGGGAGAUUAAAUUCUAAAAUUCCUCCCUGAAUCCAUAGUCUGUCCAUAAGCGUGAGGUUGACUAUUAAGCGGUUCUUUUUUUUAAUUUUUUAUUUCGAAGGGUGGACAUUUUUUAUCCUAUUUUGUGUCUGCCAUUGCGAUCAUGUGUUUGGUAGGAGUAAGAGAGCGGGUCCCACCGAGGGCAGUUAAAAUCACCCUUUUGGCGGGCCAUGACAAACAACAUGAAUCGAAGAAAAUAUAGAAUACGCAAUUGUUUAAAUUUUCCCACAAACAAUAAGGUUAUGAACUUACGGUUGUUGUUUCGAGUUAGAAUUUCAACCACAUUCAGGGAAAAAAAAUGAAAAAAGUUGGAAUUUCAACUCUUGUGUGGUUUUGAAUUUUUUCAGAUGCAGUCUUAACUAAUGUGCUGGAGUUGGCGGUUUCAACCACAAUCAAGCUCUCGUUCCAAAGUAUUCGGACUUCUUGGUGGCCGAAGUAAUGAGAGUUAGAUACUUUUGUCAAAUUCAUUUUCUGGAAGCUAAAUUUAGCUCUAACCCAUCUUUUAUCUGGAGGAUUAUUUUGUGGGCUAGACAGGUCCUUCAAAAGGGAACAAGAUGGAGAGUGAGAAGAGGAGGCGAUGUUCCAAUUAUGGCAAGUAAUUGCAUUCAGGCCAAUAAUAAUUUAGGCCUAACUUUGUUCCAUCCUUACCUGCAGUUGCUAGAGUCUCAGUGCUAAUUGACCCCAAUCAUCAGUGGAAUGACAGCUUGAUUGACCAGCAUUUGCAAAUGAGGAUGCAGAGAUUAUAUAGAGAAUCCCAUUACUAAGAACUUCCCAAAAAGAUGAGCUACUGUGGCAUUGUGAUAAGAAAGGGCAAUACACAGUGAGGAGUGGCUAUCACUUAGCUCUCAACUUUAAGUUUGCUGCCUUCCCAACAAGUUCAACAGGUGAUUCUCAUGGCUGGCACACCAUAUGGACUCUCAACUACCAGAGAAGAUCAAAAUCUUUCUGUGGAGGGCUGACAAGAACUUGUUGCCAAAUUCAGAAAACAUAUCAAGAAGGGAAACUUUGCAAGAACCAAUGCGCCAAAUCUGCAAAACUGGGGUUGAACAAGUGUUUCUUGCUCGAGUGAGCUAGAAUUUGUGGCGGCUAUCUGGCGGCCAGCAUGACAUGCAAGGAACAAGUUCAUUUUUUUGGGACAGAAACUAAAUCCCUUAAUUUCAGCUGCUAAGGCUCAAGCAGUUAUGGAGACUUUUCAAAGAAUGCAAGCGAAGGAAUAGGUGUGCACAAGAAGCACUGAAGGCAGCAAGCAGAGACAGUGGUAUCCACCGCCUACAGGCCAUUAUAAAGUCAAUUAGAUGUUGUUGCCCACAAAGAUCAGCAGAAUAAAGGGCUAGGUGAUGUCAUCAGGUAUUGCCAUGGCCAAGUGAUAGCUGCAGCACUCAAAAGCUCAAGGUUUCAGGAGAACGAAUCUACAGCAGAAGCUGAAGCUGUCAAAUGGGGGACGGAGGUGGCAAAAGAGGCAAGGUUAACAGCUGUGAUCGUUGAAACGGAUUGCAAUGAAGUGGUUGGUCUAGCCAACAACAAAAUCUGCAGCAGAAUGGAGAUCUUUUGGAUUAUUUCAGAAAUUCAAAGAUGUGAAAGAGACUUUCAAAAUUUGAACAUGCUCCAAGAUCUUGUAAUGACUUUGCUCACUCUUUUGCUAAAAGAGCCUUGAAAAGCUCUAAAUCUGUCAUAUGGUGGAUGAUUUUCCAGCUAACGUAAUAUGUCUUUUCCCUUACAUUAAUGAAUGACAGGAUCACUUUCUUAUCACAAAAAAAAAAAUGUUAACAAAACCUCCAAUCAAAUGUAGCAAGUAGCUAAUUUUAAUAACUGGAUACAGAACUUUGACACAAAAAAAAUUCAAAUAUUUAAUAUUUCGAUUCUUGAAUUCAUAAUACUGAUAUGGCCGCAAGCCCUAAAAAUAACUAUUUCACAUCCAGUUUUGCUCUAGCAUGGCCUUGAGAUAUCUGGAACUGAUCUGUCAUGCCAAAAUGAGCCAUAAGGAGCCAGACAUGAGUGAGAAGCUCUCCUCCUCGUUUUAGCUGACGUGCAUGCUCACUUCCUCGACUCUGACUUGCAGCAUAAGUUAACAUUUCCAACCAAACAUCUCUGACCAUCUUCCAUCUAUUCUUUGAAUCUGAAAUUUCAUUCAAUGCAGAUGCAACCCUGCAUGCAUCGAAUAACACAGACUUGCUUCUGUCUCCUUUAACUUUAAUGGGCAGGACUUGAGUUUUCACUUUCAGUAACAUUUUGCAAGCUUGAAUUCUUCUUUCCUUUCUCCGAUCACAAGCUUUUGUGGCAUGAGUUUGGCUCGUACAAAAAAUGGACAUUCGUUCUUCCCAAAAAUUCUUUCCUUCAGAAAGAGUGUCUCGAAAUCUAAUAAGGCCUAUACCAGCUGGCAAUAAGGAAGGAUACAAAAGUAAGAGAAACAUCAUGUACCUUGACAGGAGCUUGCCCAUUUUUCGAUUGAUGUCACCUGAAAUGUUGCCCCAACUACGUGAAUAAUAGCAAAGUUCUGUUGCAAUGUGCCAGAUAACAAUGCUUUGAUCAAAUUCAACGUCCUUAAUACUCCAAUCAAGAGAAAGAUGCUUAUUAUACUUUACAAGCGCAAUGCUUCCCCUUUUGGUGCACAAGUCCCUAAGACUAACAUUGCUUCCUAUAUUUUCCUUUAGUUGAUCACAUCUCUUCUUGACAUAUUUGAAGAUUGACUUUUGUAAAUACCUUGGCAAUUCUUUGUAAUUCUUGUAUCGGUGCUUUUCCCAUAGUUCACUGAUGAAGCCGCACCUCAGGAUUUUGUAGCAAGGUUUUUCUUUGAGGCAAACAUGUGUAAGACUGUAUUGCCCCAUGGAACUUGACCACCUAGGAGGUUUAACCACUGAUUCCAUACAAUUAAUUGCUUUCAAGUAUUUGCUUUUCUUUUGCUGAAUGAACCACACAUUGGACUGGUCUGAGAGAAGUAGAGCAUAAGCUGCAUAUAAUUCUAGAAAAAUUGCCACACCUAGCAAAAGGUAAGUUAUACUAAUGUUCACCUUAGAAUAAUGCUGCUUGUCAGUAAAAGAGAAAAUCCCCAGUACAAUGCAGGUGAGCAUAAUAGUGAUAAGACGGCGAACAUGACCGCAAGGAGUGUAAAUUACAGAUGCCUUGGUGUAAAGCAUAUCAUACAUCAAUCCUAGCUCGAUGGCAAUCACAUUAAAAGCAUCUUCCUGAGACAUUUCCUGGAAUAAAGAUUGACUAAUGUCGCGGUCCUGGAAACUGAGGAUAAGAUCUGCAAAAAGGCGCUUGAAUGUCUGAAACAACCUAUGAGCUAUAAUCAAGUUGCUGGCAUCAGAAGUUGAGUCUUCUUCUCGAUGAGGUAUAGUUAUUUCAACCUUAUCUUUCACCUCUUUUGGCUCCACAUAAAAUCCCUCUGCAUCUUUCAAACAGUACUCGUUCAUGAAUUUGGGAUAGUUGGGACCAGGAUCAGGAUCUGUAAGCAUAGAAUCUCUAAGUUGAUCCCUGCUUGCUAACCAAAGAGUACAUGUCCUCUCUCCAUACUUAAUAAACCCAAUCACAAUCAUUGGAAUUGUAAGAAAUGAAAGACGAGAGCCAUUCCAUGCCGUGAGAAAUAUGUAAAGAGUGGUCACAGUUUGGACGCCCAGUUGAAAUGCAUGGCGCAAGUACAAUUCAUUGUCUUCUACAGAGUAAGCUGUAAUAGUAUCAGGGCCACCCAAGUGAAGCAGAAAGAAUGGUGCCCAAAAUGCAGUAACUUCGUUGUUGGCGUCAUCGACAGAACCUUUUUUCUCAUAGAUUUCACCUAGGUUAUUUAAGAGUACACCAAGGGCCAUGGUUGCUACGGCAUCUGCAAGCAAGUAGGCACACCAAACUGGAACUUUAAUCAUAAUUUUGGGAUUACACUUCCUGCGAUUGCCCAUGAGAAUUAGAGAGAUUUGUGAGGCGAGGCUGAGGAAAACCAGUGCUCUCAGCUCCCAUUCCUUCCACAAAUCCUUUAACCUUUGAGGAAUCACCUCCAUCAUCAUCCUCUUUCUCGCCAAGAUCAAGCUGCCGACAGCUGAUAAUUUACAAUACAAAAAUAAUUGAAGAUUUGAUUUUCCCAGUGAAUGACAUAGAUUAACCGUGAAUGAGAGUAGUGUUUAAUUUUAUCUCAAAUUAAAGUAUACCUGAUUUCGUAUUAAUGAAAAUGCCUACGCUAGAAUUAAAUCAGUUACGCACCUGCUGUGAGCAUCAUUUUGGCUAUUGCAGUUCUUGUUCUAAACCUGUUUGAACUUGAGAGAAAGCAGACGUCUUGAGUUCUAACCAAGCCGUCAUGCACAGUGUCUGAACAGCAGGAGAUAACGGGCCCUCAUGAAACCUGCACCACAGAAGCACCUUUCCAAUGUCCAAUAUUCAAAAAUUAAAUUUCAAACUGAAUAAUCAUUUCAGGUUCAGGCGACUGUCAACUUCAACUUUCCACCGUUGCCACCACCAUCAACUUCUUUUCGGGCGCUUCCCAAAACCCAGAUGAGAAGAAGCUCGACAGGCUGACGGAGGUAAUUGCAGCAGAUACACCUUGAUACUUUCAAAAUUAUCCCAAUACCCUGAAAUCAGAAUUUACCAAAAUUUUCAUCAAUACCCUCUAAAAGCUUACAUAAAAUUAGUAAACCAUCCUCGUCUUAAAACACUUACACAACUCAAACAUUCAAACACUCAUACAUGUUGAACUAGACAUCAACACAUGAGCAAAUCGAGCUUGAAAAGGGGAAGCUAUUGCAAUUGAGAAAGAGAAGCUUGGUUCGUCGUUGACAAUUGCCGACGAAAUACGAUUCUUUACUGCAAAAUUGUUGGAAUCUAACUAUUUUCGAAAAGUAAUUCCUUAUAAUUAGCUUUUUUUUUAUAUUUAAAGAAAAAUAAAACAUUUAAGAUCUUAUAUUGCAAAAAUAUAUUAAAUUAGUUGUCGGUCUUUCAUAACAUAUAAAUUUCUAGUUGUUUGCUCCAUAUAAAUGGUGAAAUUUAAUAGAUUGUACAGAUUAUAAUUUAAUUGUAUAAUGUUGUGUAACUCACGAUUUGGUCGUGUAAGGUCAUGUAACAUAAGAUUUAAGGUCGUGUAAUACACUCAUAUAAUACACGAUCAUCAAUCGUAUAUGACAUGACUUUUUGUAUUAUUAUGCGAUCUUGAAUUAUUUAUUACAGGACUUUCACGAUCUUUAGUUGUAUAUUACAUGACCUUCAUGUAUUAUAAGACUUUCAUGUAUUAUAUGACUUUAUGUAUUACGCGAUUACACGACCUUAAUGUAUUAUACGGUUUUAAAAUUACUCGACUUUUUUUCAUUAUUCAUUAGAAUAAUUUAGUUCUUUAAACACUUAAUUUGUGUUAAGAAUUUAUAUUUGUUGCUAUGUAGAAAAUGUCAAUGAAAAUUAUUUAAAAAAAGAAUUGAAUACAUAAUUAUAUUUGUAUAAGAGAUUAUAAGAGAUUUUAAUCGAAUUUCAAUAAGAAGAAAUUUGAGUGUAAGAACUAAGAAGACAAUGAAAAGGAGUGGAUUUCAUGCUUUCAUUUUAGACUUCAUAGGCAUUUAUUAGGGUAUCUAUGAAAAUAAAAAAAAGGAGAAAAUAUUUAAAUAAUUUUACAACUAUUAAAAAGUAUUUAAUUAUAAACCCCCGGGCUGAAGUCCCGUGACUCCAGCUUAGAGAGAGGAUGUCAAAUCAAAAGAUAGCAUGUGGCCCGGGCUGCUCAAAUCGUCCGGCACAGAAUGGUCCAUUGAUGGGCUAGCCCACUAGACCCGUAUUUUAUAAUUUUAAUUUUUUAAUUUAGACUAUUUUUCUUUUUCUUUUUAUUUUUUUCACAUACAAUUAUUUUUAAGGCAUAUUAUUUCUUUGAACGAAAUUUUAAAAAUCCAUUAGUUCAACUCAAGACUUUAAAGAUUUUAGUGCAAUAAUAAAACCACUAAAGUUGCGUUUGGGGUAGCUAUGCUUUUAUAUUAACAUUUUGCAAGGGCCAAUAUAUAUGUAUAAAUAAAUUAAGUGAAUUAUUAAAUUUAAAUAAGAUAGAUCAUAGAUGUUGAUAUCCAAAAUAGUAACGACAGUAUUAACAAUAGUCAUAGCCAUGAUAAUGUAACAUAAGUACAGAUUAUUUUUAACACAAGUACAAAGUUUUGUAAUUUAAACUAUAUUCAACUAAAGGAACAAAAUUUAUUGUUUCUAAAAACUAUUCAAUUUUGGGAAAAGGACCACCUUGUACGAAUCUUGGGAAAAAAGUAAUGAUCUAUAGGGGACAAUUUAUUAUAACUCAAUAUUAUGUGAUUGCUUUUAACACUUAUAUAACACAUCAUAAUUGAAUGUAUAAUUUUGAUAUCUUAAUUAAACUCCUUUCCUCCAUCUUGAUUAAUAUUUAAAUGAAAAUAAAAGAAAUUAGUAUUUUGAAAAAUUUUGACUGCAAAGUAUGUGUAAUGCUUUUUUACAUUUUUAAAAAUAAAAUAAAUAUAAUUACUAUAAAAUAGCCCCUUUUUUAGAUUUUGACCCUUCUUCUCUUCUUAUUUUUUUUUGUCUUCUUCUUCUUAUAUUUCUUUUUUUAAUAUUUAUAAAAUAUUUAUUAUUAUUAUUAUUAUUAUUAUUGUGUUAUCGUAAAUAAAUAAAAAGGUUAUUAUCGUUUCACUAUUUCAAAUAUUGUAAAAUAUCAAAUGAGUACAAAAAAUUAUUGUUUCUUAUUAUUUUACUACUACAGCUUUGCAAAGUCUUUUAUUUUACUACUUUUUUGUUAAAAUUGUUAGUUGACUAGUUAAAAAGUAAUUUUGUCUGUUAUGGCAAAACAAACAAAUAGAGGUAUCAAAUAGUAGACAAAAAAUCAUAUUAUGCCCUUAAAUUAUUAGAUAAUAGUUUUAACUAUUGAUUUAUGAAUAAUCUUUAAUUUAUUAUAACUAUAAAAUAGCGAAUUGACCAAAAAAAAAAAUCCUUGGAUACUUUGUUAAAAAGAAAUACAAUCUAUUUUCAACAAAAAAAAAAAAUUAAAGCUUAUCUUCAGAAUCAACACUUCUAUAUUUUAGUUUUUUUUAAAGAAUAGAUUGUGUCUUUUUUUAAGAAAAAUAUCUGGGGUAUUUUUGUCAGUUCAAUACUUUUAUAGAUAUAGUAAAUUUAAGUUUAUUAAUAAAUUCAUGAUGAAAACUAUUAUUUAGCAGUUUAAGGGCAUAACAAUAAUUUUAUGUCUAUUAUUUAAUACCUCUAUUUGCAUAUUUUACCAUAAAAGGGUAAAUUGAUAUUUUAUUAGUCAAUUAAUUAGUCAACUAAUGGUUCUAAUAGAAAAGUAGUCAAAUGAAAGAUUUUGUAAAAUUAUAGUAAUAAAACGGUAUGGAACAAUACUUAUUAUAGUUAUUUGAUCUUUUACAAUUUUUAAAGUAUUAGAAUAAUGAUAACCCUAAAUAAAAUUAAUAACUAGAAUUCUUUUAAGUAAUUUUUUAUAACCUAACUUGAUUAUGUUGUUAUAAGUAAAUCUUAAAAUUUGGUGUAUUUAAUAGUUAUAUUAGUGUUUUAAGUAAGCAAAAUUAAUUAAUUUAAUUAGUUGAGUAAGAAUAUUUUUGUAAUUUUAAAGAGUUUACAAAAUAAAACUUAUUUUUCUUAAAAUUAGUAUGUGAAUAUUUAUAGUAAUAGAGUAUUUAAAGUAAUUUUUAGAGUGCAAAUGGCCAAACCCAUAACUUAUUCUUUUAACUCGAUGAUUUUUAUAAUCCAGUGGUAAUACCUUAAUAACGUGAAUUCAAGCCCCCCUAGGGCUUCAUUUCCUUUCCUAAUAAUUGGAUUGGGUAGAUAUCUCCUCAUAUCAGUGGAAGCAGAUUUCUAAGUUAGUGCUAGGCAAACCUUAGGGAAACGUAUGUAUUUAUUGUCCCAAAAAUACCAUAUUGUAAUAUAUCUAUAGAUUAUAAUAAUUUGAAAAAUAAACCUAACUUUUAACAUAAAAUUCAAUAAAUUUUGUCACAUUCCAAAUUGAGUUGAAUUUAUGUUAUUUAUUAAUGUUAUGUUAUUUCCUUUCAAAUUUUUAUUAUACUACCAAAUUCGAUUUAUUGUAUUGUAGUGUUUCAAAUUUAAUGAUUUAAAAUUACAUUGCAACAAACUUUUCUUUUAAUAUCAGUGUUUCUUUUAAUGUUAUUGAAUUCAAUAACUUUAAAUCUAAUAUCAGUAUAUCACAUUCUAAAUAAAAUUGGGUUGUCGGUUAUUAAUAAUUUUAUUUUUUAAUCGUUAAUUACACUAUGAAAAUUGAAUUAUUAUGCUGUUGUACUUCAUAUUAAACAACAUAAUAUCUAAUUGAAUCAUAUUAAAAUUUUUUUUUAAAGUAACUAAAUGCAAUAAUUUUAGAUAUCAACAAAUUUUGUCACAUUCCAGUUAAUUGAAUUUGAAUAUUAAUUGUUGUAAUUGUUUCAAUUAUUAAUUAUAUUAUUAAAUUUGAAUUGAAUGUGUAAUUUUAAUCUUUUAUUUUUUUUGUUAAGGUAAAAUGUAUUCUAGAAUUGAAUUUCAAAUGGUCAGUUAAAAGAACAAAAACAAAAAAUCACUUGAACAAACUUUGGCAAGCCGAAGUUUGAUCAUUUUAUUUCAAUUCAAUAACAUGUAAUCUUUUUUUUUUAUUAUUACAUGAAACUAUUGCUCAUAGUACAACUCAUAUUACAUGAGAUUAUAACUGAUAUUUACAAAUUAGACUAUUACUGGGACCAACUUACAUCAAUGCUAAUAGAGUUCUGCCCAGAUUUUUAACCUUCACUAAUAUUCGAAAGAUGUCUACUCCAUUCACACUUGGGUAAGGGAUAAGACUACCUUUACUCAAUUAUACAAUAUAAUUAAGGAGAAAAUACCCUCACAUUGGGGUUGCGGGAGUUCGAAUUUCUGUCCUCCAAGAGCCCUAACCACUUGGCCUCUAACAUGUAACCUAUUUAAAUUGAUUUGAAUUUGAAAUUAUGCUAUAAAAUUUGAAUUGAAUAUUUUCGAGAAUCAUCCUUUUGAAAUUGUUCCGGCUUUUUAUGUUUUGCAUACGUAAAAGUCGCUUUGUCUAUCGUGCCCGUUGGGCACCAUCGUCUUGUAGUGAAGCCAUUGUUGGAUGAAAAGGAGCAAUGUCGUGCAGUCGUGAAGUGGGCACGUGCCACCUGAAGCAAACCGAGAAUGUAGGUCAUUAGAUAAGAAUCAUUAAUGUUGCAAUUAUUUUGUUUAAGGGAACAAGAAAAUAUUGGUGUAUAUAACUGUUGAUGCGAGAUUCUGGUUACGCCUUCCAACGACCAGGAUGUCUGCUCGAUCAACCUCACCUCGAUCAGGAUCUCUCCUCGUACGCUUUCUUCUCUAAGUAUCCCUGCGUUCACAGAAACAAGUCAGAGCACGCCGGUUGUUUUCCCGGCGUAAACCCUCCGACGCUCAAGUCAGAUAUGAAGGCUCUGGGAACGCUUGCCACAAAUCUUAUGGCUUUUAGGUCGUUUGUUCUCUUUUAGAAUUUUACUUUAUCUCUCUAUAAUCUCAAAAUUGCUAACCCUUUUACCUUCGUUGGCUACCUUUUUAUAGGUCACCUCUGAACUCGGGCCUCCCCUCCAUUCGCGCUCGCCAUCCCCCCACUUCUCGAAAGUGGAUGCUCCAUUGCCAUAGUCGUGGGUGGUUGCGUGGCCCUCGAGCCUUGAUUCUCGGACUGGAGAACAUGUCUCACCAACUGUCGUUGACCGGGUCUCCUCGACCCAACCGUUAGUAGGAAUAUAGCAGGAAUGGCUUCACACUCCCAACAGGAGACUGACCUCGUGGAAGAGCAGGAUACUCCUGCUCCUGCUCCCCCGGCUACCAGACUCUUGCAAGAUAUACCUGUUCGAGGAAACCUGCUACCAGGCGCCUGCUCAUCACUGCUGGUUGUGGUCGAAACAUAUCCCACAAACACCAGUCCCCCAGUUUCUUGUGUUGGAUAGCGUAGUGAGCCAACAGUAGAAACUCGACAGUUCUUGCUCGCGUGGGAUAGAAAAAGGCUGCCAAGAGUCGUGUCGCAUUUAAUUGCGGAUGAGAUGAUGUGGCAGAGAUCCACCCCUCCAUUUGAAUUUCAAACCGACGGUUACGAGACCCUCGGGAUUCGGUGUUGUUAAAUGCUGGCUAUCCAAGGGUUUUUCUUCCAAUAAGAUAACCCAAAACCUCUCGAAGGGAAAUUAGCCAUUUCCACCGUCUCUGUCCUUGUCUCUCCGGCGAAGAAGUUUCGGCAUAAAAGCCCUCAUCCUCGCCUUUCUCCGACUGAAACAGUACUUCAGGUAUUACUUCUUUCUCCUCGGUCUCGGAUAAUUUGUAGAUAACUUCUUUUUUAUUUGCUUUGCUUGGGGUAGUAGUUGGUGGUGGUGUUUUGGUUAUUAUCUAAGGAAUGUCGAAGGGUAAGGAGAAAGUCGUUGAGAUUGACGACGACAAACUAGGUUUCUUGCCUAGUCUGCUCACUGAUCCUGCUUUUGACCCCGGGAUCCCCUUAGAGCCCAUUAGGUCUAGCAUAGGGAUUAGUGCUAGGAGGAUGUCCCCCCAAACAACCUCCACAAGCGGAAGUAGUGGUGAGGAGGGAUCCUCUGGUUCGGAGAACACCCUAAGUGAGGAUCAAGGAGGUGACUCUGGUGAGGGAUCCUCACCGGGAACAUUGCGACCAGAAGGGCGGAGUACAGUAGGAGGUAGAGCCUUGUCGCGAGAUUAUGACAUUGAUUACAUGACGUGCACGACCACGUUUGUCGAGCUCAAUGACCUCCGACUUAGGUAUAGUAUCCCUAGUGAAAUUCCUCUCAAGAUCCCAGGGAAGAAAGAUACACCUAGCCGGCCUCCUAGGGGAUAUGUUACCCUGUUUCUGGAGAGCUUUAAGUUUGGGCUGAGGUGUCCCUUGCAACCCUACUUUGCCUGGAUACUUAAUGGGCUAAGUCUGGCUCCUGGUCAACUGAACCCCAAUGGGUGGAGAGUGCUCUCUGGUCUGUUCAUAUUGUGGGACAGAUGCUGCCAAAGCGAGCCCACGGUUGAUGAGGUGAAGCACCUGUACCAGCUGAAGAGCAGCCCCAAAGAUGCCGGCUGGUACUACUUCCAAUCUAGUACCAAGAGCAGGAAACCUAUAACCGAUCUUCCUACUGGUGGUGGUGGGAAUUGGAGGAAGAAGUUCUUUUUCGCAGGGGGUCCCUGGGGGUCAAGUUGCACAGGUUGAUGGUCAGGACUUCCGCGUCCCAACCCGUUUCGUGGUCCCAGGUUGCCUGCUCGUAUUAGAUGUCUUGUCUCCCUUGUGGUUUGCACUUUACUGGUUUAUCUCUAAUCAAAUGUUUGUUUGUGCUGCAGGUUCUUGGGGUGUUCACUUCCCGCUCGAACCUGACCAGCUCAAACGAGUCGAGGCUGUACUAGCCAAUUCCUGCCCGAGUCGGGAGCUGAUAACUACCUACAACCUGCUCGAGUCUCGUUUGGUGCCCCCCGGCCAUAAGAUGGAGGAUGCUGUGAUUGGGGCUCUGACUCGGAAGCGUCCUCGACCUCCAACUACGAAGAGGGACCAGAGCAAGGACGCUCCCACUGCGAAGCGAGUGAAUACUGUGCAACAGGUUCUUCCCCUGAAGACUCUACCUCCUCCUCCUGCCAAAGUCGGAGAAAGUAGUGGAGCAGCCACUGAUCCUGCUUCCUCUUCUCCUCCUGUCGGGCCUCGGUCUCGUCUAUCUGACAACCGAGCAGAACACUUGGGCCCCUAUCUCAACGAGCUUUCCAAACUUGUGAGCAAGAAAUACUUGGAGGAUUUUGAGGGCUGCACCUUAGGCGAGCUGGUGGGAGCCAUGCAGUACAGCGCUUUCCAUCUCAGCUGCAUGACCACCUACUAUAAGGCCAAGGUUGGCCGUUACAACAGGAAGAUGAAAGAGGACAUCCAAUCGGUGACGAUCAGAGCUGACGUUGCCGAGAAGAAGGCAGGGGAGCUGAACGUUGAGAACCUCAAGCUGAUAGAGCAAGAAUCUCUUGCUCAAGCAAAAGCCAUUACCCUCGAGGAGGAGCUGAAAAAGGUCAAGGAGGAUCUGCAAGGGCAGAAGGCUGUGUAUGAGGCUCAGUUUGAAUCUCUCCGCGAUUCCCACCAGGCUCAGGUCGAGAACUUGGAGAGGGAGGCCGACAAUCAGUACGACCAGGGACUUCGGCAUUCCUAUCGUUGCAUCAUGGCCGUCCUCGGGAGGCAGCAUCCUGAUCUGAAGAUGGAUGACCUUGCAGCUGGUGUUGCUCAACAUAUGGACGAGGAGGCGGCCAAGGAAGAUGCCGAAGGGAUAGAGCCGAUCGUGAUUGAGGAGGAAAAUUCUCCUCCUCGGGCAGUCCCUGCUGACGUUGGCGAGGCGAGCACCCCUGCUGUCGUUGCUGAGGCGAGCACCCCCCCGAACGCAACUGGUGAAACUCCCCCCGCACCUGAGGAGGUCCCGUCAACCGAUGCUGCUCGGCUUACUGAUCCGCCCUCUUCUUGAUAUAUUUCUUGCGUUGUAAUGAACAACGUUUACGAAAUUUAUCUUCUCUGUUAAUUAUUUGCACAUUAAUAAAAAUGUUUUUGAUUACUUUCUUGUGUUGUAAUCGUGAGUUAUUUUUCGUUUAAGAAUCUGCUCGUCUUCGUCUGGUUGAGCAGGUUCUGGCUUGGCAUAUGGUUUUGCCAUAUGCCUUAGAAAAUUUUCCAAUGUUUGGGUUUCUGCUCGCCUUCGCGCGGUCGAGCAGAUCCUGGCUCGCUAGGCUUCUGGCCUUGCCAUAGACAGGCUUUGAAUGCUAUGGAGUCUGCCCGCCUUCACGUGGUCGAGCAGAUCUUGGCAUGCUUGGCUUCUGUCUCGCCAUAAAACGGGCUUUGAGACUUGACGAGCCUUUGCAUGCCUUAGAAAUUUUUUCGAAUGCUUUGGAGUCUGCUCGCCUUCACGGGGUCAAGCAGGUCCUGGCAUGCUUGGCUUCUGUCUCGCCAUAAAACAGGCUUUGAGACUUGACGAGCCUUUGCAUGCCUUAGAAAUGACUUCGUGAUUGGGGAUUCUGCUCUCCUUCGCGUGGUCGAGCAGAUCCUGGCAUGCUUGGCUUCUGUCUCGCCAUAAAACAGGCUUUGAGACUUGACGAGCCUUUGCAUGCCUUAGAAAUGACUUCGUGAUUGGGGAUUUUGCUCGCCUUCUCGUGGUCGAGCGGAUCCUGGCAUGCUUGGCUUCUGUCUCGCCAUAAAACAGGCUUUGAGACUUAACGAGCCUUUGCAUGCCUUAGAAAUGACUUCGUGAUUGGGGAUUCUGCUCGCCUUCGCGUGGUCGAGCAGAUCCUGGCAUGCUUGGCUUCUGUCUCGCCAUAAAACAGGCUUUGAGACUUAACGAGCCUUUGCAUGCCUUAGAAAAUUUUCACAGUUUCAAGUGACUGAAAUUCCUCGACGUUCCAUUAAUUGCAGGAUUUGAUUUUACAUGAACUUGCUAUGACAUAAAACAUAUAAAAAAUAAGAGAUAACGAGCACAAGCAGAAAUAGCUUUGAAAUGUGAACAAGUCUUAUUGGAAGUAUUUUCGAAGGUGUGCUGCGUUCCAUGGGCGCUUCACCUCGUGGCCAUCCAUACGAACCAACUUGUAAGCUCCUGGUCCAACUAGCUGCUUGACUCUAUAAAGCCCCUCCCAAUUCGGACCGAGCACUCCUUGAGUCGAGUCUUUGGUGUUCUGAUUCACUCUCCUUAACACCCAAUCUCCGACCUUGAACUGCCGUAUAUUCACCUUCUGGUUAUAAUACCGAGCAAUCCUUUACUGAUAAAUGGCUGAUCGACCAGCUGCUUGCUCCCUCUUUUCCGUUAGUAGAUCAAGAUUCAAACACAUCUGCUCGUCGUUAUCCUCCUCAUUGAAAUGAUCUGUCCGGUGCGUGGUCGUUUCUAUCUCAGCUGGUACGACCGCUUCAUGUCCGAAAGCCAGAGCGAAUGGUGUCUCCCCAGUUGCUGUUUUGUGGGUUGUUCUGUAUGCCCCUAGCACACCUGACAGCUCGUCAACCCAUGCACCCUUUUUUGCUCCGAGCCUGGUUUUCAAAAGCCUCUUGAUGGUCUUGUUAGCUGCUUCCACUUGUCCAUUCGAUUGGGGGUGAGCAGGAGAGCAAUACUUCAGCUCUAUCCCGAGGUUCUGGCAAAAAUCCCUGAAGCUGUGAUUAUCGAACUGCCUGCCAUUAUCCGUUAUAAGGGCAUAAGGGAUCCCGUAUCGACAGACCAGGUUUCUCCACACAAAGUCUGUUGUUUUCUUCUCUGUGAUCCUGCUAAGGGCUUCUACCUCUAUCCAUUUCGUGAAGUAGUCUAUAGCAACUAUUGCAUGUGUUGCUGCUCCUCGUCCCUUUGGCAGCGGGCCGAUCAGAUCAAUUCCCCAUUGAGCAAACGGCCAAGGGGAGGCCAUAGAGGUGAGCUUCUCUGGUGGUUGGUUGGAGAAACUUGCAAAACUCUGGCAGCUUACACAGCUCCUGGUCUUCUCCUGAGCAUCCCGGUGCAUUGUCGGCCAGAAAUAUCCCUGCCUUAGAACCUUGUGGGCCAGGGACCUCCCACCAGAAUGGUUCCCGCAAAUUCCUUCAUGUACUUCUCUCAGCACGUAAUCCGCGUCGUCCUCAUCCAAACAUCGAAGGAAAGGUAGUGUAUAUCCUCGCCGAUACAGUACCCCAUCAAUCAUCGUGUAUCUCGAGGCCUGGGCUCUAACCUUCCGAGCUCGCAGCUUAUCUGGUGGUAAUACCCCGUCUCUGAGGUAUGAAAUUAUCGGGUCCAUCCACGAGCAUUUUUGUUCUAUCCGCAACACCCCCAAAUUAUGCUCGAUACUUGGGUUGGACUUCACCUCCAGAGGGACUGACUUUGGCAUUUUUGGGUUGGCAACUGCUGCCAUCCUGGCCAAAAUGUCUGCUCGACUAUUCUGCUCCCUGGGGAUUUGUAUCACCUCCACUGCUUCAAAUUUCCCCAUCAUCUGCCUGACUAUCUUUAGGUACUGCUCCAUCUUCUCCUCUCUUGGUUGAAAUCUUUCACUGACAUGAUUUGCAACCAGCUGGGAAUUAGUUCUGAUUUUCACUCUGUCUGCUUUCACGGCCUUAGCCAAUUCCAAACCUGCUAUCAAGGCUUCAUACUCUGCCUGGUUAUUUGUGGCUGCAAAUUCCAACUUUACAGCAUAAGAGAUCUCCUCCCCCUCCGGGCCUUCCAAGACAAUCCCUGCUCCUGAACCCUGCUCUCCUAAUGACCCAUCCACAGACAUCUGCCAUACUUGAUCUUCGCCACUGUCUGUAACUACAUCUCGCCGAUCUAAACAUACCUCGGGCUCUGUGAAUUCAGCUACGAAAUCGGCCAUUGCCUGAGCCUUUAUCGCUGCUCGGGGUUUGUAGUCGAUGUCGAACUCGCUCAGCUCUAUAGCCCACUUGACGAGCCGACCAGAAGCAUCUGGCUUGUGCAGAGUUUGACGUAAUGGCUGGUUUGUUAUUACUGAAACUGGGAAUGCUUGAAAAUAUGGCCUCAACUUCCGAGCCGCAACCACAAGGGCAAGUGCCCAUUUCUCCAACGGUGGGUAUCUGGUCUCGGCAUCGAACAGGGCCUUGCUGGUGUAGUAUAUCGGAUACUGAACUCCUUCUUCCUCUCUCACCAGAACAGAACUGGCGGCCCGAUCCGAUACCGCCAAAUAUAGAUAUAACUUGUCCCCAUCCCUCGGUGUGGACAGCAGUGGAGCUUACUGCAAGUAUUGCUUCAAGUUCUGGAAGGCUUCCUCGCAUUCUGAUGUCCAUUCUGUUUUCUUUCCCCUCCUUAUCACUUGAAAGAAUGGCUGACACUUAUCUGUAGCCUUGGAUAUGAAUCUGCUCAACGCCGCCAACCUCCCGGUGAGGCUCUGCAUCUCCUUCAGGUUACGAGGAGACCUCAUCUGCACAAUCGCUUGGAUUUUCUCGGGAUUUGCUUCAAUCCCCCUAUGGCUCACCAUGAAUCCAAGGAAUUUCCCUGACUCGACCCCAAAAGCACACUUCUCCGGGUUGAGCUUCAUCUUAUACUUUCUCAAAAGCUCGAAUGUCUCCUCGAGGUGUCUGACAUGUUCCUUCGGGAUUUUGGAUUUGGUGAUCAUGUCAUCCACGUACACCUCCAUGGUUUUCCCAAUCAACGGCUUAAAGACUUUAUUCACCAGCCUCUGAUAGGUGGCCCUGGCAUUUUUUAGACCAAAUGGCAUUACCCUGUAACAGAACAAACCUUGGUUAGUGAUGAAAGCCGUGCUCUCCUCAUCCUGCUCGUACAUGGGGAUCUGGUUGUAUCCCGAGAAUGCGUCCAUGAAACUAAGCAGACCGUGUCCAGCCGUUGAAUCUACUAGCUGAUCGAUCUUCACCAACACCAUAUUCGAUAUCCAUUCAGGGUAAUUAACUUCCCGAAUGAACCCUGCUCUCAAGAGCUUCUCCACCUCGCCAUUUAUAGCCUCAUACCUCUCCUGGUUGAAGCACCUCCUCUUCUGCCUUACUGCCCGCGCACCUUUCUUUAUUGCCAGCUUAUGACAUGCUACCUCAGGGUCAAUCCCUGGCAUGUCUUCAUGUGUCCAAGCAAACACAUCUGCAUGAGCCUGUAAGCAUUUCACCAACUCCUGCUUUUGCUCUCCCUUAAGUCUCGACCCGAUUCUGAUCGUCUUUCCCGGAUUCUCUGGUCCCAGGCUUACUGUUUCCAGAUCCUCUACAGGUUCUUGCCUGCCAUUCCUGUUUUCCACUCGGGUAUCGAGGGAUGUUAUCUGCAUUGCUUCCCUUGCUGCCGAGGAGUAGCAACUUCUUGCGAUCCUCUGGUCUCCUCGUACCACUCCAACUACCCCAUUCACCCGGUACUUCAGAGCCAGAUAAUGGUUGGACAGCACCGCUUUGCUCAUCCUCAGAAAUGGCCGGCCUAGGAUCAUCUGGUAAGGACCUUCCUCAUCCACUACCACAAAGUCCAGUAUCAUUGUCCUUUCUGUCGGGGAGCUCCCAAUCGUGAUAGGUAGCUCGACCACGCCCAGAGGGACCAGCUUUCCUCCUCCAAACCCCUUCAAGGAGGUACUGGUGUAAUCCAACUUCAGGUCUGCUAUUCCCAUCUCUUCCAGGGUUGACUUAAACAACACAUCAACUGAACUCCUUGUGUCAACCAGUAUCUUGUCAAACUUCUUGCUAGCAACAGUGGCCUUGAUGACCAAAGCAUCCUCGUGGGGGUAUAGGAUCCAUUCUUCAUCCUCAUCUGUCCACAUGAUUGGCACUUGCCUGACUCUUGCACGUUUGGCUGCUGGGGUGUUGAAGAACACCUCUUUGCUGGUCAUGGCAUAUCUAGCAUAAUUCUUCCUCGACCUGUUGGAAUCCCUGGCCAAUGUUGGGCCCCCCGCUAUAACCCUUACUGCAGGCUGCUCGCGCCUCAAGUGCCUGUCACUCUGCUCCCCUUCACUUGUUGAGGCUACCAUUGGGAAGGUCCCAUCUAUAAACUCGUCCAGAUACCGAUUUCUCACCAAAUCUUCAACCUGGGUCUUAAGAUCUCUGCAAUCUGCUGUGGUGUGGCCAUUAGUGCCAUGGAACUUACAAUAGCGUCCCUUAUCCCUCCUGCUGGGUGGCUUUGUUAUUGGAGCAGGAACGUAUAGCAACCCCCGAUCCUUUAUGGCCUCGUACACCUCGUCCAGGGACAUCUUCAAGGAAGUAUACCGCCCAUAGUCCUGGUUCUGGUCGAUUAGGUGCACUGCUCUUUCUCUAUUUGCUCCAUUCUGAGUUGGAGGCGGCGGCAGUAAUUCUGGUCUGCUCCCUCUGCUACCGUGGGAGUGUUGAUGGAGACCACCAUAUGCCGAAUCAUGCCUUCUCCAAGGCUCCCUAGCUGGGGAACGAGGAGGUUACGCCCUGCUGCGCUGAUAUUGUGGCGGCCUCUGAUGAGGCUGGUAAGCAGCUACCCGACCUCCUGCUCCACUACCCGAGGUCUGGUGGUCCCUCCUCCUGAUCGGCCUAUUCCCUGAUAAUACUUUCUUCUCUUUCCUCCCCAACCCUUCUAACUGGUCUGUCUUAAUCCGAGCAGCCUUUUCUUCCUCGAUCUCUAUGUCUCUUUUGGCCUGCUCGUAUGCGGUUGCAUACGUCUGAAUAGCUGGGCUUCUCAAGUUGUACCAAAGCCUUCCUAUCUUUACUCCCUCUUUCAAUCCCCUUAGUGCCUGAGGAUGGUUGAAGGCUCCCAAGUCGAGGACAGCACGAUGAAACCUCUUGAUGAAUUCCCGAAGGGUUUCCUGCUCCCCCUGUUUCAUGCUUUUCAGCUCCAUCAUGUCAUCUUCUGGUGCCAUUGCCCCACUAAACUGCUCUGCAAAUUCCUGGCACAUCUGCUCGAAGGUCUUAAUGCUCCCCCGAGGAAGUUUCCUGUACCACUCGCGUGCACGUCCUUCCAGGGAGAGUGGGAACACUCUGCACCUUUGGGAUUGAGAUAACCCUUGCACCCCGGUAAUGUCGUUGAAGCGCUCUAUUUGCACCAACGGAUCAGUUCGUCCCGAAUAUCUAAGGUCUGGGAGGCGAAAAUCCCUUGGGAUGAUUGCCCUCAUGAUCUCUGCUGCGAGCGGUGAUUCUCCGUCCAGCAUUAUCCUCCAACCAGGAGUUCUGCUCCUUCCUUGCAUGUUAUCAAUUACCUGCGCUAGUCUGCGCACUUCCUCCUCCAGCUGCACUGCACGACCAGGAUCGCGUGCCGCAACUUGGUCCCGCUCUUGCUCUACAUCAUGCAAGUGUUGCCUCAACUCUGGUUCCUCUGCAUUCACUACCCCAUCGUCCUCGUCAAGAAUCUGUCUUGCCGGGGACUGCUCUUCCUCUCUAUGAAAUUCUUCCCGCAGAGAUAGGUUAACCCUCUCACCGCCAAAUCUCCCGGUGGUUUGAUUUCUCCUCGUACUAUCGUGACCUGGUGUCACUCCACCACCUCUCACCCUUUUCUCCUGGGUUCCUCUUCGUUCACUCCGCAGCUCAUGUAGGAUGGUUGUCAGGGUCUCCAUCUGCUUCUCCAUCUGUUCCAUCCGGUCGAACAUGGCCUUUUCCCGCGCUUCACUGGCUAUCUCUCUCAGCGUCACGGAGUCAUUUAGCCUCAUAUCACCCCCUUGUGCACUACUCCCUCCUGUCUCCAUCGCUUUUCCACUUGCUUCACUCCUCUUCUUGCUAUCAACAGAAGCUUUUUGCUCAGCUCCCCACAGACGGCGCCAAAAUGUUGAUGCGAGAUUCUGGUUAUGCCUUCCAACAACCAGGAUGUCUGCUCGAUCAACCUCACCUCGAUCAGGAUCUCUCCUCGUACGCUUUCUUCUCUAAGUAUCCCUGCGUUCACAGAAACAAGUCAGAGCACGCCGGUUGUUUUCCCGGCGUAAACCCUCCGACGCUCAAGUCAGAUAUGAAGGCUCUGGGAACGCUUGCCACAAAUCUUAUGGCUUUUAGGUCGUUUGUUCUCUUUUAGAAUUUUACUUUAUCUCUCUAUAAUCUCAAAAUUGCUAACCCUUUUACCUUCGUUGGCUACCUUUUUAUAGGCCACCUCUGAACUCGGGCCUCCCCUCCAUUCGCGCUCGCCAUCCCCCCACGUCUCGAAAGUGGAUGCUCCAUUGCCAUAGUCGUGGGUGGUUGCGUGGCCCUCGAGCCUUGAUUCUCGGACUGGAGAACAUGUCUCGCCAACUGUCGUUGACCGGGUCUCCUCGACCCAACCGUUAGUAGGAAUAUAGCAGGAAUGGCUUCACACUCCCAACAGGAGACUGACCUCGUGGAUGUCGUACUCGUGGAAGAGCAGGAUACUCCUGCUCCUGCUCCCCCGGCUACCAGACUCAUUAAUGUCACUUCUAGUCAUCUGAUAAUACACUGAUACAGUCACCUAAAUUUUAUGCCAAUUGCAGUGACAAAAUCGUAAACAAUAAACAACAUAUUAUUCCUCACCAACUACCUUACAAAUAUUUGUUUCAACUAACUAAUUUAUUGUUAUAUACACCAAUAUUUUCUUGUUCCCUUAAACAAAAUACUGUAUCAGUGUAUUAUCAAAUGACUAGAAGUGACAUUAAUGAGAGUAAAAAAGAACUAACAAUGAAAGGAUAGGAAGUAAAUGUACGAAUUUAAAAGUAUUUAGGAUGCAAUCUAAUUUGUUAAAUCCACUUGCUCGGUAAAAGUUCGAGCAAAAAAAAAUCAGAAAAAACCAACAAAAAACACCAGAACCCAAACCAUUGCAGGAAGUAGCACCUUCGCCUCUGUUGAGGCCUGCUCUGUCGAUUAAGAGUUCUAUCCAAAUCACAAAAAACUAACGGAAAUCGACACUCACAAAAAACUAACGGAAAUCGACCAUAACAUCCACGAAACACGCCGCCUCCGUUCAUAAUUUUUCGCCAUGCAUUGAUUAACAUCACCGCUCUCCACCACUACAACCUUUCUAACUAUUCACCACCGCCGAUCAACGAACUGAUCACCGGAAUCGAAACCCACAAAAACUGCCAUUGCUUAUCUCAAUUUCCAACCAAACCACCAACUUUUGGAAAAACCUCCACCACCGUCACACUCACCCAUCUCAAAUCUCCCAUAAUGAACACGCAAUAAAUUGAGAUGGUAGCCUAACUUUAUAUUACUAUUUAUUUGUUCAAUUAUACUCAUUAUAAUCUAACUGCUUGCCAGAAAAUGGACAAAUAAAGCGAGUACGAUGCCCCUUGGGCACGAUAGGUAGAACUUGUAAAAGUAGGAACGAAUCAUCAUCAAGUGUUAUUAUCAUCAGUUAUCAUUGUAUUUUUUUUUUAGAAUAGUUAUCAUUGUAUUUGAAUUCAUUAUCAUUGUAUUUGAAUUCAUUUUCUCAUGCCGCGUUUGUAGUUGUUUUGAAGAGGUCUAAAAAAGUAAUUUAAAAAAAAAUUAAAAGUUCAGUUUUUUUUUUAAGGUUACUUAAGCAAAAUCACCACAUCCUACCGUAAAUUUAAAAAAAAUAAAGAGUAAUUUUUGAAAAUAUGAUUUUAAGAACUGAAUUUUUACUUAAUAUAAUUUCAUAUAUAUACUAAACAUUUAAAUAAUUUUCUUCACAUCUAAUUAUUUUUAAAACAUAACUAUAGAACAAUUAUUUUAAAAAUAAUAAUAUUAUCAAACUAGUCCUUAGUUAAAAUAUUUGGAUGCCAACACACAAAUUACAUGAUUGUUGUGUACAUAUAUGUGUGACAUAUGUAUAAAAUAAUAGAAUAAUUCUUUAGUUAAUUAAUGAAGAUAUAAUUAAAAAAGAAGUUCAUAUUUAUUUAAAUUGGAGCUUGUCAUGCUCAUAGAUGCACUUCAUAUAUGGGAAGCCUUACUUUUUCAACACUAAGUUUACUUUUUCAACACUAAGUUAUGACAGAAUCUUAACCACUUAAAAAAAUUGAUUUCAAAGGGCAAGAUCAAUGCUGACUUAGAUUUUUGUUAAUUAAAAAUAAAUAAACAGUGUACCCAUCCAUUAUUUUAAUUCAUUUAUUUUUUUCCUCUCAAAAUUUACGCAUAUUUUCUGUUGAUGCUGAAAUCUGUUCGUCCUUUGUCCGACCAGAUCUUUACACCAACGCUUAUGUGGUCGGUAGAGAAGAUGUCAAUUUCUUCUUACUUCAGCGAUCACUCAAGUCACUGAAGUUGGAAUUGCCCUUCCUUCUCAUACUAAGCCUGUGUUCACAAAAGUGGAUUAGAGACGCCGGUGGUUUUACCGGCGUAAACCCUUCGAUGCCUAAGUUAGCACAAGGUGUUUACGGGAAUACGGUGCAAUUUAGACUCGGUAAUUUGCUUAUAAUUUGCUCACAGUUUGUAUAGAAAGUGGUCUGGUUUCAAUUUGGUAGAGUUUUCCUUUCUCUCCAUUUUUUCCCUCCCCUUCUUUAUUGGUUUCUUCCUCUUUUAUAGCCGCUGUCCCACGUUUCCAUUCACCCUUCAUCCCUCCCUUUCUUAGAUAGUGGCAGCCCCUCAUAGGACUCCAACUACUACAUUGUGGGUAAACGUAGGAUACCGUGUCUCCCUCAACGGUUCUGGGUAUAGCGCAACUAUCGCGAUUUCGUGAGGUCUUGUGCCUGCUCUUUGGGGAAUGGGUAUCUGCUCGGUAUACGUCUCUGGUCGGUACUCGUCUCCGGUAGGCCCACGUUUGCAGAAGGCUCUCUAUCAGUGUUCCGCUCGUACCAUUUAGCAUAGGUGGUUCACCCCGGGGUGGGAGACGAUGGCAUGGCUGAGCUGAUGCUCUUAAUUCCUCAACACCAGUCCCUUAGUUUCUGGUCUUGCGAGUGAAACGAGUUGAGAGUAGAAACUGAUACUUGAAUCUCACCGAUUCUGGGAACCACCCAUCUGGUCCUCUGCUUAUUGUGAUGGACCUGAGGAUCCAUCUUUCGUCUAGGGAGAUUUUGACCUAAGCAUGGGCCUUUAUGAGUAUGUCUAGUAUUUAUACCUGGGUUUUUUGUCUAGUCAGGCCUCUCAUAACGGUUAGUGACGUGGCGCUUCCCGACUCUUCGUAUUUGAAAUUUGAAACCACGGGUUAUCCAUCCUCGAUACGCAGUGAAUGAGCUGGCAUCUCUAUCACUUAAACGCUUCCAUUUCCCCCUUUUCGUUUCAAAUCCCUAGACUAAAAUCAUCAUUGUUCUGUUAUUCGUCUCUCCGCCGUAGGCCAACCCAUUCUUCGAACCUUACUCAUACUUUUCGCAUCAGGAAUCUCACUUGUGGGUCCUUUCUCCAUCACGGCAGCGCUAUCAGUGCCAGUCUAUUCCAGGUACAGCCUUUAACCUCUUCUCUGGUUGUUGUUGAUUGGGUUUUGUAUUGUGGGUUCUGUGUUUGUCCCUUUUUGUACCCAUACUCUUAAAUAUUUUGUGCUUUCCCUUCUUAAACUUCAAUAUGUCCAAUCGAAAAGGAAAAAUAAUUGUAGAUGAGAGUGAUGAAGAGAUAGAUGAUUCAUAUCCCCAUUUGUUUGGACACAGUGAUCUUUUAUACCCUGCUCGUAGUGUAGGUCCCUCCUAUCAUAGGGAUACCCCUGAAUACCCUCGUCCUAUAGCCACUUCGCCUUCCCCUGAAUUAGAGCUUGUAGGAAACAGAAGUGGACUCGCGUCGGGCUCUGGUGAGAAUCAUAGUUCUGGUGGGGUUAGGGUCCCUGAAGAAGUAGGUGAUGGUGAGGGAAGCAGUUCCGAGCCGAGCAGACCCCCUAAGAAGAGAAACCUUGGUCAUAGGAUGGAGGCAGAGAGAAACCUUGGUCAUAGGAUGAAGGCAGAUUCUUACCAUAUUGACUAUAUAGCUUGUGCCACCACCCCAACUGACAUGUUCAAGCUUAGAGAUCUCUACAACAUUCUUGAGGAGGUUCUCCUUGUAAUCCCCGGGAAAGAUGACAUCCCUAGUCGGCCUCCGAGGGGGUAUAUGACGAUGCACCUGGAGAGUUUCAAAUUAGGAGCUCGGUUGCCCCUUCAGCGUUAUUUUGCCAAGAUACUGGGUGGUAUACACCUGCCUCCAGGUCAGCUACACCCAAAUAGGUGGAGGGUUCUCUCGGCUAUAUAUGUGUUAUGGGAGAGGGGUGGAUCCGAAGAACCUUCCCUUGUUGAAGUAAAGCAUUUGUACCAGCUGAGUAGCCCAAAGGAAGCAGGCUGGUACUACUUCAUGUCGAGCUCUGCGAAAAGGAAGCCAAUCACCGGUUUUUCUUCCUCGUGUAAAAAUUAGAAGAACAAAUUCUUCUUUACUGGAGGAAAUUGGUGUCGAGCAGCCCGUUCGCUUGGUGGUGAUAUUCACAUUCCAACGCGCUUUGUCACCCCAUGUCGUUUAUUUUUUAUCUUUUUUUUUCUCAAAUUGUCACUUAUUGGGUUCUUUAACAUUUCUUGCUCUUUCAGAGUCGUGGGAGUUUGAUCAAGGAGCUUGAAGAAAGACCCUUGCUCCAGGUGAAAACUGCUCUGGUGAACGCGUAUACCUGCCAAGACCUCCUGUCACCAACAAACCUGGUCGGUUCGCGUUUAGUGGACGUAGCUGCCGGAAUGGAUAACAAGAUCCUUAGCGCUAUGACCAGGAAGCGUAGUCGGGCUCCAAGCAGCUCCAACAACCCUCCUCCUCCGAAGAAAGCCAAUACUGGUCCACCCAAGACUUCUGUUCCUGCUCUGCCCCCUCCUCCACCUCAAAAAAAUGGUGGGGAGAAGGUGAGUGAUAAAAGUCCUGAGGUUAGCAUUCAGUCCGGGGACCGAUCCUCUCAUCUUCCAUCUCGGGAUCAAGGUGACUACCUGAGCCGGUACCAGAGGGAUUACGGCAAAUCAGUGGGACCCAAGAUGGUGAAGGACAUUGAAAGUAUGAACCUCGCCGAGUUAGCUGGUUCCGUUCAAAGGGUCUCCUUUAAGCUGGCCACCUUGGUUUCGUGCUACAAGAACAGGUUCAUGCACCAUGAGAGGAGGUUUCAAGCUGACAACAUGAAUUGAGAAAAAAGCUGAGUCUGCCGACCGCUCGCGGGAGAAACUGCUUGAUCUGCACAAGCAAAUCAUGGACCUGGAGGAGAAAUUAGACAUGGCGGAGUCUACCUCCACCAAGCUUGAGGGUGAGUUGGGUGAUCUGAAGUCUGAUCUUUAGGCCACUCAAAGUGAGUGAGAUACCCUGAAGACGGCCCUUGAGGGAGAAAUCAAAUCUCUGAGUGAGCAGUUGGCCGAGGUGAAAGGCAAAUCUACUGAUGUGGAUGAUCGGCUGGAUGCAGAGUAUAACUCUGGGGUUGCUUUCUGCUAUAAGUGCAUCAUGUCUGUGCUUAAGGAAGAAUAUCCAAAACUUAACAUGAGCAAGUUGGAGGCUGGAGUGCAGAAAUAUAUGGCGGAGUCCGACCAGGGGGAUCAGGAUCAGGUGGAACCUUAUUCAGGUGAGGCGCAGGAGGAGGGAGUAGGGGGUCGUGCUCCUGAAGUAGGUCAAGGGUCAGUGCCUCUUCCCCUCGAUGUUGCCGAUCCUCCUCUUCCUGAGGUUGUUGAUCCUUCAACUACUGAGGCCGCUGAUCCUCAUAAUUUUCAAGUUUAUUUUUGUUUAAAUUCUAAAUUUUCAUCUGUUUUGCAAACGUUUGGAUGUUUAUAAAUUUUGGGAUGCUUUCUGUUGGCCUUCUUGUCUUGGUUUUGUUGAUGGAUUAUUUCUGCAAAUCACCUUAACAAUUUAAUUUGACUUUGCUUACUGGUUCUUUGAGUAGGACGAGCAGAAUUAGACACUUCCUUGCCUUAAUAAAAUUUUGUAAAAUUGCAUGCUGGUCCUUAGGCGACCGAGCAGGAUUAGGCACUUUUUUGCCUUAGUAGAAUUUCGUAAAAUUGUCUGCUGGUCCUUAGGCGACCGAGCAGGAUUAGGCACUUGCUUGCCNNNNNNNNNNNNNNNNNNNNNNNNNNNNNNNNNNNNNNNNNNNNNNNNNNNNNNNNNNNNNNNNNNNNNNNNNNNNNNNNNNNNNNNNNNNNNNNNNNNNACUUGCUUGCCUUAAUAACAUUUCGUAAAAUUGCCUGCUGGUCCUUAGGCGACCGAACAGGAUUAGGCACUUGCUUGCCUUAAUGAAUUUAAUGGACUUUGCUAGCAGGGGAAUUUCAUGCUGAAUUCAUCUUUAUUGAAACUUGCAUGGGUUACAGAAAUGCGGAAUAUAUGCAUGUGCCACAAGUCAUCAUGCAUUUAACAGAAAUAACUUAUCGAAAUAAAGACUUAGUAGAGCACUUUACUUACUAGAAGUACUUUUUCAAGUGUUCAGCGUUCCACAACCUCUUCACCUCUCGUCCAUCUGGGUAAGCCAAAUUGUAAGCCCCUGGUUCAGUCGCUCGUAUUACCCUGUAUGGGUCUUGCCAUUUCGGGCCAAGAGCGCCAUGAUUAGGAUCCCUAGUGUUUUGGUUUACCUUCUUAAGUACCCAAUCUCCUGCUCGGAACUGCCUCACGCGUACGUUCUUGUUGUAAUAACGCAUGAUUCUUUGCUGACAUUGGGCCACUUUCUGAGGGGCCCCUUCCCUUUUCUCCUCCAGCAGGUCCAAGCUCAAGCAUAUCUGCUCGUCGUUUUGCUCCUCGUUAAAAUAUUAUGUCCGAUAUGUCCCCACUCCAAUUUCUGCUGGGAUUACCGCCUCGUGACCAAAAGCUAAAGCAAAUAGGGUUUCCCCCGUGGCAGUUUUGUGGGUUAUCCGGUAAGCCCAUAAUACUCCUGGUAGCUCGUCGACCCAAGCUCCAUUCUUCUCUCCCAGUCUGGUUUUCAGGAGUUUCUUUAUUACUUUGUUGGCUGCUUCCACUUGUCCGUUUGCCUGGAGGUGUGCUGGGGUGCAGAACUUCAGGUCCACCCCCAAGUUUUGGCAAAAUUCUCUGAAGUUGUUGUUGUCAAACUGCCUCCUAUUGUCUUUAAUGAUGGCAUAGGGAAUCUCGUAUCUGCAGAUGAUAUUCUUCCAAAUAAAAUCCAUUGUCUUUCUCUCCGUGAUUUGGCUGAGGACUCCCACCUCUACCCACUUGGUGAAGUAGUCUAUAACCAUAAUUGCAUGUGUUGCCACUCCUCGGCCCUUAGGUAAUGGGCCAAUCAGGUCAAUUCUCCACUAAGCAAAAGGCCAUGGGGAUGACAUAGUGGUUAGCCUUUCUGGGGGCUGAGCAGGAACCUCUGAAAAGUUCUAGCAAACCUUACAAUUUUUUGCCAUUCUCUUCGCAUCAUGGUGCAUGGUCGGCCAAAAGUAUCACUACCGAAGUGCUUUGAAAGCUAAAGUUCUUGCCCCCGAAUGAUUGCCACAUAUUCCUUCAUGAAUUUCCCUCAACACAUAAUCUGCUUCCUCGUCAUCUAAGCAUCUCAAAAGGGGUAAGGUGAAUCCUCGACGAUAGAGUAUCCCAUCGAGUAGUGUAUACCUUGCUGCCCGACAUUUCAACUUCCUUACUUGCUUCCUGUCCUCUGGUAAGAUGUCCUCGCGGAUGUAUGAGAGAAUGGGGUCCAUCCAGGAUUUUUCGGUGCUUACCCGCAUUACUUCUGCUUCCUCCCCUAUGCUUGGCGAGGUUCUCACUUCCAGUAGAACUGACUUGGGUAAUUUUGGAUCUGCAAUUGCAACCAUUCUAGCCAACAUAUCUGCUCGGUAAUUUUUCUUCCGGGAUAUCUGCUUUAUUUCUACCUCUUGGAAGAGUUCAACCAUUUACUUCGCCUUCUCCAAAUAAAGCCCCAACUUCUCUUCCCUUACUUGGAAUUGAUCAUUGAGCUGAUUGCAGACUAGCUGGGAAUCUGCUCGGAGUUCUACCAUUUCUGCUUGUAGUGCAUGUGCAAGCUCGAGCCCAGUAAUGAAGGCCUCAUAUUCAGCUUGGUUAUUCGUGAGCUGGAACUCGAAUUUCACUGCAUAGGAUACCUCGACCCCUUCUGGGUUUCGUAUUACUACUCUUGCUCCGGAUCCCUGUUCACUACGUGACCCAUCAACCAUUAUCAGCUACACCCUCUUUGGAUUCUCCUGUUCCACUGGUUGCUCCUCCUGAACUUCUUCCACUGGUUCAACACGGUCAACCAUAAAAUCAGCUAGGGCUUGGGCUUUGAUUGCUCCUCAGGGUCUAUAAGAUAGGUCGAAUUCGCUCAGCUCCACUGACCAUUUUACUAACCGACCAGAUGCAUAUGGUUUUUGGAGUAUUUGCCGAAGGGGUUGGUCAGUCAUCACAAUUAUCGGGUGGGCCUAAAAAUUUGGUCUGAACUUGCGUGCUGCCGUUAUUAAAGCUAGUGCCCAUUUCUCCAUCAGUGGAUAUCUGGUUUUUGCGUCUACCAGGGUCUUGCUAGUGUAGUAUACUGAGUGUUGCUUUCCUUCAUCUUCUCUGACUAAUACCGAGCUAGUAGCCCAUUUAGAGAUUGCUAAGUACAAAUACAGCUGGUCACCCUCCCUCGGAGUCGAUAAUAACGGGGCGCGGGCCAGAUAUUCUUUCAGCUGCCCGAACGCUUCUUCACAUUCUGACGUCCAUUCCAUCUUCCUCUCUUUCUUUAUGUUUUGGAAGAAAUUGUGGUAUUUAUCUGUGGCAUUUAUCUGUGGCCCGUGAGAUGAGCCGGUUCAAUGCUGCUAAUUUCCCUAUAAGACUCUGCACCUCCUUAACUGUUCGGGGGGACUUCAUUUCUGUUACUACCCGUAUUUUUUCCGAGUUAGCCUCGAUCCCUCGGUGACUCACCAGGAAUCCCAAAAACUUGCCCGAGCCGACUCCAAAUGCACAUUUAUCCGGGUUCAGCUUCAUUUCAUACUUCUUCAGCAAUUCAAAGGUCUAUUCCAAGUGCUUCACAUGAUCCCUCAGUUCUUUAGACUUCGUGAUCAUAUCGUCCAUGUAUACCUCCAUAGUGUGACCGAUCAAUGGUUUGAAAAUCUUAUUCACCAACCUUUGAUAGGUAGCUCCUGCAUUUUUCAGGCCAAAAGGUAUCACCCUGUAACAAAACAAACACAUGUUAGUUAUAAAGGUGGUACUCUCUUCAUCCUGCUCGUUCAUGGAUAUUUGGUUGUAUCCUAAAAAGGCAUCCAUGAAGCUGAGCAGACUGUGACCCGCCGUUAAAUCCACCAAUUGAUCUAUUUUUUGUAGGAAAAAAUUGUCCUUCAGGUAUGCCUUAUUAAGGUCUGUGAAAUCCACACACAUUCUUCAUUUCCCAUUGACUUUCUUUACCAGCACUACAUUAGAAAUCUACUCCGAGUAUUUAGCCUCCCUUAUAAAUCCCGCUUUCAACAGCUUCUCCACCUCGGCAUUUAUGGCCUCGUACCUUUCUUGGUUAAAGCACCUCCUUUUCUACCUCACCGGUCUUGCCCCUUUCUUGAUUGCUAACUUGUGGCAAGCUACCCCGCGAUCAAUUCCUGGCAUAUCCUCAUGAGACCAUGCAAAUAUAUCUGUAUGGGACUGUAGGCAUUUCACCAGCUCGCCUUUUAUUUCUUCGCUUAAUCCUAACCCGACUUUAACCACUCUGCUCGGGUUACCCUUGCUCACAACAACCUCCUCCAACUUCUCAACAGGUUCUUGGCGUCCAUUUUUAGAAUCUCCUCGGUUAUCCAGAGAUGUAACAUGUAGUGUCUCCUUGGCCGUUGUAGCGUAACAGUUCCUCGUCAUUCUCUGGUCACCUUUUACUACGCCUACAACUCCGUUGACUCUGUAUUUCAACGCCAGAUAAUGCAUAGAUAUAACGCAGGCUAAUCCUCAUGAAAGGUCGUCCCAAUAUCAUCUGAUAAAGACUUCUCUCUUCUACCACGACAAAGUCCAGCAUCACUGUUCUUUCAAACGGCUUUGAUCCUACAUUAACCGGGAGCUCGAUGAUCCCCAUGGGGGUUAACCGUCCUCCUCCAAAUCCCUUCAAGAAUGUAUUCGUCCGUUUCAGUUUUAAGUCUGAAAUUCCCAUAUCAUCUAGGGCCGACUUAAACAGUAUGUCAACCGAGCUGCCCGUGUCCACCAGUAUUCGCUGUAAUUCUGUACCAGCCACCAUUGUCUUAAUCACCAAUGCAUCCUCAUGAGGAUAUAAAAUACCCUUUUCGUCGUCAUUUGUCCACAUAAUGGGAACUUGCCUCACUUUCGCCCUCUUGGCUGCUGGCAAAUUGAAAAACACUUCUUUACUGGUCAUGGCGUAUCUCCCAUAGCUCUUCCGUGCCAUGUUCGAAUCCCCAGCCAAUGUUGGCCCCCCUGCUAUCAUACGGAUAGUUGGCUGUUCACGUUCCAGGCUCCUCUCAACUCCUUCAUCCCGCUUGUACUGUGAUUCAAUGACGGGGGACACUCCAUCUACAUAUUCAUCAAGGUACCGAUUCCUCACCAAAUCCUCCACCUGAAUCUUUAAGUCACGACAUUGGCUGAUAGUGUGAUCAUGAGUGUCGUGGAAUUUGCAGAAUCUGCUCUUAUCACGUUGGUGAGCAGGUUUUGUUAUAGAGGCUGGAGGGUACAGCAGGCCUCGUCCCUCGAUCCUCUCGUACAACUCCUCCAUAAGGACUUUUAAUGGGGUGUAUUGUCUAUAUGCUAAGCUCUGGUCAAUCAGCUGGACUGCUCGGCUAUCAUAGAUAUCGUCCCGAGCUGAUAUUGUAGGUAGCUGACCUGGUCGCCCAGCUCUGGAGUUGGUGGUAUGUAAUGCCUUGGGAGCGUUGUGAUAAGGUUGGGCAGCCAACUGCCGGAAUUCUCGUUGCUGCUCCGAGAAUAGGGGGCGCGGAGGCCGAGCUCGGCUGUGUUGGAACUGUUGCGAUCUCUGAGCCAUGGGGUAAGGGCAAGACCGAGCGGAUAUUGCGUCCAUCACUGAGGAUUCCCCAGCUCGCUUUCCCGACCCGCUCCUACUUGGGAUUCUCCUUUCCUUUUGUCUCAGCUCCUCCAGCUGUUCCCUUUUUAUCCUCGUCGAUUUUUCUUCUUCGAUUUCUAUAUCUCUCCUCGCCUGCUCAUACCCCGCCGAAUAAUUCUGCACCAGGGGACUUCUCAAGUUAUACCAUAGUCGGCCUAUCCUCACACCCUCUUUUAAUCCCCUUAACGCCUGCGGAUGAUUAAAAGCUCCCAAAUCAAGCACGACCCGGUGGUAUCAUUUUACAAAAUCCCGAAGGGAUUCAUGUUCCUCCUGCUUCAUCCCCAUCAAUUCCAUCGUAUCGUCCUCUGGGGUCACUGCUCCUCAGAACUGCUCGGCCAACUCUUAGCACAUCUGCUCGUAUCCUUUAAUACUUCCUCGUGGCAGCUCGCGGUACCAUUCUCGGGCUCGUCCCUCUAGUGUCAAUGAAUACACCCUACAUCUCUGAGCUGGUGUUAGCCCCUGCACACCUGUCAUGUCGUUGAAACGUUCAAUAUGCACCAGCGGGUCACUUCGCCCGGAGUAUUUGAGGUCGGGGAAGCGAAAAUCUCUUGGGAUUACAGUACCCAUGAUCUCGGCUAAUAACGGAAAUUCUUCAUCUAGCAUUAUCCUCCAACUCGGGGACUUUCUCUUUCCCUGAAUCUCAUCCAUCACCUGCGCCAAUCUGCGCACCUCGCCUUCCAAUUCUACAGCACGGUCAGGAUCGCGCGCAGCUAUCUGAUCUCGCUCCUGCUCGCCAUUCAGCAACCGUUGUCUGAGCUCUCCUUCAUCAAUAUUGGCUCCUCGGCCAUCAAUUUCCAGUACCCGUCCGGAGCGAGGUUGGCCUCUCCAUUCAUCUACGCGCUCCCCUGGAAUCUGACAAGUACUUCUAUAGGGAUGUGCCCCAUAGGGUUAGUCUAUCGGUAGAGGGAUCUCCUCGACUCUACGCCUCCGGAGGCUGGGUUCUGCCACAACUUCAUCUCUCCCCACAGGGGUUUCACAAUCCCUUCUUCGUUCACCCCCUCAGCUCAUACAAUAUGGCCGCGAGAGUCUCCAUUUGUUUCUCCAUCCGCUCUAGUCGAUCUUGCAUCAUCCUCUCUCGAGCUUCAUUCGCAAUCUCCCGGAGAGUGAUUGUCUCAACAGUUUCAUUGUCAUCCCCUAAGGCACCCUUCCUUAAAACAUCCAUAACCGAUUGUUUGUGUGCUUCCUCUGAUGACUAUUAGUUUGGUGGUAGCUUUUUAUCCAACUCCCCACAGACGGCUCUAAAAUAUUGAUGCUGAAAUCUACUCAUCCUUUGUCCGACCAGAUCUUUACACCAACGCUUAUGUGGUCAGUAGAGAAGAUGUCAAUUUCUUCUUGCUUCAACGAUCGCUCAAGUCACUGAAGUUGGAAUUGCCCUUCCUUCUCCUACUAAGCCUGCGUUCACAAAAGUGGAUCAGAGACGCCGGUGGUUUUACCAGCGUAAACCCUCCGAUGCCUAAGUUAGCACAAGGUGUUUACGGAAAAACAGUGCAAUUUAGACUCGGUAAUUUGCUUAUAAUUUGCUCACAGUUUGUAUAGAAAGUGGUCUGGUUUCAAUUUGGCAGAGCUUUCCCUUCUCUCCAUUUUUUCCCUCCCCUUCUUUAUUGGUUUCUUCCUCUUUUAUAGCCACUGUCCCACAUAUCCGUUCACCCUCCAUCCCCCACUUUCUCGGAUAGUGGCAGCCCCUCAUGGGACUCCAACUACUACAUUGUGGGUAAACGUGGUAUACCGUGUCUCCCUCAACGGUUCUUAACAUAGCGCAACUAUCGCAAUUUCGUGAGGUCGUGUGCCCGCUCUUUGGGGAAUGGGUAUCUACUCGGUAUACGUCUCUGGUCGGUACUCGUCUCUGGUAGGCCCACGUUUGCAGAAGGCUCUCUAUCAGUGUUCCGCUCGUACCAUUUAGCCGAGGUGGUUCACCCCGGGAUGGGAGACGACGGCAUGGCUGAGCUGAUGCUCUUAAUUCCUCAACAUUUUCUAUAACUAUUUUAUAUUUUUUAAAAUUAAAAACCACCAAAGGGUAGAGGGUUAGGCGAGUCUUCCUUAUCUGUAGAUUAAAUAAUAAAUUAAAUUACAUUUAAAGGGAACAUAAACCAAAACCUCCAAUUAAGGGAACAAGCACAAAUAACAAAUGGAAAAGUAGCAAAAGCAAUAAGAGAAUAAAUAAGAAACUAAAGAAUUAAUUAUUGCAAACGCCCAAAGAAAUGGAAAAAUAGCAAAAGUAAUAAGAGAAUAAAUAAGAAACUAAAGAAUUAAUUAUUGCAAACGCCCAAAGAACUGCUUACGAUACUUGCGACCACUUACUAAUUUGAAACCUUUUCUAGAACUAGAGGUAUGGGGUCAGCAACACUGAAGUUAGAGUCAAGAUCACGCCCCCCACUAUCCUCAGGUUCAAAUGCGAAAUACUCAUCAGCCACAAGAUUCUUAUUAGAGCUAAACUCUUCAUCAGAAUGAAAAGGGAUAUCUAUAUGAUGGGAAUUGAAACCCACAACCAUGCAGCGAAUAUCAUCCAAAGAAGAUUAGAAAACAGUAGAGCCGAUGGAUGCCCUAUGAACACUCGGGUCAUCCAAAAAUGAAGAAAGAGGAUUAGCGACCUCGGCGCAUUAAACAACAUCUCUCAAAACAGCAGAAUCCUUUGGACCAUUGUCAUCCUAAACUCUCAGCCAGAAAACUGAAUCAGACUCAUCAUCCUUAGUAUUUGGAGCAACAGGAACAAGUGACCGAGCAUCCAAAGAAGUACCCUCAUUGCCACCAAGCCUGAUAGACAGCAAAUGCAUGAGCCACGAAGAUCUGGAAGAAUGCCAAAGCCAAAUCCUAGGUUUGCUACGUGAGGGCAUGAGUCCCAUGCAACCCAUGCAUGAAACAUGCAUGUGCUGAGAUCGUGAAGAUACGUGCUGGAGCUGGAGCUGGAGCCGUGAUUUAGGAAUACGCUUAUCAACGAUUGUGCAGCGAGUAAGGAGGGAAGCUAAGACACGGAAGUUGUUUUCGAUUAUCUUUCGGUUUCAAAUUCUUAGCUAAGUUGUUAUACUCGUUUAUUUAGCCGUAAUUGUAGGAUGGAAACCAAAGUCUUCUUAUUAUAAAUAAGCUCCAGAAUACAAAUAAAAGUAUUGAGAAUUCUAAACAACAAUUAUUUGGUCCUUUCUCGCCGUAAGUAGAAAAAUAUCACUUAUGUUACGCGUGAUCAUUGGCUGUCUCUGACUGGGACCUAUCAAAGCCUUAAAGGCCAAAUCUCCUCACUGAAAAGAGUCUGCGGAGCCAAACCCGAAGAUUGACCCUGGACAAGAACAGGCCCUGUGUUCGAUUAUCCUCAGCAACCACAUACUGCGUAGCACAAUCCACCCUUAGGCUGUACAUCAACAGCUGACAUAGACAUCUUUCUUUUAUCUCAAACAACAGUAUUCUGCACCUGCCCAACAGGUUGUUGGGGCUUCCAAAGCCUAAGAUUGGUAACAAAACAAGCAUCAGCAGAGUGCCCAAGAUGUUUACACGUAGCUGCACCUGGCCAACAUGCUCUUUCCAUUAACAUUUCGGACUGCCUAACCCAUAUACGGGAGUAAUCUUCUUUAAGUUGAAGCUUGAUCAAGGCGUGCCUAUUAUCUAACAAUGAAACCAGCAUACUACCUUGCAAACUUAGAGAGACAAUAAACUUUCUAAUCACAUCCAUUGGAGUGCGACUAAAAGAAAACUUACCAACAAGGGAUAACUUGAAAGGCUCGGCCAGGGACUGAAUUUUUGCUGUCGAAAAGUAAAUAGCAGGUUCCCCCAAAAGCAAAGAAACCGACUUACGGGAUUGAACGGUAGUAGAGCCAGAAAAAGUAUCGACGAAUGACUUUGAAAGCCAUAAGGUAGCAGCAGGGUUGAGGACAGUCGCAGGAUUAAUAACGGAGGCAUAUGCAGGCUUAGCCGAUGGAUUGAGAUUACGACCAAGGGUGGUGGGGGCUGAUCGGUUUUGAGUUGAAUGAAGUGGCUGAGUUGAAUGAAGUAGCUGAGUUGGGGGAGAUAUGGCUGUUUGGCUUGGGUUUGGUCUUGGGCGAGGGUUGAAUGUGACGAAUUAGAGCUUGGGUUAUAAAGAGGCAGCUGGCUGGGGUUAUAAAAAGGCCAGGUGGCGGCUGUUGGGUGUGCGUCAGGUCCAAGGAAGGUUCCGUCGACAAGGACUCACCACCAGUGGAGCUCGUAACGUGGUGACGGUGUGGAGCAGAUUUUAGAAGGUUUGCCGUGAACUAGGGUUUGCGUUUAAACGUGGUGGUGGCUUUUGUAGGGGCUCUUGAUCGGAGAAGAAGUUAUUAGCAUUGAGGGACGGUUCCGGCGGUGGUAAAGCACCAUCAGCGGCGGACAGUGUGGCCAUGGGAGGCCGGUCAAGGUUCGGUCAAGGUUCUGCACGUUCUUCGUUAUUUUCAAACUAAAGCCCACUGCACUUCCUACAAUGCAUUUUAAACUGAAGCAAGCGUGUUAUCACUAUUUUGUUCGUCUAUCAUUCUUCUUCGUUAAUUUGACAAGUCAUUAGACUUAUUAUUUAUUUUAUUUUUAUCCAUUUUUAAAGUACGAAUAAAUUAAUCUCUAUAAUUGUGAUUCCAUCAACAAACUGGCCUUAGAAAUAAUCUCUCUAAUUCUGAUUUUGAGACAACCAGAUCGACUUCUCCUAUGCUAGGAAGCUCCAAAGUAACAAGAAUGACAACAAAAUAAUGACCCUAGGGAAUAAUCUCUAAUUUCCUUUUUCCUUAAGCGUGCAACCAAAAAAUUUACCAAUUAGCAAUCUGAUAAAAAAGGUUGCUACAGUUCCUUAAUGCACAAACUAGAGUUCUGAUUAAAACAAAUUAGGAAAAAAAAAUAAUAACACGCAAAUUUAUUUGGAUUCUGAAGUACAUGAAAUCAACUCCAUGAUUUGAUGAAUAAUAUCUCAUGAAAGUAUCAGAAACGGCAAAGUUCAACAGAAACUAAUGAGUUUAGCGCAUAACCAGAAAAUUUGAACAAGAUUGUUUGAGCUUCAGUAUGACACAAACACAAUAAUCAUGAGCCGGCUUUCCACUGUAGAUUUUUGAAGCAUCGCUCAUUUUGCAAGAGCAGGAACCUCAGCUAUGAGUCUUUAAAAUGCUAUCUUUGAAAGUGAAGUGAUGUAUCAACCAUCUUCAAUAGAAUUGUAUAGUAUGAUAAUAAUCAACAGUCCAAUCAAGCUUGAAACGGAGAAAGGAGCACAGGAGUCCCUUAAGCAAGAGUGUGCGGCUAGUGGUCAGUUGAUACACCGGGUUAAUUAUACGAGAGCUGCUGAGGAGCAACAUCACGAAUUUAAGGCAAUAAUCAGAACUUUUGUUCGCUUCCAUAUUUUGAAGAAUAGAGAAGAUCGUCUAGUAAACAACUUAUUCUGUUUUUCUGCAUGUAAAUCUUGACAGGCUCCAUUUAUUUGAUAUUGUUGACUGUGACAUGUACCUGAUCUCCAAGGAAAUAUGAAGCUAGGUCAGUGAUUCAGGACUUGUAAUAACAAUUUGUCAAUUUCUGACAACCUUAACUCCAAAAUCUUUCAGGUUUCUAGAUUCCAUCAAAAUUAGUAUAUAUAGCUUCACACUUCAUAUACCAGGUAAAUUGUCCCUGCUAGAUGAAACUCUUAUCAUUGAAUAAGCAAUACAUUGUUGAAUAGCACUUUUCUGCAGACAAAUUCUUGAUUUGCCCUCACAAAUUCAAUCCUCAACCCUGAAUUUAACCUGCCAAAAAUGAAAAAGUAUCAACCUAAUCACCCUCCAAUUACUCUAUUAUCGUGUAAUAUAGAAAGUAUCAACCCAAUCACCAAUUUCUAACAACCUUAACCCCAAAAUCUUUCAGGUUUCUAAAUUCCAUCAAAAUUAGUAUAUAUACCUUCACAUUUCAUAUUCUAGGUAUAAUUGUCCCUCCUUGAUGAAACUCUUAUCAUUGAAUAAGCACUGCAAUGUUGAAUAGCACUCUUCUACAGACAUUCUCGAUUUGCCCUCACAAAUUCAAUCCUCAACCCUGAAUUUAACCUGCCAAAAACGAAAAAGUAUCAACCUAAUCACCCUCCAAUUACUCUAUUAUCGUGUAAUAUAGAAAGUACAAACAUCUCAUACCUAGGAAUGUUGGACAACUGUACAAUGUAGGUGAUUGGGUUCUGGGCAUCCCACUAAUAUGCCUAAAACUCUCUCACAGUGUUAGGCAUAUGUUCCUCCAUAGACAGUGAUGCUACCCACAUGACAUAAUAUUGUUUUUUUUUUAAUAGCAUAUCACAAAUCUUAUGCCAUGUUAAGAAGCAGAAAAAGUACAUAACUUUAAAGCCAGAGACAUGCAUAAAUUGAAGAGGCCGCAUCGAAAUGCAAACCUGAGAGCAUAUGGGAUCAUGCCUAAGAACCGAUAAGUUGCUACUAGUUGCAGAAAGGUUGUGCUAUCAGUCAGUAUGAUUCUACGGUUCAAAAAAAUUUUACUUGCCUUACUUCUUAUUAAAAUUUACUAUAAAUCAUUUCCCAUCAGCCGGCUUUGGAUGCACCCUUGCAUCAUCCUCUCUAGCUUGUUUUUUGCCUUUCACCUGCAGAACAUGGUUUCAGUCAAAAUAGAAUAUUUUCUUAACAAGUUGGGGAGAAAAUAGUAAAAGCACAUUGUGAUAUUUCGAAAUGCUCAUCAGAUAUUAGCUUACGAUUAAUGAUAUUUAAUUAAAAAAAAAAAAGAUAGGUGGUAGAUUCCAACUUAAUUCAUUAACAUUCUAUGACUGUUUAAAAAUUCGUGCAAAUACCAAGUACACUUACUAAAUUAAUUGUAAAAUGCGCGAUAAAAUAAAAACAUUGACAUAAUCUAAGGAUGUUAAAUGAUCUGAUCAAGUAAAUUACUUUUCUGAGUAUCAAAAAUGUGCCAGUGGUCAAUUCCUCCAUCUUUAAAGAAUAUAUACCAAAAAAGUCUAUUGUGAAGUCUUCCACUCUUCUCCAGCUAAUCAAAUCCUGCUAUACUCUCUCUUGUAUGACCCUGACCCAUAUAGCCACCAUGAUGAGAAGUUUUCAUGUCUCUUGAGAUUGAAUAUCUACCCCUGUAAUAUUAUAUUGUGAUUGAAUAUCUACCCCUGAAAUAUUAUGUUGUGAUUAUUAGCGAGCAUGUUGAAAAGCAGAAAUGAUGGAUAGAUGGGGAGAAGAUUACACGAGCUGCCAAAGGCCAAUUACCUUGUUCAGAUUUCACACAUCAAUGUCAGAAAUGAAUUAUUCAAGAAAACAAUGGCAUGAUAGUGAUGAACGAUGGUGAAACAUAAGACUUGAGUGGGUUGAGGAGAACAGAUUUGGAACAAUUGUGUCUUUGCAGUAACAGUUUCUUCUCAUGCCUGCAAAAUUUUCAGCUAAUUUAGUUGAGUAGAUGGAUACAUACACUCUGUAGUCUGUACAAGUAUCACAGUAUAAUAAUCACUACUGAAAAGUUAUAUGGAAUUGAAUUCGAGCAGACAAAUUUAAUCCAAAAUGUUCAACCUAUAACUAUUUUCCAUAAAUAUUUUGGAACAAACUGAUAUACAUACAAAAGUUGACUUGAUGGAAACAAGAAAUCCAAAAGAUUAAAAACAAUGGUUGCUAAGUCAAAAGAAUAAGCACAACAUAAUUUGAUGCCAAAUUUUGUUACCUAUUAAAUUACAAAAAACUGAUUUUAAAGAAAAAGCAAUUACCUGUCCAUUAGUUCCAACUGUAGCUGUCUGAAAAAUCAAGGUCUACCUCUUUUCACAAAUUCAAAAUUAAUUAUGAUGCUAGGGAUUCGAGAAAUUUUGUCCCAGUCCUCUCCUGUCUCAUUGUAACGCUCUUCCAGAACAGUGCACCAAUUGAUAGUCAAUUCCUCCAGUGCAUCUGUUUGAAGAAUGUGGCCUGGCAGUGCCUUCAAUUUGGGACAGUGUACAAGUGACAAGAAACGAAGACAUGGCAUGAUUGUCCCACAAUCCCAAUCUUCCCAUUCUUCCAUGUUUACAAACUUAAGAGAUUUCAAUUUGGGGAAGACAAUAUCUGAUGAAGAUGAUGACGCAUCAAUGCUUCUUAUUCCCAGAAGUUCGUUACCUACUCUCACACUCCGCAUACUGCUUAUAGAGAGUGAUUCAAGAGAUGAAAGUUUUCCCAGAGGAGGCAAAUGAUCCAAAUUGGUGCAACCAUGGAGAUUUAACGUCCUCAACACACUCAAUGACAUUAUGCAAUCAAGGUAGCUGGCGUUGCCUUUGUAGCCUCUAAUCUCCAGAAACUCUAAAUUUGGAGGUGGUUGUAAGGCUUCAAGAACUCUUUCAUCUGUAAACAUCCUACUUUCAUCAUCCUUAUUCAUCCUAAGUUCCUCUGCAUCAUUUUCAAAAUUUAGAUACAAACGAAUGAUUUUUCUUUUGUUCUGCAGAUUUGCUUCCUUAACCACACUGAAAUCUGUAACACUUCCCAAAUUUUUUACACUAAGAGACCCUUGAAGGUGGUUCAAGUUUUUUAAACUUGCAAGGGUGCAUGCUUUGCCAUCACCACUCACAACGAAUUCACUUAAUGUCCGAAGACUAGUCAAUCUUUCAAUUCCUCUUGGUAUGUAACUUAGUGACGUCUCAACAUUUACAAGAUGCCUUAGUCUGAUUAACUUCUCCAUUCCUUCAGGUAACUUUCUGAGAUUGGUACACCAACUGAGCUCUAAAGUUUGUAAAUUAAUUAGCUCACACAAUUUCUCAGGCAAUUCUUUCAUUUUUAGUGAGGACAAAUUAAGGUAUCUCAAAAGAAUCAGUCUCUCUAUCCCUUCUGGAAUCGUUAUUAUCACUUUUUCCCACCAAAAUUGUCCACUUAGAUCUAAUGCCCGUAAAGAUGUCAACUCAUUGAAAAUUUUUGGUAGUACCUCACUAAUUGAUGAACAGUUUGUAACUCCAUAUUGAAUCAAGAGGCUGCGAACUCUUUUAGCUCCACAGAUGGAGACAGGAAAAGAAACAGCUUUAUUGAGAGCCAACAUUAAAUGACGAAGCUUAUAACCAUAACUGAUGUUUGUUGCCUGAAGACCAUCAUUAGCUUCCAUAGUAAGACUUUCAUUCUUAGCUAGAUAUUGGGCAAAAUCAUGCACUAUGCCAUGCAUCUUACAUGAUAAAAUCUUACCAUUAUCAUCUUUUUCAAAGUCUUGGAAUAAAGAUUGCAUCGCUAACAAGUCAAAAUACUCUUCACCAAUUAUCUCCAUCUCCUCUUCACUUUCUCUCUUACCAAGAUAACCUUGAGCCAUCCACAAUUUAAUCAAUUUAUCUUUAUUGAUUUGGAAAUCUUUUGGAAAGAUGGCACAAUAUAAGAAACAACUUUUAACAGUAGAGGGCAAAUCAUUAUAACUCAACAAUAAAGGGGCAAAAGGUCCCAUCUCAACCCACAGUUCACUUUCGAAGAUCAUUUGCCACUCGUCAAUAGUAUUUCUAGAGCGCAAAAGCAUCCCAACAGUCUUUAUAGCAAGAGGUAAGCCGUUGCACUUGCGCACAAUAUCUCUCCCAAUUUCUUCAAGAUGUUCACGCUCCGGAGGAGAUCUACCAAAAAAUGCAAUAUGGCAAAACAAUGACCAACUUACAUCUUCAGUAAAUUCCCUAACCAUGAUAAUGUCGGUUGAUUUCAUCACACGAGCAACUGUUUCUUUACGUGUGGUAAUCAAAAUUUUGCUUCCAUGGAGACCAUUCUUUAGACAGUGAAAUAAUGGUUCCCAUUUAUAGUAAUCUUCAGUCCACACAUCAUCUAAGACAAGAAAAAAUUUCUUACCCACAAUACACUUGCUAAUAUGUAGCAUCAGAGAUUGAAAUUCCACAAAAUUACCGACGCUGCCUCCUAGAGAGCCAACAAUUGAUUUGGCAAUCGUGAACUCAUCAAAAGUGGCAGAUACACACACCCACAAUUUUGUGUUGAAAUGUCUCCGCGUCUCAUCACUAUUGUAGGCCAAUUGAGCAAGGGUAGUCUUCCCAAUCCCUGCCAUACCAACAAUUGAGAUGAUAUGGAGGCCUCUUAUUUUUUCGCUACUCUCGGACAACAACUUGCUUAUUAAAGUAUUCUUCUCCUCAUCUCGACCAUAUACUGCUGAUUCGUCAACUAGAGAGGUAGUUUCCAGUCGUUUUGAUGGCCCAACACUCCUACUUACAUUAAAACCAAACAUAUCUCUCUGUUUGGCAAUAUCAUCUACACAUUCAUUUAACUCUUUUAUCUUGAUAGCAAUACCACGAUGCAAACCGGCUCGAAAAUUGAAACAAAAGCAAGCAGCAGGAAGGAAGGAACACACCUUCUGAGAAACAAGAGUUGGAGCACUCUCAUGAUCAUCAAGUACUCCCUCGAUUUGCAAUUUGAGCCUAGUAGUGAUCCACUCAUCCAACACAUCUUCCAUGUCAUAACAUGCGUCUUUGAGCUGAUCCAGCCAAAGUCUGACAGCUUCCUCCUUCACUUGCCUCUGCUCUGCAUCUGCAAGAAAGGCUUGGCUGGCUUGAAAAUUGGAUACGAGCCUUUUCACCUCUUUGCCGUCACCCACAAUAAGCCUCCCCUCCUCUCUAUUCUCUUCAGUAGAUAUUGAAACCAGCAGCUCCAAGAGACGGGAAACAGCUGCGUCAGCCAUAUUCGAAAUCGGAGAUCGUAAAUGAAUGAAGGAAGACGGGAAAUUUGAGUUGAACGGAAACUACGGACUGGAUCUUAUGCUGUCAACAAUCAAAAAGCACGGAAAAGGAGUGUGAUUGAUAUUAUUUUUGAUUUCCCAUUUCUCUUUAAAAGAAAAUAUUGGGAAAAUUAACCUUUCACUAUUUCCGGGUUCAGCUGCGGUGCAACAGUAGUAUAGUACCAUUUUUUUUAGUCUUUUAUGAUAAAUAUUUAUAUAACCCCUUUUACUCAUUUUUAUUUAAACUUUGUUUCACAAAUAUUAUAUUAAUUUCUACUGUAUUCAUAUAAAUAUUUUAAUUAACACCUUAUACUAUUUAUUAUGUGUAAAUUUUUAUUCUAUAUUACAUAUGUAUCACAAUAACCCUCUUUUUAUAAUUUUGAGAUUAAAUAAUUAACCCGAAAAAAUCGGGUCGACCUGAACUCGCGAAGCCGAUUCAGAUGCCUCUGUUUCUAUUUUCGGCCACUCCAUUGGCCAACGUUGGUACCGAUCGGAAGCUCGUACGACACUGAUCAUCUCUAUGUCAUCCUUAUCGCCGGAAAGCAUUCGAAAAGCUGCCGUGAAAAGCUACGGAAUCGCCGCUUCAAUUCGCCGCAAUUUUGUCAGUUUCCGGUGACGGCACCACCUGGGUUUUGUUCCCCACAAUUCCCUCUAUCUUUUUCGACCAACCACAGCCACCGAGAGAGCCGAUUUGUCGUUGAUUGGCCGUUAAAGGAUUCACAUGGAUGCAGUAAAAAUUAACUUAAUAUUUGUAAAGCAAAAGUUAAAUAAAAAUGAGUGAAAGACGUAAUAUGAAAAUUUCCCACAAAAGACAAAAAGAAAUGGUAUAGAACCACUGUUGUACCACCCCACUAUUUGUGUUUUAUUAUGUCUACACUAUUUAUGUUUUAUUAUCCAUACUUUUAAUCACUAUAAAAUUUUAACGUGUUUUUACACCACUUUUAUUUUUAAACUUAUCUCAAUCAACUAGACACUAAAAAACAACUAUUUGACUCUUAAAUAAAUUAAAAAAUUAUUUUAUUUUAUAAAAUUUUGAAAAAAUUAUAAUAAAAAUACUCUUAAAUUUAAUAAAAUAAACAAAUCUCAAAUUCAAUACGUUAAUUUUUUUAUAAUUAUAAUUUUAUUAAAAAAUUAUCAUAUUAUUUUUUGUAAUUAUAACUUUCUUUAAUUUGUAUAAGAAAAUUUUUUAAUAUUAAUUAUAAAGAAGUUUACAACAAUUACAAAGCUUUUCUCAUUAUGUUAAUUUUUGUAAACCUUCCUAUAUUUAAUUUACUAACAAAAAUUAAAUGAAAUUAUAAUUAUAAAAAAUUAUAAUUACAAGAUAUUAAUUUUUUAUAAUUAUAAUUUCAUUCAAAAAUUAUCAUCUUAAAUUUUGAGAUUUAUUUGUUUUGUUGAAUUUAAGGUAUUCUUGUAAUUAUAAAUUUUUUUAUUUUUUAAUAUUUUAUAGAAUAAAAUAAUUUUUAAUUUAUUUAUGGAUAAAAUUAUUUUUAAUAUAAAAGUAAUUAAUUGAUAGAAGCUUAAAAAUAAAAAUAAUAUAAAAAAUAUAUCAAAAUUUUAUAGUAAUUAAAUACACAUGUGAAAAAAAUGGUACGUAAAUAAUUUUUAAAAGUAAUACAAAAGUCAAAUAAAUACGUGUUUGGUGGGCCAUCAUUACUUUUGCACUAUUCUCAUAAAUUUUCCUUUUUUUUUGGCCCCAAAAAAAGCAUAAACAACCUACCGUUGUUCUCUAAUUUUCAUUUUUCAUGGUCCCACGUUGGAUGUAUUUAUGACUUUAGGAUAUCAUAUUAUAUAUAAGGACUCACCAACGUUGCAAUUGUGGUAACAUACCACAAUUUUUGUCCUUAUCCAAUAUAAUCAUUAGAUUUAAAAACAACAGAUCGAACGCUUCAGAGAUGGCCACGUUUGUGUUAAAGAAUACCGAGCAAGCCGGUUAAGAAAAGGUAAAUUUACAUGUAAUAAAAUCUGUAACGCACAUCUGAAAUCGCACGGUGACUGUUGUGUAGAAGGAAAUUUGACGAAUUUAUGAAGCUAAGCUGAUAAUCGAAAGGAGCCCUUGGCAAAGGCCAAAUAGAUGAAAGAAUCGAGUCCCAGAGACGAUAAAUACGAUCAGAGAAAGAAAAAAAAUUAGGUGAGUCGAUGCUUCACACAUUUUGUGAAGAGGGCAAGUGCCCUAAUUUGCGGGGGUGCUGGUCUGCCGGCAAGAUGGGCUUUACAGACAAAUUAUGAUCCUCGGCGAUACUUGUACUCGCAGUUGUAGGUAAUUAUUCGGAUUUAUUAAAUGGCAUCUGUGUUAUUAGGAAUCUGGAAUGUCUGUUAAUUAGGUUGAAUUGAUUAUAAAUAUAAGGAUUUGCAAUGUGAAGAACUCGUUUGCGCAUCCACCACUUAAUCUUUUAGAGCCCACGAAUGUUGCUGAGGUAAUUGCGUGGUGGGGUUUGGAUUAUCUGGUGAUUACUAGUGUUGAUAGAGAUGAUUCAGCUGAUCAGUGAAGUGCUCAUUUUGCUCAAACGGAGCGAAAGUUGAAAGAAUUGAAGCAGAAUAUGCUUAUUGAAGCAUUGGGUAAGAAUUCUUAGUAUUUAAGUGUCUUUGAUUGUGUAGUUCUUGACUAUCACAGAAACAAUGGGUGUGUAGGGGCAAGUCGCCUAGUCGGGUCUAUAUGAUUUUGCACUUAUGAUUUUUUAAAAUCAUUUUUGCAUGCUGUAAUUUGUAUGUAGUUAUAUGCUUUUUGGCCUUUGAAGAGCAUUGUAUUUGAAGUGGAACCCUCUCUGCUUUCUGAACAAGGAGCUUUUAUUUAUUCAUUCACACUGAAUUAUUUUGUGUAAUUUUAGUUUUAUAGAAAAUGUUCAAUGGUGGGAGAGUGGAAGUUUGGACUUAGGUGAACUUCUCUACGCAUUUGAAUUAAGAUGUGCCAUUCCAGUUCGGUCAAGGGUUGGUAGACAUGUGUAAUAGCAAGGGAAUUGUAUGGUAAUAUUAUUUAUUUUGCAAUUCAUGUUAGCAAUUCAGGUUAAUGGCCUUUCUGAACCUACAUUUUUUUUGUUUUGGGGGGGGGGGGGGGGGGGGGGGGUGUUUAUUCUACCAAGUAUUCAACCCACAGCCUGUCAUCCCAUAAAUUCAUCCAACCCAAAUCAAAUUGAGAAGGCACUUUUAGAUGUUCACAAUCAGACUAUAUAGCAAGGAAAAGAGCAUCAGCUGUUGAUAAUUAUUUAAACUAAUGUUAGCGGAUCAUAUGUGAGUGAUAAAUUUAAUCCAUGAUUAAAUAUUUAUAUCAGCAUUGAUUUUAUUAAGCAUUAUCGGCUUUGUGCUUAUAGGAAGAAUUAAGUUUAUGAAACGGAACUUGGGAUUGUUUCACAAUGCUGUUAGCCUAAGCGGGCAUCAAGGCUCAAUAGUCAAUAUGUAGUGUUUUGAAAAUGUGGCUCUUGAAAUCAAUGUGAAGGUUUGGUUUAUUCUGGUUAAUAUGGCGAUAACAAUACAAGGGUUAGUGGAAAAACAUGCUGGAGAUAAUUUCUUUUUGCAAUUUAAUUCCAGUCUUGAUUUGUUGGAAUUACUAUAAUUUUUUUCCAAAAAAUUAAAUUUUGAUGUUCAAGAAUUUUUUUUUAGGUUGGAAGUGCCAAAUUUCUUGUUAAAUUGAUAGGUUUGCUUUUAUGCUUCUGUUUGUCUUUUAUAGGGCGCAUGAUCCACUACUAAAAGCUCACUACAAUCAUGGAGUAACAACAAAAAAUGGCUUGUUCAACUUAACUCAUGCCCGCGCUUUGAACUAAGUGACUUUAUUUGGGAAUAAUUGCUUUCAUUUCUAUUAAUACAUGUUGUAAAUAUUGUCUAACCCCAACUUUACUUUUAUUACAAAGAUUCAGAAUAUUAAUUUUCUGUAUGCUUAUAUGUCAAUAUGUUUGCAUAUUUAGAAUGUUUUGCGUGCAAAUGACCUGUAAGAACUUCACCAUUAUAAGGCCACCAACCUUUGUAAUCUGGAUACAAUCAAAUGAAAUAUAGGCUGUAGUUAUCUUACAUGAUGAUGUAAGAAACAUGACUCUUCCACAGCCGUUUGAUGAAAAUUCAUGUUUUUUACAUUAUCACGUAAGAUAACAAGUUCCUUAAGUAUAAUAAAUGCUUACUACUUUUGCUUAUUUCCUUUCCUUGUUCACUUGACUUCUUUCAACUAAAACUUUAAAGUUUUUCUUACUUGCAAUUAUUCCAUAAACUUAGGCUACUUCUAUAAUAAAUCCAUAACAAUAUAGACAAUAUAACCAUUAUACAGAAUUUUUAAAGAAUACAAAACCAAAAAAAAAAAAAAAGAACUCUCGAAACAAUCUACUGUGCAUAGACCUUUUUUUAUGUGCAAGAAUUAACUGUGUGCGUCUUAUAGACACAAUAUUAGUGUAACAAAAGUGAGGUCCCAGUCAUUCCGUUGACUUGGUGUCAAUAUCACCAUCUCCACUGAGAGCAGAUAGGCAGAUGUUAAUUCACCACUUGGGAGUCUAAACAGAUAGUCAUUCAUCUGAGAAGUGGACAUGCCAUUAGUCCCAAUCUGUUGCCAAACAACAUAAGUGCAGAAACCACAACAGAUGAAAGUUUUUUGUCCAAAGCUUAAGCAGAUCAUGGUAUUCAGCAAAUGUGGGGCAAGACUUAAAUGAAAGAUAAAAGAAUGGUAAAUUUUGCACCCAAUAAUAGCCAAUUUGGAUGUCAUCUGAGCACUAUCUAAAACAUCACAAAAUACCUAUAAGGUGAUAGCAUAUGCUUUCCCAUAAUUGCAUAUCAUGUCGAAAAAGAUCAAAAAAUACCUGCAUCGAGCUGGAAGGAAAAUCUUAAUAUGCAAGGAUACUUAUCGUGAUGCACACUGUCACAGUAAGUCAUGUAACAGCUUUAGGGGAAUUGGAGUGAUUAAGCUAGUGCCUAUCUAUCAUGAUACAACUAUAUAAGAUAAUAGUUACUUAUAUUGCCACAAAAGUCAAAACUAGAUAUUUUGAAUACAAUCAUCUUUGGUUGAUUAUCUUGAUGCCUGAAAAAUGAUUAUUUUGAUUUUAUCUAGCAUUCUACUCUUCCUAAGUUCCAUUGCUUUUUUUAGCUUCCAAACUUCACCACCAUAAUCUUAUAUAAAAUAAACAACCAGCAAAAGUGCUAGCAAAUUCAAUGAGUUAUAGUUAUCACAAUUCACAACCAAGAUGAUAUAAAGAAAAAUUCAAGCUUGAAAUUAGAUGGCGAAGCAAAAAUCCUCAGAAAAAUAUCACUUAAAUUUUCUCUUGAAAAGCAUCUAGUAAUGCAUCCAACAUAAUUUCCUCCACAAUGAACUAAGUUCCACCAAAAGCAUCAGAUGAAAUACUUUAUGAUUUAAAAAUAUGAAUAUUUUUAUACAAGUUCUUAUCCUCAAUUCUGACUCAAUAAUUUUGAGCUUCUCAUAAAUUCCAAAAUGUUGCAAGGCAAAACGGAUAAAACAAAAGCAAUAAUUGGGGCAUUAAUCUUUAGAUCGUCUCAAAAGAGUUGCUAGAACCACUAUUCACUCUUUGAAUUUUACAGAGCACAUAUGAGCNNNNNNNNNNNNNNNNNNNNNNNNNNNNNNNNNNNNNNNNNNNNNNNNNNNNNNNNNNNNNNNNNNNNNNNNNNNNNNNNNNNNNNNNNNNNNNNNNNNNNNNNNNNNNNNNNNNNNNNNNNNNNNNNNNNNNNNNNNNNNNNNNNNNNNNNNNNNNNNNNNNNNNNNNNNNNNNNNNNNNNNNNNNNNNNNNNNNNNNNNNNNNNNNNNNNNNNNNNNNNNNNNNNNNNNNNNNNNNNNNNNNNNNNNNNNNNNNNNNNNNNNNNNNNNNNNNNNNNNNNNNNNNNNNNNNNNNNNNNNNNNNNNNNNNNNNNNNNNNNNNNNNNNNNNNNNNNNNNNNNNNNNNNNNNNNNNNNNNNNNNNNNNNNNNNNNNNNNNNNNNNNNNNNNNNNNNNNNNNNNNNNNNNNNNNNNNNNNNNNNNNNNNNNNNNNNNNNNNNNNNNNNNNNNNNNNNNNNNNNNNNNNNNNNNNNNNNNNNNNNNNNNNNNNNNNNNNNNNNNAAUACUAAAACUCUAACUCUUCCAAUAACUAUGCAUAAUAAUAACUCAAAAUAGCCCAUGAAAAUGAAAAAUUAAGAGACAUUUUAUUACCAAGACUUUUGAAAAUCCAUCAAAAGUCAAAUAAAAAGAUCAUUUGACGGCUUUCUGUACCGCAAUUGCCGAGUUAUCAUCAGGCCAUAGAUCGCUCUCUUGCUCUUUCCUCUGCAACGACUUUCGCUCGAGUUCCCUCCACUUGUUGAUUGCAGCUGUGCAGAUAAAUCUGGUACCAACAACAAAAAGCAAUCGAAGAACCUUUGUGCCGGGGGGCCCGCCGUCAUCCCUUUUUCUGUCAUCUUUCUCUGCAGUGUGUGUGUCAAUUACUCACUUCGUCAUUAUCUUAGCGAUUGUUUGGCGGCCGAGAAACGUGAAAGAGAGAAUAUAACCGGUUGUAGAAGUUGUCAGUGGCUGAUGGAAUUAUCCAAUAAUUAAUUUUAGCCGUUAGAUUAAAUUUGAAAGCAUCCAACGAUUUUACUGAAAAAAGACAAAAAGCGUCGUAAGGUACAACUGUGGCAACGUAGGUGUAUAUAUAUAUAUUCAUUCAGUUUAACUUUUUAUUUUUUAAUAGUAUAUAAAAAUUAUUUAACCGAAUUAGGGGUAAAUUUUAACCUUUCAUUGGGCGACAAAUUUAUUUUUUCAAACACGCUAUCAAUUCUGAAGGAAGAAAAAAUCAUAAACACAGUGACAAUUGUUUUGCGUGAAUGCAGUUGUCUUGCAAAAAGAAAAGUAAGCUAUUCAGAUUUCUGACCGAUGGACUGAAACUGAACCAUCAGCUGACCUCAAACGGGCUGGGCUGUGAGAACUGAGAACUACUAUCUCACGUAAGCUAUAUUUGGUACAUAGAAUUGGAUAUGAUUAAUUAUUAGAAUUAGACUAGUUUAUAAUGGAUUAGAUUAGGUUGGAUUAUAUAUAGUGCUGACUUAUAUUUGAUAUGGUAUUGAUUGAAUUAUGCUAAAUUAAAUUUACAAGAAAUUAAAUAGUAUUUACAUUAAUAUUUGAAUUUAAAUAUCAACUGUUUAUAGAUAUUUAACAAGAAAUAUUAUAAUUAAUUAAAAAUAAAACUUAUAAGAAUUAUACACACUCAAAAAUAAAGAAGUAUAAAUUAUUUAAAUUAUAGGUUAUUUCAAAUGAGAUAUAUCAUUUCAUUAAAUAAAAUAAAUUAAUUAUUCAAAUAAUAAAUUAAUUAAUAACCUUUAAGUAAAUCAUGAAUAAAAAAUAAAUUACUUAAUUAAAAACAAUAAAUAAAUAAAUAGUUUUUAAGUUAUAAAUAAAUGAUGUAAUAAAUUAUGGAAGAUAUUAUAAAUGGACAAAUAUUUUUCUUGACAUUAUCUAGUUCUAACUAAACCCUCACAAAAAUUAGGAUUAGCAAUCCCAUGAAUUUAGGAUUAAAAAUUGAAUUUAGUCCAUUAAUACAAUCCAAGUGAGCAUGCCAAACAUGGUAUUAAUAUUUUGUCCCAAUAAUUAGUUCAAUCCUACACUUAAUCCUAGCUCCCAAACAUAACCUUAAAACAUAAUAAUAAUAAUAAUAAUAAUCAUCAUCAUCAUCAUAAUAAUGACAACAAUGACGGCGACCGUGGCAUUUAAAAUCAACACAAAAUUACUUAGUAACAAAAAUUUGAUCAGCUGGAGUAAUAAAAUGAAAGGUAAAAUUUGACGAAGAGAAAGAUUUAACUAAAAUAAUAUUAGUUUGUCUUAUUUAAAGAGUCUUUUGGAAAAUAAUUUAUUUUUUUUCACUCUUCUAUUUACCACAUAAAUAAACAUAUAGACAUUUAAAGAGUAAAAUUUGAAGAGUAUUUUGAUGAUACUCUUGAGAUUGCAUUGAAUUUUACAUUUGAUAAAUGUUAUUAUUAAAGUAUUGUGAUAAUAUGAAACAUAAUUGAUUGAUAUGAUGAAAAAAAUAUCAUUUGUAUGAUUUUAUUUGGGGAAAGAAUAUAUUGACUAAAUUGUAAACUAAUAAAGGGAGAUUGCCAAUUUCCCCAUCUUGUAAUCAAUAUAUACCAUUUACCCCUUGUUGUUUUUAUGAUAACUAAUAACCCUCUUGACAGAAUAAAUCUAUAAUAUUACCCAUAUUUUCAAAUACAUUUUAUUUAUAUUUAUUAUAAAUUAAAUAAAUCAUAUGAAUAGAAACUAAAUAAAAAAAUGAAGGAUUAAAAAAAAGAAAUAUACGUUUUGAUGUAAACAAAAAAAUUAAUAGUAAAAUUUUUAUGUACUUUUUUUAUUUUGUAAACAUUUUCUUAAAAUAAAUAUUUUACAAUAUUUUAAAAUUAAAUGUAAAAAUUACAAAAAAUAUUUUAUUAUUUAUUUUCUAAUAAUUUUUUAUUUAUCAUUCAAGUUUUCUUAUAAUAAUUUUUAAUCAUUUUAUAAUAAUUUUCUUAUAUAUUUAUUAUAAGAAAUGUUUAUAAAAUAAAAAAGUACAAGAAAAAAUAUUUUAUUAUUAAUUUUUUCACAUCAAAAUAUAUAUUUCUAAUUUUUAAUACUUAAUUAUUAUUUUAAUUUUCAUUCAUGUCAUUUAUUUAAUUUUAUAAUAAAUAUGAUAAAAGUUUAUUUGAAAAUAGAGUGAUGAUAUGGCUGCAAAUUCUUGUACAAACUGAUUUGUCAUUAAUUCAUUAGUUGAAUCAAAAUAUAAAAUAAUAAAAAUAAAUCAUGUGGACUAAGAGAUAUUUAAUCCAACUAAUUUUAUUAUGUCACAUCAAUUUAAACAAAAUAAAUUUAUAUAAGAGUUUGUACCUAUAUUAUUACUCUCAAUAAGAGUAAUAUGAUAAACUUAUAUUAUCAAGAGGGUUAUUGGCUAUUAUAAAAAUAGUAAGGGGGCAAAUGAUAUAUAUUGAUUAUAAUAGGGGGAAAUUAGUAAUCUCUCAUUGAUAAAUAUGAUUCUUCAUAUGCAACAAUAUAGAUUACAAUAAAAAUUCGCAUGAGUAUGAUCAAUCCUUACAACAACAAUGAAAAAAAUACUUGAUAUAUUUUUUAGGAUAUUAUUUGUUGGUUUUCAAAAUAUUUCAUUAAAAUAAAAAACAACGAUACUCAUAUUCAUUCAAAAGAGAAAAAACAUAUAUGUUAUUCAAAAUUGAACUAUUGAAGUCUAAUCGUAUUUCCAACCAAUUCACGAUAUAUAUCUCACAAAUUAAUAAAUAACCAAUUUAAUAUCUCAUUAUUUCAUCUAAUAAUCCUUCCUCUAUAUAUAAAAAAAUUAGAAAAAGAGGGCUGUUUGCCUAUUCCUCAUUUAUUGAAAAAUGAAGAUCAAAUCUGGAAAACAAGACACGUACGACAUGCCAUUUUAGAUAAUUAAAUUGAUCUGAUAAAUUGAUUUCAGGAGUAUGAUACAUCGGUUGAGAUAAAAUCAGAUGAAUAGGACGGUCAACAGAUAUCAUCCGUCCGAUUAAAUUGUAUACUAUUUGGAAGAGGAUUAAUUUGGACAUGUGUGGCAUGUAUGGAAGGUGGUUACUAUUAGAAAAGAGUAGUGCUACAUAUCUCAAAUUUUUUAGUCCAAAUAGCUAUCUCAAAUGACAUGUUGUUUAUUAAUUGAUUGGUGGAAUAAUAUAAUUAAUUUACUUGAAUCUUAUAAAAAAUUAUCAAUCAGUUAAUAAAUAUUAUAUAAUUUAGGAUAGUUAUUCGAGAUAAAAAAUUUCGGAUAUCUAUCAUUUUAGAAAAAUGAUUUUCUCUUUAAACCAAUUAGGAAAGCACUACAAAGAUUCCCUCUGUGACUUGUUCUCUCAUAUUGAUAAACGCUCUAUGGGUCUUCAAAUCUUUGUUACUUCUUUUGAUUUUCUUGGUGUUCGUGUGGUUCUUAAAGUUCGUUAAUUAGUCUUUGACUAGGAUUAGGUCUUAAUGAUUUGUUUGGUAUAUAUGCAAUAAAUCAGUCUUAACAUUACUAUAUAAAUGAUGCAUUUACUAAAUAAGAAUCAAAAUGAGAUGAAAGUGGAAUGAAUUAGAAUUGGAAUAAGCUGAAAUUAGAAUAAGCAAUUAAAAUAAGAAUAAAUUGUUUAUUUAAAUUGAAAGAAUCGGAAUCGAAAUGAGUUAGAUUAUUACGAAUCACUAAAAAAAAUUUAAUUAAUUAUUAUCUUAAUUAUUAUUUUAUAUUUAUCAUUAUUAUCGUUGUUGCUGUUAAUAACAAUAUUACUAUUAUUAUUAAUGUUACAAUAGUAAUUAAUUAUGAUACUUUUUAUCAUCAUCAUCACCACCAUCAUCAAUAAGUCAUCAAUCUCAUCAUCAACAACAACAAACCAUCGUCAUCAUUAGAUCGGAAUUGUGGCUAUCAGAGAUGAAACGGAGACGAAAUCGAGACGGAUCAAACAGAGAUGAAAACAAGAUGGCCCAAACAAAGAUGAAGCCGGUAACCAGUUGUUGCUCCAUAGUCAACAGACCAACAAUGACAAAGAUGGUGGUUGAUUUUUGGCAGCAACAGUAAGGUGUGCCUGCAAUGGUGUUCGGCUGUAUGGAGAUUCGUACGAGUAGUUUAGGCUAAUGGGAUUUGCUUUUAUAUAUAUAUAUAUAUCAUCUAAAAAAAGGCAUUUGGGGAAUAUUAUAUAUUAAUGGGGGUAGAAUUGAAACUCGAUCAGUCUCCCAUUCUCAGCUCCAUAAUUCUCAUUUUGAUUCUCACUCUUAUUUUGUGAAUUAAGUGCAGUUAAUGAUCCGAUUCUUCAAUCCAAGAAGUAAACACACCAAAAGUAUUCCCCUUGAUCGUCUCUUUUCCAUGCAAUGUAGAAGAGGAAAAGGUGAAGGGUAGUGCCGUAGUAGUUAGUAGCUGCAUAAAUACGGUAAACUUGGGCUCAGCUUACAUUCAUCGCAGAUUUGUUAAAUUUUCUCCAAAUAUCCAUCCUCUAUAAACAAUAAGAUAAUGAGUGAGUCAAUUUGAACUUACCAAUACUCAAUAUAUUUAUAUGUUUAAAUAAAUUCAUUAUUAAAAUUUUAAAUUUUAUUUUUUACUCACUAAACUUAUUUAUAUACCUAAUAUACCCUUAUUAAAUAUGUAUUAAUCCAGUUAGCGAUCUUUAUCUCUCUUCUUUCUUUUUUAAUUUUUCUAUCCUCUAUUGUUGACUUGUUGCAAUGGCUUUUUUUUUUUUUUCCCUCAAAACUGAAAUUCUCAAACCAAUCAUGAAACACUAGAAAUCAUGUAUAGAAAUAUAAAGAUAAACUUGAUCUCAAUUAAAACUCAAAAUUUUUAUGUCAAUGAACGUGCAUGGAUUCUUGUUUUUUUGAACGGAAUACAAAAAAUUAAUUUAGGUUAAAGAAAGAACGAAUGGCAGAAAUCUCCAAAAGGACGAGGGCCGUAGGGAAUUUUUUCUAUUCAAAGAGGGCAUAAGGAUAAUUUUAUACUCAGUUUUUUAUUCGGUAAAGAAAUGAGACAAUUUUUUACUCAAUUACUUAUUCAAAGAAGAGGAUGAAGUCGAAUCUCAUCCUCUCCUCAUUUUCUCAUUUUAAUUUUUAAUUUUAUUUUUAUUUUUUAGAAUUAUUGAUGAGUAAAUAAUAAAAUCUAAAUUAUAAAAUAUUAAAUAUUAAAAAAAUAAUAAAUAUCAAAAUAUUUAUAUAAAUAUACUAUGAAACUUUCAUGUGUAAUUAAAUAAUUAUAAUCUUAAAUUAGCUUCGAUCAGGCCUUAGCCCAUAAUUUUUGUUUUAAACUUUUAUUUAAUAAAACAAAAGCUAAAGUAAAUUUGUAAAAUCUAAUUUCUAAAGUAGCCAGCCACCCAGCACUCCACUGCAGACAUUCACGAUCAUUAGUUCAUUUAUUUCAUUAUAGAUAUAAAUUUUUUUCUUUUUAUUAUAGGUUUAUGAAGAUUGAUGCAGAUAAUUAUUUUGAUAUUUUAUAUUUUGUAGUAUAACUUUUUUAAUAGAUUAAUAUUAAUGUAAGGUGUAAAUAAAUUUUUUAUUUUAAUAUAAUUAAAUUAAGUUUAAAAAAAAAAAUUCAUUAUUCAGAAUGGAGAACCUUUGGCGAUUCUUUGUUAUUUUUUAGAGAAGAAGCGAUGAUCUCCUCGAAUAAUUCUGCUGGAGAUGAUAAAAAAGUAGAAUAUAAAAAAUAUACUGAGAAGUUAGAGUCCCUUCCCAGUUCCCAUCCCUCCCCCUGACCGGUCCCCUACCUAUAAACGGAAGUAAAAGUCUUUCUAUUUAUCAAUAUAUCUUGGAAAGAGAGAGACGCUUAAAGAUAUAAUGUUGGGCUAUAAUAGUAAUUUAAGGUAGCGUUUAUUUUUUGGAUUGAAGUGGGAAUUCUGAGGAAUGAGAAUCCUGGGAGUGUGGAGUGGAAGUGUGAGUAGGUUGUUUACUUACACUGAAAUGGAAGUAUGGAAUAGAGAUCAGAAUCCAAUUUAUGUGUUUACUUUGUCUUGGAUUGGGAGUAAAUAGUUUCAAAUUAUAAUUUUAUCCUUAUUUAAAGAAUUAUAAUUUUUAAUUACAAAGCUAAUAAAAAAUAUAUUUAAUGAAUAAAUAUUUAUUUUAUUAUAUUUGUAAAUUUAUAAUAAUUAUUAAUAUUCUUAAUUAUGAACAUCACAUUUUUUUAUUAAUUUUAAUUCUAAUAUAAAAUGAAACGUUAUUUUAUUUUAUUUAAUAUAAUUAUAUUAAAUUUAAAUAUAAUUACAUUAAAUUUAUUAUUAUAUAAAAUAAUAAUAUAAUAUUAUUUAGUACAAAAUUAAUAUUUUCUUAGAAUAAAUUAUUUAUUAUUAUUAAUAUUAAAUAAAUAUAGUACUAUUAUUUUUAAAAUAAAUACAAUAAUAUUAUAUUUAUUAAUUCUCUAUUAAUAUAAUAUUAUUAUUUUAAAAUAAUUUUAACUUAGAGUCAAUAUAAAUUAUUAUUUAAUUAAAUAUAAUAAUAUUAUUUAUUUUAUUUUAUUAAUUAUAAAAUAUUAAAUUAAAUUAAAAUUAAAAAAAAGUAGAAAAGGAAGAGGUGGGAGUGAGAAUUCCCACUCCCACCUCCCCCAAUGGAAGUCCCACUUCCACUCUCCACUCUAAAAAUAAGUGGAACCUAUAAAAUAAGAUACCCAAUUCCUCGUUAAAUAAGUGAAGUAAAUACUGAAAUAAAAAAAAUUCACACUUUUCACCCCCAUUCCAUAAAAUAAACACGAGAUAACAAGAGUACACUUUCGUAAUAAAAAAUUAUAUGGUAAAUGGGUGCAGAAUUAUUCGAAAAGCACAACAAAUAAUCCAAUUUUUGCUCAUCUCUCUUGAAUCAUCAUUAUUCAUCAGUUAUACUACCACCGUUCAAUAUGUUCUCCAAAGCCUUGGAUCAGUUGGCUUCAGUCCGCAGAAAGAUCAUCGAUGAAGAAAAGGCGAAGAUCCAAGAACUGACCAACAAGUUCCAGGACAUUCGAGCCGUGCUUGACGAUGAAGAAGUCGGACAAGUGGGGGUCAACGGUGUGGGAGGUCGCUUAGUCGAACUUAAGAAGAUGUUCUUCGACAUUGACGACGAGUUGGAUGAGCUGAACACUGCUAUCUGGAAUGCUUCCAUGCGUACCAGAAAGGUACGCUCCUAUCUGUUAACUUGUCGGCUUCUAUUUCUGCGUCGUGACGUAGCUUUGAAGUUAAAGAAUCUGAGUCAAACACUAGAUGGGUCUGGGUUGAAGAGUAGUGACCCUGCAGAUACAGGAGACAUAGAACAAGAACGACCUAUGAUCUCUGUUGUUGAUUCAUCACAGGUUAUUGUGAGAGAUGGGGAAAAGAAUAGACUACUCAACUUACUGUUGUGUGAGAGUAGUGAAAAACAAACGACCCUCCCUAUUAUUUCUAUCGUAGGGAUGGACGGUUCCGGAAAAACAACUCUCUCUCGGCAAGUCUUUGACAUUGAUGCUGUCAAAACCCAUUUCAGCAAAAGGAUUUGGGUGUCUGCGUCUUAUCCUGAGAUUAGGAUUGCCAGAGCAAUUCUUGAAUCUCUUAAAGAUGGUGUAUCAUCGGAUCUAGUUGAAAUAGAUACUGUGUUGCAACAAAUAAGUCAUUAUAUUCAAGGAAACAGGUUUCUUCUUGUCUUGGAUGAUGUGAGGAGUAGAUAUUUCAAUUAUUGGCAACAAUUGAUGUACUCUCUUAAAUCGGGUUCUGAGGGAAGUAGAAUUUUGGUGACUACAGGCGAGGCGAAUGUCGUAAAUAAGAUGGGAAACACCAGGAUGAUCUCACUAGGGACACUGUCUGAGGAGGCUUCUUGGUCUUUGUUCUGUCUAGUAGCAUUUUACUGGAGGAGAAGUGAUGAGGAGUUUCAAGAACUGGAACACAUUGGUAGACAAGUUAUACGUAAGUGCAAAAACUUGCCUCUUGCUGUAAAGGUUAUAGGAAGCCACUUGCGUUUUAAACGAAACAUUGGAGAGUGGUUAAAUGUCUUGAAGAGCAAGAUAUGGGAACUUAAACUAGCAGAUAAAGAGCAUUUUUUGCCUCUAUUAUUGAGCUAUUAUGAUUUGCCCUCCGCAUUGAGAAAAUGCUUCUUGUAUUGCGCCAUCUUUCCAAAAAACUAUGAGAUAGAGAAAGAUAGAUUGAUCAAAUUAUGGAUGGCUCAGGGUUACCUUAAGGUAGAGGGAAGAGAUGAUAUGGAGUUAAUUGGAGAGGAGUUCUUUGAAAGCUUAGCAUCACGCUCUUUACUCCAUGAUUUUCAAAAAAAUGAGUUUGAUGGUAGAAUAAUAAGGUGCAAGAUGCACAAUAUAGUUCAUGAUUUUGCUCAGUUUCUUACAAUAAAUGAAUGUUUCAAUCUAGAGGUCAAUGGUUUUGAAAUGUGUCCAUUAGAGUCUAAUGAAAAUAUUAAGCAUUUAAUGAUAAAGUUUGAAACAGAGCGCAAGUUCCCUACUUCAGUUUAUAAUAGAAAAAGAUUACGCAGCCUUGUGGUUGAGCGCGGAGAGGGUUUUAUGACUGGCAUAAAUCUAUCUGCAUUAUUUGAUAAUUUGACAUGUUUGAGGUCGUUAGAUUUGAGUAACCAGGAUAAUGGUUUUUAUAAUGUCAUUAAGCGAGUUCCAAGAGGAAUAAGAAAAUUGUUACACUUGAGGUACCUUAACUUGUCUAGGAAUAGCAAAAUAGCAGAACUGCCUGAGUCGCUGUGUGACUUGUAUAAUUUAGAAACCAUGGAGCUCAGUUGGUGCAUCAGUCUAAAAAGGUUGCCUCAAAGGAUGGGGCAGUUGAUCAACUUGUGGCAUUUGGUAAAUGAUGGGACUUCACUGAGUUACAUGCCAAAAGGAAUUGAAAGAUUGACUUGUCUUCGGACCUUAAAUGAAUUCAUUGUCAGUGUUGGAAGUGAUGAUGAUAAAGCAUGUAAACUUGAAUGUCUGAAAAGCUUGAACCAUCUUCGAGGAUCCCUUAAAAUUAAAAAGCUGGGAAAUGUGAGUAAGGAUGAGAUUAACAAAGCAGAACUUGGGAAAAAGGAAAAUCUCCUUGCUUUGUAUCUAAGCUUGGAAAAGGAUCGGGAAAAGGGGAGUACGAAUAAGGAUGAUGAGGAUGCUCUUGAAGGUUUACAAGUACCUCCAAAUCUAGAGAGAUUGGAGAUAUUUUACCAUAGAGGAAACACGCUAUCCUCCAUUUUCAUAAUGUCAUUAGCUAAGUUGAGGUCGAUGUCAUUAGAUCGUUGCAUUAACUUGGAGCAAUUGCCUCGUUUGGGAGAAUUGCCAUCUCUUGAAUCACUUACUGUAAGGAAUAUGAGGAGGCUGGAAAAAGUGGGUAAUGAAUUUUUGGGAAUAGAUGAAAGUAGACUUUUGAGGAAAGAUGAAGGUAAAGUUUUGGGAACAGAUCGAAGUAGGUCUUCGGGCAUAGAAGAAAGCAAGCCUAGCAAACCAUUUGUUGCUUUUCCCAGGUUGAAAUCUCUUGAAUUUCAGAAAAUGAAAGGAUGGAAAGAGUGGAAGUAUAGUGUUACAACGAGUACGUGGCCACAUGAUAGACUCAUGCCACGUCUUUGUUCCUUGACAAUCGGAUUCUGCCCGAAAUUGGAGACACUGCCUGAUGACUACCUUCCUCAGUUGCUGGACUUGAAGAUUUUUUCAUGCCCUAAGCUGGAAGAACGUUAUAAAGAGGGAACGGCAGAGAGGGGAAAUAUCUCUCACGUCCACUUAUAUUUCUCAUGAUUAAUAUUCUACAGAUGCACAGGUAAUCUCUUCUCCGCAUUUUUUAUAGUUUUAUUUGUAGAAUCAAAUCGGAAUUAGGUUUCUAAAUUACAUGUUCAUUGUACAGCUUAUCAUGAUUUUGUAUUCUUCUAUCUUAUUGUCACCGCUUAUUCUUAAUUCAAAGUUAUCUCAUGCUAAAUGUUUCCUUUUCUUUUCAGGCUACAGGGAAUGGUCAUACUUGCAAAAUGUAUUGUGAAAGAUAUGUAUACCAUUGGAAAAUAUUAAGGUGUGACAAUGUCCAUUAGCUCGCAAUUUUUUGUUUUCUUGAUCAGUUGUUACCCUAUUUUUUCAGUCUAAAUAAGGCUGUAAGUCUAAUGCUGUGGAUGACAAACCUAGACAAUUUCAUCUUAUUGAGUUCAUUUUUCACAAGAAUGGUAUGAGAAGCAUACAAGAGAUGACUGAAAUGUUACAUCUUCAUGCCCCAAAGAUCAAUUACGUGGUAAGUCAUCCUCUGCAACUGCUAUCUACUCAUUCUGGAUCUUGAUUUCUCAAUUGGAAAGCGGAAAACAUUCUUGUAUGCAGGAUUGACUGCCAGGCACAUUAGCUAAUGGAUAGUAGAGCAGAGCACUUACUCAGAAGCAUUGGAAGUGGUGCCUGAGGCUGAAACUUUCCUUUUGAAUCAGAGAGAAAAUGUGAUGAAGUAAAUGGGUAUGUCUUUGGUACUAAUUAACCAAGCUUAAAACUUAUUCUUAUAGCUAUUUUCUCUUUUGCAUUUUACAGUUUCAACUCCUUUACCGUAUCGUCCUUCAAUCUUGAGGUACUAAUCAGAGUGCAAUUCAAGUUUCAAAGCAAAAAUGGAGACUGCAUUGAAGUCAGAGAGGGUGCAAAAGGAAAUGAUAAGAUGCUUUGGAUGGGCUAUUGACAAACCUUGAAUAGUAUGACAUUGUCUGCUUUAAAUGAAGGUCAGGAUACCUUUUGUUCUUGAGUUCUUGUCAAAAGGCGUCAUAUUGUAUAAGAAAUGAAUUUGUAUAUGUAGUUUAAUGUUCCUUUGAAAACAGGCAAUGCAGGAAUUUUGACACCCGAUCCUCACCUUUUCCACCCUUGAUAUCUUCGAAUGGUGAAUCUUUGCUGGUACAAUUAAUGACAGGGAAGCUCUCCCUUUAUUAAAGCCAUACAAGGAAAAAGAAAAUGGAUCAUUCAAGGUUUCCAGUUGCUGGAUGAGGGCAGAGCUGAUUGAAGCCAGUUGGGAGGAGUUGUAGGAUGUCCAGAAACUCAAUGACAUUCAUCACCCUUUGCUCUGUCACUUGGCUUCUGGAACUGGGUAUAUUUUUGUCGCUCGUUUGUGUGUCUUGCACAGUGAAGGUAGAAGGUUGAAGCCCAUGAGGGUGAAUGAUAUGCUGUUGUUACCUUUUAUCUUUGUUCGAUAUACCCAACUGAUCUUGCUUGGUCUUGGAUACAGUUUAUUUUAAUGUAGCAACUGAUGGGUCCUUUCAUUUUCAUCUUAUUCAGUAAUCAAUGUUUCUCAGAUCUCUGUGGCCUCUUUUGUAUUGCACUGAAUGAUAUACAAAUGUUAAAUGAAGGGCUCCACUAACCUUCAUUUUUUUAUGAUGCUCACUUAGUUUUGAAUAUGGGAGAAGGAUUUGAAGACGUGAAGCACCAAUAGAGACUGUAACAAUGAGGCAAAAUUUUAGAAUUUCACUUUGAUGCAUUUGGCAUAUUAGGCGCUUUGGUCCGUGGCCUUUUGCAAAUUUGUCCUGCAUGGUGUGACCAUUUAGUGCAUACAGUAACAGGAUCAGAAAAUAAAUCAACAAAAGCAUUCUAUAACGUAUAAACCGUGAAAAUACUUAAAAUUUUAGUUAGUUUAAAUUAUUGCUUAUGGUUUGAUUCAUCCAUACAUUAGAAUAUUCUGGAACAGAAAAAUAUUUUUACAGCAUUGAAUGGAGUCUCUCACAAUCAGCUCUCACAUGGUUCCUUCUAAUAUGUUUUACGGUAGGACAACCUGUUCGGGCCAUGGUCAGCUCAAACUCAUCCUUAGCAUUUCAAUGACGCGUCUCACCCCAUAUUCCCCUUUUGCAGCCAGGCCAUGGAUUACAGGCCUUUCGAUCUGGAGUAACAUAUUACAUACAUCUAUGUAAGCAAGGGCGGCCCGAACAAUAGAGUUAUGCUCUAACAAUAAAAGUAGUUGUAUUAAGAAGUUGCAGCUGAAAUAAGUUUCUCUAUGUUACUUUUAUUAUCCUGGUAUCAACUGCUAACAACAGGGAGAAGAAAGGUGGCUCCAGAAUCUCAACAUAUAACUUUUUUGUCGAUUGAAAUUCAAAAAAUUAAGGGUAUAGUUGCGUAAAGCUUACAAGUACAGCUUGUGCACCGAGGGCCAAUGCCUUGAAAACAUCUGUUCCUCGCCGCACUCCCCCAUCCACAAGAAUCGGAUCUCUUCGUUUAACGGCAUCAACCACCUGCAAGCUCAGGUUGACAAGUACAAACUGUAUUGGUUACGAUUUCCUUGUUAAAAUCUAGAGUAUAACCCAGACGCAUAACAUAUCUUACUGCAAAAUGCCAGUCAUUUCUACAUCAAGCUGGUUUGAUUGAAAAAUGUAUUAUUACAAGAUCUCCAUCAUUAGUACAUGGACUCAGCAAGUGAAAACGUCUACAUGUCAGAAAACUAGUAAAAACCAAAUGCACUAGCACUGCCAGCACCUGACAGUUGCAUGUUCUGUUUCCUAAGGUUUCUUCAUAUGCAUUUAGCUUAAAACUCAGAGCAAUAAUUAGGAGAAUUAUGUAAUCCUCAUAUGAUAUUUCUCAACCUUUCAAGUUAAAUUCAAUUGCAGUAGCACAGUUGUCAGUUUGGAUUACAGUCUUAAAAAAAAAUUUGGAAUGCAUUCUACUAAUCAACUAAAAUCAAAAUAAACUGACAUAUAUUUUUAAUUAAUAAGAUUCUCACGAUUGUUUAUGUACUUAUAAAAGUGAAGUUUAGAUCUGUAGACAAAUCUAGCUCAUAUUAUCUGCAGAUUAGAAUACUAAUAGUGGUGUGAAAUUGUUAGAAAAUUAGAAAAAAUAUGUGCUGUAAUUAUAUAUUAGCUGUAAAUUAGUCAUUAGCUGUAACAUAGCUAUUUAGGUGUAAAUCUAUGUAUUUUAGGAAAAUCUACCUAGAAAUUAUUCUUUCCUUAAAUCAGUGAUUUAGUUUCCUGAUUUAAUGGUUUUAUGUGUGCUGUAAAUCUCUAUAAAAGAACAAUCUCAAUGACAGAAUAAUUAAUUAUGUGCAAACCUAUUUUUCAAGUUGGUAUCAGAGCAGGAAGAAUAUCUUGCCGGAAUUCCUUUUUUCUUCCUUUUGAUCCCUACACCCUAAACUUUUGAUCCCUGCACCCUAAAACCAUGUCAGACUCUUCAUCCAAUUCCAGUACUGUCCCUCAAUCCUCUAUGAACAAUCCUAGUAGCACGGAUGUUUCAAAAAUCAGUGCUACCUCCUCAGAAUCUCAUUCUGUACAAAUCACCACAAUUCGUUUGAAUGGUGACAAUUUUCUGAGAUGGUCUCAGUCAGUUAGGAUGUAUAUUAGAGGGCGUGGAAAAAAGGGCUAUUUGACUGGUGAAAAGAAGGCUCCUGCAGUGGAUGAUCCGGCCUAUGUUACAUGGGAUGCCGAGAAUUCCAUGGUGAUGACGUGGCUUGUGAAUUCAAUGGAAGAAGAUAUUAGCUCUAAUUAUAUGUGCUAUCCAACGGCACAAGAGCUUUGGGAGAAUGUAAAUCAGAUGUAUUCUGAUCUCGGAAAUCAAUCACAGAUUUUUGAGUUGAUCCUCAAACUCGGAGAGAUGCGACAAGGGGAGCACAAUGUCACAAAAUAUUUUAAUUCCUUAAAGCGGAUUUGGCAAGACCUUGACCUUUUCAACACCUAUGAGUGGAAAUCUCCCGAGGAUGCUCAACAUCACAAAAAGACUGUAGAGGAUGGCCGCAUUUUUAAGUUUUUGGCUGGACUGAAUGUCGAGUUUGAUGAGGUGAGGGGGAGAAUUAUUGGAAGACAGCCCCUACCUUCAAUUGGUGACGUUUUUUCAGAGGUCAGAAGAGAGGAGAGUCGGAGGAAUGUGAUGCUUGGCAAGAAGGGAACUGGGGUUGCUGAAGGUUCUGCCCUGGUCUCCAUGACUGGAAGCAAGGCUCCUAUUUUGCAACGCAAAUCUGAUGAAAAACAACAAGUUUGGUGUGAUUUUUGUCAUAAGCCUCGCCAUACCCGUGAGACCUGCUGGAAAAUUCAUGGGAAACCUGCAAAUUGGAAAGGGAAAGCUGGCCGAGCCAACCCUACUGCCAAUGAGGUUGAGACCAGCCCCUUCACCAAAGAGCAGAUGGAGCAUCUUCUUGCACUGUUAAAAUUUAAUUCGGUACCCAAUGUUCCUAGUGUUUCUGUGGCACAUACAGGUAAUAAAUUCUAUGCUCUAUCUUGUCAAUUUAAAUCUGCUCCAUGGAUAAUAGAUUCAGGAGCAUCCGACCAUAUGACCAAUUCCUUACAUUUGUUUGAGACUUUUUCACCAUGUCCCGAAAAUAAGAAGGUUAGGAUAGCCGAUGGUAAUCUCUCACCAAUUGUAGGAAAAAGCCUUAUAAAACUUUCUGAGAGAGUAGAUCUUAAAUCUGUUCUCUAUGUCCCUAAACUUGCUUGUAAUCUAUUGUCAGUUAGCAAACUAUCUAGAGACUCUAACUGUUAUGUUAUUUUCUAUGAAUCCUAUUGCAUUUUUCAGGACCGGAGCUCGGGGAAGACGAUUGGCAGUGCUAGGAUGAUUAAUGGUCUCUAUUAUUUCGAGGAUAAAUUUCUUAGUAAUAAAAUAGUUCAAGGGCUAAGUAGUAUUAGUUCUUUAUCUACUCGUGAUCAAAUAAUAGUUUGGCAUUGUCGUUUGGCCACCCAAGUUUUCCUUAUUUAAAACAUUUAUUUCCAAUGCUAUUUAAAGGGAUUGAUCCUUCAUCAUUUCAAUGUGAGAGUUGUUUAAUGGCAAAAAGUCAAAGAAAAUCUUAUAUUCCAAAACCUUAUCAUGCUUCAAGACCGUUUUAUUUAUUCCACAGUGAUGUUUGGGGUCCUUCAAAAGUGACCACAAUUUCUGAAAAAAAAUGGUUUGUGACUUUUAUUGACGAUCAUACACGUCUGUGUUGGGUUUACUUAAUGAGAGAAAAAUCUGAUGUAGAACAGAUUUUUAAAGAAUUUUAUAGGAUGAUUGAAACUCAAUUUCAAACAAAAAUUAAUAUUUUGAGAUCUGACAAUGGAACGGAGUAUUUUAAUAAAGUUUUGGAAACUUUUUUAAAUGAACAAGGAAUUUUACACCAAUCCUCUUGUUCCGACACACCUGAACAAAAUGGCAUUGCUGAGCUUAAGAACAAGCACUUGUUAGAAGUAGCUAGAGCCAUGAUAUUUUAUAUGAAUGUUCCAAAGUAUCUAUGGGGUGAUGCUAUACUGACAGCUUCGUAUCUUAUUAACAGGAUGCCUACCAAAGUUUUACAAUAUAUCACCCCGUUGGAUUGCUUAAAAAAGGUAUUCCCAGAAUCUAGAAUCAAUUCUGACUUACCUUUGAAAAUAUUUGGCUGCACAGCAUAUGUGCACACGCCAAAGAGGCUAAGGUCUAAAUUAGAUCCAAGAGCCGAAAAAUGUGUUUUUAUAGGGUAUGCACCCAAUAAAAAGGGUUACAAAUGCUUUAAUCCCCUUACAAAAUGUUUUUUUGUCACUAUGGAUGUUUCUUUCAUGGAAAAUACAUUAUACUUUACCAAAAAUUUGCUUCAGGGGGAGAAGAUAGUUGAACCAAAUUUUUGGGAAAUUGCUGAACCCUUACCUAGCACACUAGUUGAUACCUUUUCUGAAAAAGAAACCUUGGAAACUAGGCUUAAAGAAACCAAAUCUGACAUUGGUCUGACAGAAAAAGAAAUACUACGAAUAAAAAAAAAUAGAAACAAUCUUGAGCCUGUGGUUUAUUCUAGGAAAGGUGUCCUUAGAGGUGGUAGAGACCAGGCCAUUAUCCAAGCACGUGGUCAACCGGAAGCCCUAAGCAAUGGUCAUCCAAAUGCCUCAGGUAAUCCUUCUUCUGUUCCUUCCUCUUCCUUUCCUAUUACUGACUUAAACUUACCAUUACGAUCAGAUUCUAGGGAAGAGAACUCUGCACCUGAAUCUAUUUUAGAACCAGCCCCUGUUAUUCUUGAACAGAAUCUUAAUCUUGACCUCCCCAUUGCCCUUAGAAAAGGAACCCGAACCUGUACCAAACAUCCUAUUGCCAAAUAUAUUUCCUAUCAAAACCUUUCUGACAAUUAUAGAGCUUUCACUACAAACAUUUCAAAACUUGUUGUGCCUAGAAAUAUUCAAGAAGCACUUGGUGAUCCAAAUUGGAGGUUGGCUGUGUUUGAAGAGAUGAAUGCCUUGAAGAAGAAUGAUACUUGGGAGAUGGUAGAAUUACCGAAUGGAAAAAAGGUUGUGGGGUGCAAAUGGGUGUUUACUAUCAAGAGUAAGGCAGAUGGGAGUGUCGAGAGAUACAAAGCCCGUCUUGUUGCAAAAGGUUUUACUCAAACCUAUGGGAUAGAUUACCAAGAGACCUUUGCUCCGGUAGCUAAAAUCAACUCAAUUAGGGUCCUGUUGUCUCUUGCUGUUAACUCUAAUUGGCCCUUACACCAAUUGGACGUUAAAAAUGCUUUCCUUAAUGGAGACCUUAAGGAGGAGGUAUAUAUGAGUUCCCCACCAGGCUUUGAAGAAAGGUGUGGAAAUGAGAGAGUGUGCAGAUUGAAGAAGUCCUUGUAUGGACUUAAACAGUCACCAAGAGCUUGGUUUGAGCGCUUUGGCAAGGUGAUUAAGCGCUAUGCAUAUAUUCAAAGUCAAGCUGAUCAUACAAUGUUUUACAAGCAUUCAAAUGAUGGUAAAAUAGCUAUCUUGAUAGUAUACGUGGAUGAUAUCGUGUUAACUGGGGAUGAUUGUGAUGAGCUAGCAAAGUUAACAAAGAAACUGGCUGAGGAGUUUGAGAUUAAAGAUCUCGGGGCAUUAAAAUACUUUCUUGGGAUGGAGUUUGCUAGAUCUAGAGAAGGCAUUUCUGUAAAUCAGAAGAAGUAUGUUAUCGACUUGUUAAACGAGACAGGUAUGCUAGGGUGUAAACAUGCUGAAACCCCUAUAGAACCUAAUGUGAAACUGCAACCUGCAGAAGCUGAGAAUGUGAAGAAUAGGGAGCAUUAUCAGAGACUUGUUGGGAGAUUGAUUUAUCUAUCCCAUACACGCCCAGAUAUAUCCUUCUCUGUUAGUAUGGUUAGCCAAUUUAUGCAUGCCCCAGGACCGGCACACUUUGAAGCUGUCUACAGAAUUUUAAAGUAUCUAAAAGGGACACCGGGCAAAGGACUUCUGUUUAAGCCACAAGGACACUUGCAGAUUGAAGCCUACACAGACGCAGAUUGGGCUGGAAGCAUAGUAGACCGAAGAUCCACUUCUGGAUACUGUUCAUUUGUAGGUGGUAAUUUGGUUACAUGGAGAAGCAAGAAACAGAAUGUGGUAGCUAGGAGUAGUGCUGAGGCUGAAUUUAGAGCUGUAGCCCAUGGUAUUUGUGAGAUCAUGUGGAUUAGGAGGCUGUUGGAAGAGUUAAAAGCGACACAAUCAUCUCCUAUGAAGUUGUACUGUGACAACAAGGCAGCAAUCUCAAUAGCACACAAUCUAGUCCUUCAUGACCGAACAAAACAUGUGGAGAUUGACAAGCAUUUCAUCAAGGAGAAGAUAGAUAAUGGAUUGGUUCAUAUGGAGCACAUUCCUACUGGAGAACAAGUGGCUGAUGUCUUUACCAAAGGACUACACACAAAACAGUUCAAUUUUCUAGUUGGCAAGCUGGCUAUGGAGGAUAUCUUCAAACCAGCUUGAGGGGGAGUGUUAGAAAAUUAGAAAAAAAUAUGUGCUGUAAUUAUAUAUUAGCUGUAAAUUAGUCAUUAGCUGUAACAUAGCUAUUUAGGUGCAAAUCUAUGUAUUUUAGGAAAAUCUACCUAGAAACUAUUCUUUCCUUAAAUCAAUGAUUUAGUUUCCUGAUUUAAUGGUUUUAUGUGUGCUGUAAAUCUCUAUAAAAGAACAAUCUCAAUGACAGAAUAAUUAAUUCUGUGCAAACCUAUUUUUCAAGUGAAAUUUAUAGUCACCUCUUCCAGAGCAGAGAUAGUGGCAGGAGUAUAAUCUAACUGUCGAGCUCCGUGAUUGGAGACAAUAAUCCCAGCAACGCCUACUUCCACAGCUUUUAUUGCUGAAAAUUUUAGAGACCAAGCAAUUAACAAGAAUCUUCAAUUAUGUGCGCAGAAAAAAUGUGAUGAAAUUCAUAAAACAGAUAUAUAAUGAUGAGGAGAUUUAACAAGAAUAUUUUCAUUUGGUUGACUGGCAUCUCCAAUUCUACAAAUUUUAAUUCUAAACCUCUAAUUCCACUAACAAUCCCCGCAUAAAUGAACCUCUGGCUUAAAGACUGACUGUGUAGAAGUGGACGAGAAUCCCUUUUUUAGUCUGAAGUUACAUGGAAAAACAAAACAAAGAGAUACUUAUAUCAUCAAAUGGAGCUUUGAUCAUACCAUCUUCACGAGUAAGUACCCCCUUGAUCAAAAUUGGUAAGUUUGUAAUAGAUCUUAGCCAUUCUAUAUCCUGCAGAAGCAUGUGAUAAUCUUCAGACUCAAACUUUAGAAAGAGUAUUAAGAUCACUAACCAAGCAAAAUAAUAUCCAUGAUCUAUUUGUUCUAAGUAGCUGAAUAAUAGACACUUCUUUUUUCUUGAUAUAUUUUCCAAGCAAGGGAAAGAAACAGCCUGAGCAAAUUUUAAGCUGAGAGAUACUGUUGAAGCAUAUAAAAGGUGAAAGGAAGACUUCAUUGAUCUCUACCUUCCAACUUAAAGAAGGAUCCAUGGUCUCCUUGGCAUAAGCUUCUAAAUUUGAACCUGUAUCCUACAAAAAGUGUAAUCAUUUAAGUUAAUCUAAAGGAUUAUAGAUAUAGUCUAUGAGUUUAAACAAGCAGCAAAAGUAAAUACAGGCUAAGAACCAAAAAAAUCAAUAAAUAAAUAAAUGAAAACUGUUACACUCACAGAGGUGACUUUGGUUGAUAAGAGGCCUUCCAAGUUCUUCAACUGCUGUGCAAUCAUUCUGCAGAAGUUGUUGAGUGAGAUUCAAAAGACGUUGUUUACUGUGCCCAAAUAAAGGUAGAGGGCACUAUAUAUUUCUUAUGAUGUCACAAUAAAAAGAUUUGUGUCAUAUCACCAUCCUAAAUUUUUUGUUUUUUUAACCAAAAUUUAAAUUCAGUUAUAUGUGGUAGUACUUGGAAUAUCUAGAACCAAAGAUAAAAGAGAUGAUAAUUCACUUGUUCUUUAUAUCUGCCUCCCUUCUGUCAAGUCUUGGAGUAUCAGCAGUUAGGACAAGAGCCAUAAAACCAUUCCUUUCGGCUCUCUGCACUAAAGUAGCUGCCAUAUCUCGUUUCUUGUAUGCCUAUUCACAAAAACCCUUUAAGCAACAUUACGAGAAAGAAGAAAAUCGUUGUUGCUCAAAAAAAAAAAAAGCAGUUUGCUAGUGGGGGAAAAAAAUAAAAAAGCACUCAAGACAAGCCAACUGCUUAUAAUUGAUAGAAGCGAACAGCAUUGCAGCUGGCGGCAACCUCCUCUAUGGAGCAGCUAGAUGUGAAGGAUAAAACCAUUAUGGUGUUACAUGAAGCUGCUGCUCUGGCUGUGGCUACCUCUCCUGGAAUAUAUACAAACAGUUAAUGUUAGAAUUUGGACAAAAUCUUAAUGAUGAACAACUUAAAGGAAUAAGACCUUCAGGGUUUGCAAGCUUAUGCAAACCCGUUGGAGCAAUGAUAAUGGAAGCCGAGAUUUUGUAAUCAAGUGUACUAGUCGAUAUAUCUAUCCUGCAGACAUCGACAAGAAUUCUUGGCCAAAACCUGGGAGAUAUUAUAAAAGGUCGUUUGAAAGUUCUGAAUCUAUUUCUAAGAUUGCUCAUUGAAACUAAUUUGACUUGCGUAAUUCCAUGAAAUGCUUCCAUAUUCUCUUUCAGGGUGUACUGAUUUUCUACUCCUCCAGCGUAGAAAUCAUAAUACAUUUUUGGAAGGGCCAGCCUUGCCAAUUCUUGGAAUGCAUUCAAGUUAACAGGUUCGGCUGCCAUUUGAACCUGGAAACGUGGACAUUAAUCAACUUCUCAAGUAAAUCAAUCCUAGAUGCUAUAUACUGCAUGCAUAAAUCUGAAUAAUUCAAUUCAAGAAACUUAAAGCAACAUUUAGAUAGAGCAAGAAUAUCCUGUUAUAGGUGAUACUUCCUUAUAAUGAGUAAAGAACAUAUGGCAUUGAAGCGAACAAAUCAUAUGCCAACACUGCCUACCCCCAAAAAAAAAAAAGAAAAAAAAAGUUUUCAAGAUCACUCUGUAACUCACAACACUUGUUUAAAAUUAUAUUAGAAAUAUCGUGUUCAGUGUUCUUGUCAUACCGUCAAGAAACAUACCGUAAACAUAAAGUACCACUUAAGCACUAUCUGUCAAUGAUUCAGUUAUACAUAUACUCUCUAAGAGACAUACAUACACAAACACUAGCACAUGAUAACAGCUAAAUAAUGCUUCACAUCUACCAAAAUCAUAAGACCAUGAUGAUCCAAUAUAGCACUUCACAUACUCAAAGCUCACGGUCCAGUCAAGCAAGUUCAUCAUGAUCAAAACAUGCCCAUGAAUCAUGACAUCAGAAGAAAAAAAAAAUAUCCUUCGAAUAACUAUUAAUCAAACUUAUACAAUAAUAGAAUCUUGUAAAGAGAUGCACCCGAAUGACUAAAAAUUUCAACUGAUGAAGCUUGUGAGGCAAAUUACAACAGGGAGGAAGAGGCAGAGUCAAAGUCAAGAAGCAUAUAAAGGAUUAGUAUUAAUUAUUUGUCAUUUGACGUGUUCCCUUCAAUUAUAAUGUUAUCAACUUCUACCAUUUUUUAGAAUUUUGUUGUUUUCUUGUUCUUGCACGAUGGAUACAGGCUCCGUAUAUUCCUUAUGCUUUUAGUAUUUGGACUUUCUCUUCUUGUAAUUGUAUUAUCACUUGCCUUCUCUCUAUUUAUAUCUGGCCAACAACAAAAUAAAAGGAGAAUAAAGAUUAAUUUUAGUUACCAUAAAUAAAGGCAUAAAGCUUUUGAAUUUAAAUAUUUUUAUUUUACAAAAUUUAGAAAUUUAACAAAAAAAUCUUGAUAUCAAUUCUUUUGUUGAAACAGGCAGUCAUGUUCACACGAAAACUGAUUGCCACUGGGCUCAAUCUCUAGAGUCCUGCAAUGGGAUGGACCAAACAGAACAAAACGCAUACAAUGAGCAAAAAUCAAUGUAUUCAACAUUGUAACCGAUCUAUAUGUUUUUGCAUAUUCAGUUUCCACGCCUUUGAAACUGUCUAGGCUGUCCAUGAUGCCACCUGUACUCGCGUCUUUGAUCACCUUUGUCUCUCUGUUCAUGCAAGAAUUAGCAGUUGUCAUCAAAAUAGCAUCUUCCUUUAGGAUAAUAUGGGCAGAGCUCUUGGUUCAUGUAGCUUUGUUCCUGAGGUGGACUUGUUGGAUGAUGCUGGUUAAUGCUUUUCAAUCGCUGUCUAUUAAUCGGAGCUUCCCUAAUGCCGCUAAGCUUAACAACAGGAUUCUGAGGAACUUGUGUCUGGCAAUUAUUCUGUAUUACUGCCAACUUCUGUUCUGGCAAUUCUGAAAGCAACUUUAGUUGAAGUUGAAUUUCUGCUGCAUUUUUGGAAUCAGCAGAAUGCUGAGGUUGAAUUGAUAGCUGCUGAGGUCCACUCUUCGUUUUAUUAGAGUCCCUUUGUAAGGGGGGUUGUUUUUGAAACACAAUCUUUGUUGUUGAAACAGAAUCUUCACUUUUUCGGUAGCAAUUAAAUUCCUUUGAGACUGGUAACUUUUUGGAUCCUGAUUCAUGGACAUCCUGAAGAACAAACAUAAGCAUGUAUAUCUUAAAAUAACAUGGAUAAGUUACUUCAUUUUUAUGUGAAAUUAUACCUAUUUGCUUCCAGCAAUUUCCUCUUUUCCUUUCCAUGGAUCCGUAUUUCUCUAUUAGACCUUGCAAUAAAACCCCUUGAGUGCUUCUCCAUCAAAACCUUGUGUCUCUUCCCUUAGUCUUCCCAUCUCUGACAGUGACGGUAUGGGCAAAGCUGGGUUAAUAUUUAAGGAUCAACAGAUAAUAGGAAGAAGAAACUUCAGCUCUGUGCAAACCUGUCUCAAGGUCUUCAGACGAUAAAGGUUUCGACCUUUAAUUAGGAGAGGACGAAGUGGAGGGAGUGGCUUCUCCCCUUUGCUCCAAAGUACCUCUAUCUGAAAGAUUAGCCAAAAACAGCACUUUAAUCACAAGAAUUAUUUUGAUGGAAUUUAAAAUACAGCAUCUGCCUGUUCAAAAUUUACUCCUAGAAAAUUUAUCUCAAUUGUAGGUGAACCAACUAGAGAAAUUCCAUCCAUCAAAUUUGCUUGAAAUGAUCAUACCGCAAAAUCAAGAAAUAUCAUUACCCUAAUGCAUAAACCCAGAUAACUGAACAGUUUUAAGACAUAACAGUCCAAGAAUAGUCAUAGAUUUUCUAUGAUUAAUGGCUUUCCAUUAAACUCCCAAGUCCAAAUUAUAUAGGGCUUAUGACUCACUGUAAAUGUAUGUUGUUGCUUGGCUGCUCCAUAGCUUUCUUUCACAAUGCGGCCAGCAACAAUCCUUUUGCCACAUGGGGGACCACUUUCACUACAAGCUGCUAUGUUAAACCUAAUUAAUGAUGUAGAAAUAAGGUAAGAACAAAACACUCAACGGUUGCAAACAACUUUGAGAAAAGAGCACAGUGAUACUAGCAAAUCUAAAGUAUUUGUUGUCAUUGUUACAUUUGUAAAUCAAAUAAUCUAUUGACAGAAUUAGUAUUCUUUGACAGAUAUUGGAGGAUAAAUGCCAGUUUCAUCGAACUUAUAUUUUCAGCACAUAAACAUAGAGUCAGAGACCAAUAGCUUACAUUUUGUAAACAUUCUGUUCAAUCAUAACAACGUCACCUGUGCAAGCGUCACCUGCAUUUAAUCGGUACGUAUCAGGGUAAUGAGUACAAACACAAAAUAAAAGUAGGGUUACUAGAACUACACUAUACUAGUAUCAGGGAGGAAGGCUGGAAGAGGUGUGUGCAUUCUAAUGCAUUAUAAGCAAAUCAACCAAAGAGUGUUACAAUGAACUGACAUUUUUUUCAGACCCGUAAAUCUAGUAAAUUAAUGAAUCAAAUUUGUACCUUUACAGUCCAGUACAAAGCUAGAGAUUGGGUACCUUCUCUCUCCACCACCAUUUGAGAUUCUGAAAAGUAUCAAAAGAUUAAAACAAAGGAAAAUCCAAGUGUUAUAGGUCUUAAGUGAAAUUAUUAGUUCACGAAAAAAGUUGAAAUUACUCUAAAUGCUCCUUUAUACGCUGAAUAAGCGUGGGUUUAUUGCCCGUCAAUCUCAAUCCAUUGUUCCUCAAAUAAACUUUACAUUGCUCCACUUU